GUCGCGCGCGUGUGGAUGUGCCUGCCCAAGGACCGAAGAUGGAUAGUUUUGGAGUCUGAAGAUGCGCCGUUUUGUUCAGUUAUUAUUACUACUACUCUGCUAAGUUUUACUACAAGUUUGGAAAGGGCCUGUCUGGAGAUGUUCGUCCUUGGGUAAAAGACUAUCUUUUUAGUACUACUGUAGCAUUUUGUUGUUGUCUUGUUCCCUAUGUAUGAAGUUGGAGGCAUUUGAAGUUAUUUAGCUGAAGCCUUGAAGGUUGCAACGUCUUAUGUGAGCAGCAUUUCUCAUUCUUGACGUGGUAGACUAGUAAUUUGCAGCCAGUUCUUGUUCUUCAUGUGCGCGUAGGCCGCUGUUUGGGCAAUCAGCAAUCUUCUUUGAAAUGCAAGAUGUGCAAUCGAUUUGUUCCUUGAGGCUUGCCCCCCAUAUGGACGCACUCGUCUCCAACGCCCAAAGUGUUUUCAUAAUGAAGGGGAGGAUCCAUGACAACGUCAUAUAUGUUGGCAAUUUCGCGCGCCGGUUGCACAAACGCAAUAUUUCCACCCUUCUCUUCAAGCUCGACACUAGAAAAGCAUUCAACUCGAUCAAGUGGGAAUACGUCCUUGACUUAUUACAACGCAAGGAGCCCCCUUGCACAUUCUGGAGUUGGAUCGUCGCUCUGCUUUCAUCAUCCUCUUCACACAUCCUCCUCAAUGGGCUUCCGGGCCACCCGAUCAAGCAUCGCCGCUGGUUUCGUCAAGGGGACCCCAUAUCAUCGAUGUUGUUCGUCCUUGCAAUCGCCCUCCUUCAACAAAUCCUCGACAUCGCAACUCGUAAGGGCAUUUUACACAAGAUACGCGGACGCGGCGCCACGAUGAGAACCUCCAUCUAUGCGGGCGGUGCGGACAUCUUCAUGGCCCCAAUUAAGAGGGACAUUGACAACCUCUCAGUCAUGCUAAGGGGCUUCAGCGAGGUGACAGGCAUAUGCACCAACUUCCACAAGAGCUCGGUGGUGCCCAUUCGUUGCAAUCAUCUUCCGCUGGGGCAUAUAUUGAGUAGCAUUCCGGGGACUCGCGCCAUGUUUCCAAUAAAAUAUUUGGGCCUCUCGCUCUCAGUAAGGAGCUUCGGAAAGUCGACUUCCAAUAUCUUGAAGACAAGGCGGCCAGGAAACUGGUCACUUGGGAGGGACAAACCAUCACAACCAUUAGACUCACUGCCCUUGUCAGAUCUGUCAUCACCUCUCAAGCGGUCUUCUCCAUCACGCCUCUCAUUGUGCCGCAGGGCACACUUCAUAAUCUCAACAAGGUUGAGAGGGCCUUCCUUUGGUAUGGUUCAGACGAGAUGACCGAUGCAAAAUGUAAGGUCAAUUGGAAUGUGGUCUACAAGCCUACGAGUUAUGGAGGCCUUGGGGUCCUCAACACCGACAAGUUUGCUCACGCUUUACGGCUAAGGUGGAUAUGGUAAGAAUGGAAGGAUCCUACAAAUUAUGGGUUGGGUUGGGAAACCCUUGCACGAAGGAAGACGUGGAUUUCUUCUAUGCCCCAACCACAAUCAUCGUCGGGAAUGGUGCUAAAACACCUUUUGGGACUCCCCGUGGCUGCUUGGUCGACAACCCAUGGAUGUUGCCCUGCUUAUUUUUAAGCCUAGAAAAGAAAGAGUUGGAAGCUACAGGAAGCCCUACGCGGGAAUGCUUGAUGACCCACAUCAAGCAUGACACUGUUGUCUCCACCGCCCACUUUCGGGAGCUUUUCUCGCUUUGGACACUUCUGCACGACUUCCAUCUUGACGACCAGGUUGAGGACGACAUUGUUUAGAAACAUGUUGUAGAUGGGAUAUACUCGACAGCCACCGCAUAUAAGCGCAAUUCCUUGGUCUGCCACACUCGCCCAUUCACUACAUGGUCUGGAAAGCUUGGGAUCCCCCAAAGGUAAAAUUCCUCACUUGGCUGGCCUCGCAAGAUCGGAUUUAGACUGCAGACUGAUUGGAGCGACGUGGUUGGGAAAAUUGUGGGCAUUGCCCUCUUUUCAAAAGGGAGCAACAAACGGGCAUCCACCUUUUCGUCAAGUGCCGCUUCUCAAUGAUGCUCUGGCAAUCGGUCAUUGACAAGUUUCGUCUUGCGCACAAUGACACAUUGAGGACUCCCUUAUGCGUUGGUGGGACAGAAGAACCGACAUGCAGAACACCGAUAGACGAGCGAUGGCCUCCCUCACCAUGCUCGUCUCUGGGACUCUUUGGAAUGAGAGAAACGCCCGCGUGUUUCACCACAAGAGUGCAUCGCCGCCUAUUAUUCUCCAAAAUGUCAUGCUCGAGGCCAACCUAUGGGUUACAACAGGUACUAACAAACUAGGGUGUAUUGUUGUAUGAGAGUAAUUGGCAUCACACAACAAACUCUUUUCUCCUCUUAUUUAAUGGAUGAGGCAAAUAUUUUGUCCUCGUUUCGGAAAAAAGAUGUGCAACCGCAACUUGUCGAAACUUGAGCUUGGUGUUCUCUCGGGUUGUUUGUUGUGCACGCUCCAGAUGAAGGGCAUCAACACUCGACAAGGUGCGGUGGAGGUGGACCGAGAGAGUCCAGCUGAGCACGUACUCGAGGGUACGACCGCACUACCCGGUGCAACGAAUGCAGAGCACACGACCUGGUAUGUUUGUCACGAAUGGGCCGGUACACGAGUCCGAACUCCAAAGAAAUGUAUGCAUGCAUGCACCGGGUACGUGCAGUGUAUGGCAGACCCUUGUCCAAAUAUCUGAAGACCUAGUGUUCUUUCCCCUGUUCCCGUGUGCCAAAAGCCACAAUAGUCGUUAAAUUGUCAUUCAAUGGCUCACCUUGAAAGAUACCGGUUCACCAAUAAUGACUGCUCUCAUCCCUUGAUUUGUGAUCUGACGGUUGUUAGCUACUCACAGGUCAUUGUUUACUUUUGAACACACCAUGUGCUUUGGUUAGCUUUUCUUCUCUUUCCUUGUGUUGUAAUGUCUAUAAGGCCAACCUCUCCUCAUUUUGGACCAUGUUGACCUGUAUUCGGCUGUAAAACCAAGUUGUGGAUUACGUGCUAAACUACAUCCCCUUUUCCCAACCAAUAGAACCUAGUUUUAGCUCUCAUUUCUCACUGAAAUUGAAUGAUUGAGUAUUAAAUUCAUUACUUUGUAGCCCAGGGCUUGAUAAUUGGUAUCGAGAGCCAGUCCAUUCUCAGCGACGGAGUGAGUUCUAGGUAUCAUAGAGGCCGGGAAAUCGUAAAAUCCAUUGUGACAUGGUCUUCGGUGGCGGCUGCGAGCAUCAGGGAGGCGACCCGAGUGCCGUUGUUCGGGUGUAGUUAAGGCCCCAGCCUGGUUGCCGAAUAGUAAUUCUUCGGUGGUAAAACUCCAGCCACUAAGAUUUGACCACGCAUCACCGACAGCGGGAGUAGGCGGCAGUGCAGCUCCGGUGUACAAAGGUACUUAGAAACCCUCCCUUCCCAACCAUGUGGUUUUAGUCAUGCCGCACCUCGACAAAUCAGGCAACAAGGCAUACCUCUAGCUAGAUUCGCUGGAGCUGGAUGUCAAGAUCCUACAACAAGAGCAUGAUGAAGAUCAAAAGUAGUUCAAGGAGUUCCAAACAAUGCUUAAGAAAUGUUUUGCAACUUUGUAGAAGAACUUUCAAAAAAUCCAAGAUAAUUUCAGACGUUUGCUUUUGGAUCCAGACCAAGAGGAACAAACUAAUGAACUUUCUGCUCAAGGUAGUGUGCAACCAAAAGAUAACAACAACAAAUCACUAGUCAUACUUGUAGGAAGACCGAAGCAGCUGGAACCUUCAACUCCACCUUCAGUGGCACAGCAGAAAAUCAAGUUCCUCCUGCAGCAAGAACAACGACAUUGAGGGAUAUUUCAAGAAAGGAGCUCCAUUUAGAUGGCACUUCAAAAUUCCCAUCCAGGCACCCAAAAUUUGGCAAUUCCAAAGUGGAUCAUACUCAUGCAGGAGGGCGCCAUUACCAAAUCAAACAUAGAUACCUCUAGAUUAACUUGAGGAAUAAGAUUGGUAGGAGGGAAAUGCUAGAACAUAUGAACCUCCUACUUUUGUUGACAGCGGAAGGGUUGUCAAUUAAGCCAACUGAAGUAAACAUAUCUAAAUUUGAAGGAGAUGACCCUAACUCAUGGAUCCGGAAUCUGAAGUUGUAUUUUGUUGCUGCUAGAACUCCAAUUGAGCAUAAAACUAAGUUAGUUGUUUCUUAUUUAAGAGGACAUGUUGUCUAAUGGUGGAGAGAAACUGGGUAUGAUCCUAGCAAUGCCCGUUAGCAUAGAUUUUGCUCUUGUUUAUCUGAAACAUUUGCCCUAGAUUCUGUUUGUGACAUUGUUAGCUCUUUUCAUGCAACACAAAACACUUCUACUGUUGUCCUUUAUUUAGAAUAAUUUGAAAGGCUCAUGAAUGUAAUGAAACAGAAGAAUCCUGCAAUACUAAGUGACUCCUAUGUCACUAGCUUUCUGGCUGGUCUCAGCCCAUAGAUAAGAAGAUAAGAAGCCAUGUGGAGUGGCUUUAACCGAAAGACAUGCAAACAACAGUUUGGUAUGCCAGAAGGAUGCAAAAGUCACUAUUCUAGGAUCACGGAGUUUGAUAUUGGAGGAGGUUAGGAACAGGGAGGACGUGAAAUGCUAUUCCGAACACUAGUGACAUAAAGGUUUAGUACAAAAGUGAAAAGGCAAUCCUUGGGGAUAAAUGAGGUGUAGCCAUUAAACGGCCAAUGCUUUUGAUUUAUUCUUAAUUAUAAAGGUAACCUCACGUGGCAGUAAGGUUUUGCGGUUUGACAACUGACUCUUGAUGCACAUCGUGAAUCGGUUAAGACAUAAUUUGAACCAUCCCUGACUUUGUAUCCUUGCAAGCACAUCUUAACGGGUGUCUUGCAGAGCACUAACUAAUAUCAUUAUGAUCCUGAGCGCAAAUAGUGGUUGUAAGAAUCAAGUCCUCAGCCCAUGGCCAUUUUAGUUAUAUGUGUUUAAACCCUAAGGUUGUUAAGGCCCGACUAUAAAAACAUGAUUUAAUUAUUUGGCAAAGACUUGGUAGAGCCUCUAUCAUAGUAGCCAUCCUCUCGCUAGUUCGAUAAACUUAGGGUCACUCUUGGGGAAAGAGCAGGAAUACCUUCGUUAUCCAAACUAGAUCUUAAAGGGCAUCAUUGCCAUGUUCGACAUCCCAUUCUGUGUUGAGAGUAGCAUUUUGGGCUGGAACUAAAAGAGUGUGGUGCCCUCGUGAUUGAUUUUGGUAAUUAAUGACAAUUCCGAUGGACUAAUGGUUGCUUUGAGUUAUACUUGAAAGUCUAUCCAUAGGCAAUGCUUGAAGACCAUAUGUUGGUUUCAAGGUUGAAGGAAGAAGAUUAUUUGUUGACCAAGGUGUUAUUCGUGGAGUUAUACAAAGAUAGGUCAUGUGACAGUCGAGCCUAUUGCAAGCAUGUAUUGUUGAAGAAGAUUGUGUGAACAUUCAUGUUACCUUCAAGACAUUGUCUUAAUCAAGAAAGUAGGAAAGAUACAAGGUUGAUCAAGACAAAGUGCUAAGAGUGGAUUCAGCUUGAUCAACACACAAAGCAUAAAAUAUGUAAGGGGUGGGAAAUGUGAUCUCAUGGUAUGAUAAGCAUUGUCCAUUAUGCUUUGUGAACUAACCCAAUAUCUACGUGUUCGAUGUUUAUAUCCAGGGUUAGGUAUCUUUCCAUGGGCUUGCAUCAAAAGGAAGAUUUCAUAUAGCCCAAGAGGGGAUGGCUUCAAGGGUGAUAAUCAUCAAGGUGUGGUGCGCAAGUUCAAGAGGAGCAUCGUGAAGAGAUCAUAUGCUUGAAGCUUGCCGACCAUUUGGUGAUAAUGGUCUUGUGAAGAUGUGCGUAAGACUAACUCUUCCAUAGUGGAGUAUGGGGGAGCAAAUUGUGAGUCUUCACCAAGCAUGAGCUAUUAAGAAAGGUGUUCAAACUUGAAGUUGGCAUGAUCGCCAUCAUCUAGCUCAAGUGGAUUAUGUGCAAGGCAAAGGUUUGACCUUGAUAGGUUUUAUAUUUUACCGGUCUCAUAGGAUUGAUUGACGUACUAUCAAGAGGGGCUCUCGAGUGAGUAGCUUGAUCGUAUCGUUCAUAGAGAUCUCAAACCUUUGUAUCUUUGGCAUCAUCUUUCUUGGUUCUUGUUGGUCUUUUAUCUAGGUGAGUUUUGGGGCUUGUGGUUAUGUUCAUGACAAGAUCAAGUUCAUCAAAAACGGAUUUCGUAUGCAUCUUCUAUUUAUGUUUUUAAUGUUGGAGUUUUUCCUGGUUCUUCUCUUAUGUAGGUUUCAAACUUCUACAUUGUUGGCAUUUUACUCUUGCUUAUUCUGAAGAUUCCUAGUAGUGUUUUGACAACUCUUAUUGUUAGCUUUCUAUUAGGCUUGAGUUUGUAAAAAUUUAAGUUCGUUUGAAGAAGUUAUUGUUGUUCUGGUUGUGCUGCUAUCUAAUUAGAGGUAGUAUCAGUCCCUUAAGAGGUUGUACCACUUGUGCAUAAUUAGAGGCAGUGUCGCUUCCUAAGAGGUAAUACCACUUGUGUUGUACUUCCACUGUUGUGCCACAUGUAUUACCGUGGUUUUUUUGUUACCAACCAAUAAUUAGAGGUAGUACCACUCCCUUAGGAGGUAGUACCGCUUGUGCAUAGUUAGAGGUAGUACCACUCCAUUAAGUGGUAGUACCACUUGAGCAUUUCUGAACAUAAUGGUUUGAUUCUCCUUCCCACUAUUUAAUGGGGGCCUUCUUUCCCAUUUCCCCCAACGUUCUUGUGCAAGUUCUCCCCCACCAUUGUUGACCUCUUGGAGCUUGCUUUCUCUCUACUAGUCCCAUGAUUUUUGCAUCUUUUUGAGGGAAAAGAGAGAGGAGAUCUAGAUCUGCAUUUCCAACCAUCCAUCUCUCCUCUAAGUGAUGGGAACCUUGUCUAUCUAGAACUUGGAGUUUUUUGUGUACUCCUUGUUUUUCCUCUCAUAUUCCUCUCUAGCUUUCAUUGCUUUGGUGGGAUUUGAGAAUGAGGCACUUGAGCACUUCGUGUGUUCUUGCCAUUGCACUAGUUGUAUCGGUUUGAGUUCUCCAUGGGUUGAGAAGCUUAUUACUCUUGGGUCUUUGGCACCCUAGAGCUUGUGCCUCUUGGGUGCUUGGGUGCCUUAGACGGUUGGUGGUGUCUUGGAGCUCAAUAAUUUUGGUGUAAAGCUAUGGGCAAGCUUCGGGGUCUCCCAUUAAGUUGUGGACAUUGCCCCAAGCAAUUUGUAUGGGUUCGGUGAUCGCCCCCAAGUAUCGCCAAUUGUACGGGUUUGGUGACCGCACUCAAGGUUCCCUUAGUGGAAUCAUGACACUAAACCUGAGAAUGGUUACUAAAAAAUGGGUGAAACGGUUUGGUUCUUACUUUGGGUUUGAUUGGUUCAGGUUUUAUUGGGUUGAAUCUUUUUUAGUUUGGUUUUGGUUUGGGUAUGUGAAGAAACCAAUUUGGGUAUAGUUGGUUAUGGGCUUAAACAAUUUGGUUAUUAACGGCUGUAAACUAUGGGUCCAAACUGGUUUCUUAUGUGCAAUAACAAGGACGCAUAGACAACGAGUAUCUUUGAUCCGCGUACAUGCUGUGAUGCACUAUGUAAUUCUGUAUUAUGGGGAAACACCACAUGCAAAUCAAAUGUGUUUGCUUGUGCUUUAGCUAAGCAACUAGUUUUAAUACACUGGUCAGUGAGCUUUUCAGUCGUGGGCAUUGUCUUUUUGACUCUUGCUGUGUGUUGACCGUAUCUCGACGAUAACUUUGUUCCCAAACUGUUGUAGAUGCACUUAUGCCUUUUCUAUGUCAUUUGCUUGUUAACAUGUCAAUUUGUGCAAUCAUAUAUACAUUGAAGCAAACCCAUAGUUAUUAUUGGGUUUAAACCCAUGUUUAUGUAUUGGGUUUAAAUUGGUUUGGGUGGAAAAAAUAGAGGGUUUAGUUUUGGUUGGGCUGAAAAUGGCAUUAAACGGGUAUGGUUCAAGUAUGGUUUUGAGAGAUACAUGUACGGGUAUGGUUCAAGUAUGGUUUAAGUAUGAAACCAUUCUCAGAUUUACAUGACACACUGCAUUGUGCGAGGGCGUGAGGAGAAUCCAGUGGCCUAGUGGCAUUUUGGGGAGCAUUCUGCGUCAACACCGCUCUAACACAGAUUAGCACCCGCAAGGGUGUGAACUUCCGAAUACAUCAUCGUAUCCAUGUGCCUCAGUUAUCUCUUACCCGAGAUCUUUACGUGUGCACUUAGUUUGUGAUAGCCUUAGUGCUUCAUGUUAUAUAUUUUAUUAUCACUUAGUUGUUUAUCAUGCUUAGCAAAAGUUGUUAGUGCACAUAGUUGAGCCUUGUAUAUUUAGGUUUUGUCCUUGACAAAAUAAAUGCUAGUUUUAUCCUGCAUUUGUCCAGGCCUUAACGUUGUUUUUAAACCACCUAUUCACCCCCCUCUAGGCGACAUCCACGUCAUUUUAGAAACCUUUGCCCUAUGUUCAGGAUCUCCCUCAUUGCCCAAGCUCAUCUGAAGAUUUUUGAUACACUGACUUUUACUCCCGCCUGAUUCUAUGCCAUCUCCGUCCUUCACUUCCUACUUUUUCAAGGGGCUAUGAGCUGUAUCAUCGAUAUCUUCUUCCUCCCCCAAACCUGCGUCUUCUGAGCUCCAUUUCCUUGGGAUCCUACCAGGAUCACGUCCUCUACCUGAGAAACGAUCCUAUGAGAAGUUCAUGCCAUCACAAGCACCUCCCUCGGAGAUUAUGGGUCUCCCUCCUCUUUUCCACCAGCCAUUUGCCCAUUCUACAUUGUCGGGCGGGUGAACGUCGUCCCCACACUCCUCCAUAUCUGUUGGGGAACGUAGUAAUUUCAAAAAAUUUCCUACGCACACGCAAGAUCAUGGUGAUGCAUAGCAACGAGAGGGGAGAGUGUUGUCUACGUACCCUCAUAGACCGGAAGCGGAAGCGUUGGCACAACGCGGUUGAUGUAGUCGUACGUCUUCACGGUCGGACCGAUCAAGCACCGAAUGUUGGGGAUCGUAGUAGAAAUUUAAAAUUUUCUACGCAUCACCAAGAUCAAUCUAUGGAGUAAUCUAGCAACGAGGGGAAGGAGAGUGCAUCUACAUACCCUUGUAGAUUGCUAAGCGGAAGCGUUGCAAGAACGUGGAUGAAGGAGUCGUACUCGUAGCGAUUCAGAUCGCGGUUGAUUCCGAUCUAAGCGCCGAACCACGGCGCCUCCGCGUUCAACACACGUGCAGCCCGGUGACGUCUCCUGUGCCUUGAUCCAGCAAGGGGAGAAGGAGAGGUUGGGGAAGACUACAUCCAGCAGCAGCACGACGGCGUGGUGGUGAAGGAGGAGCGUGCCAAUCCUGCAGGGCUUCGCCAAGCACCGCGGGAGAGGAGGAGGACUUGGGAGAGGGGGAGGGCUGCGCCAAGACUAGGGUGCGGCUGCCCUCCAACCCCCCACAUAUAUAUAGGGGCAAGGGAGAGGGGGCCGGCCCCUUCAGAUCCAAUCUGAGGAGGGGGCGGCGGCCAGGGGGUUGCCUUGCCCCCCAAGGCAAGGGGGGCGCCCCCCUUUAGGGUCCCCCAAAACCCUAGGCGCAUGGGCCCUAGGGGGGAGGCGCCCAGCCCACUAAGGGGCUGGUCCCUCUCCACACACAGCCCAUAGGGCCCUCUAGGGCAGGUGGACCCUCCCGGUGGACCCCCGGAACCCCUUCGGUGGUCCCGGUACAAUACCGGUAACCCCCCGAAUUAUUCCGGUGACCGUAUGAUGACUUUGCAUAUAUAAAUCUUUACCUCCAGACCAUUCCGGAACUCCUCGUGACGUCCGGGAUCUUAUCCGGGACUCCGAACAACUUUUGGUAACCACAUACAUCUAUUCCCUAUAACCCUAGCGUCAUCAAACCUUAAGUGUGUAGACCCUACGGGCUCGGGAGUCAUGCAGACAUGGACGAGACAACUCUCCGGUCAAUAACCAACAGCGGGAUCUGGAUACCCAUGUUGGCUCCCACAUGCUCCACGAUGAUCUCAUCGGAUGAACCACGACGUCAAGGAUUCAAUCAAUCCCGUAUACAAUUCCCUUUGUCCAUCGGUACGAUACUUGCCCGAGAUUCGAUCGUCGGUAUCCCGAUACCUUGUUCAAUCUCGUUACCGGCAAGUCUCUUUACUUGUUCCAUAACACAUCAUCCCGUGAUCAACUCCUUGGUCACAUUGUGCACAUUAUGAUCAUGUCCUACCGAGUGGGCCCAGAGAUACCUCUCCGUUUACACGGAGUGACAAGUCCCAGUCUCGAUUUGUGCCAACCCAACAGACACUUUCGGAGAUACCUGUAGUGAACCUUUAUAGCCACCCAAUUACGUUGUGACGUUUGGUACACCCAAAGCACUCCUACGGUAUCCGGGAGUUGCACAAUCUCAUGGUCUAAGGAAAUGAUACUUGACAUUAGAAAAGCUUUAGCAUACGAACUACACGAUCUUUGUGCUAGGCUUAGGAUUGGGUCUUGUCCAUCACAUCAUUCUCCUAAUGAUGUGAUCCCGUUAUCAACGACAUCCAAUGUCCAUGGUCAAGAAACCGUAACCAUCUAUUGAUCAACGAGCUAGUCAACUAGAGGCUUACUAGGGACAUGGUGUUGUCUAUUUAUCCACACAUGUAUAUGAGUUUCCUAUCAAUACAAUUCUAGCAUGGAUAAUAAACGAUUAUCAUGAACAAGGAAAUAUAAUAAUAACCAAUUUAUUAUUGCCUCUAGGGCAUAUUUCCAACAGUCUCCCACUUGCACUAGAGUCAAUAAUCUAGUUCACAUCGCCAUGUGAUUAACACUCACAGGUCACAUCGCCAUGUGACCAACAUCCAAAGAUUUUACUAGACUCAAUAAUCUAGUUCACAUCACUAUGUGAUUAACACUCAAUGAGUUCUGGGUUUGAUCAUGUUAUGCUUGUGAGAGAGGUUGUAGUCAAUGGGUCUUGCCAUAUUCAGAUCCCUAUGUAUUUCGCAAAACUUUAUGUCAUAUCAUAGAUGCUGCUACCACAUUCCACUUGGAGCUAUUCCAAAUUGUUGCUCCAUUAUACGUAUCCGGUAUCUCUACUCAGAGCUAUCCGGAUAGGUGUUAAGCUUGCAUCGACGUAACUCUUUACAUCGAACUCUUUAUCACCUCCAUAACCGUGAAACAUUUCCUUAUUCAUCUAAGGAUAAUUUUGACCGCUAUCUGGUGAUCCAGUCCUAGAUCACCUUUGUACCCUCUUGCCAGACAUGUGGCAAGGCACACAUCAGGUGUGGUACUCAGCAUGGCAUACCGUAUAGGGCCUAUGACAAGAGCAUAGGGGACGACCUUCAUCCUUCCUCUUUCUUCUGCCGUGGUCAAUCUUUGAGUCUUACUCAACUUCACACCUUACAACUCAGGUAAGAACCCCUUCUUUGACUGAUCUAUUUUGAACUCCUUCAAAAACAUGUCAAGGUGUGCGUUCUUUGAAAGUAUCAUCAGGCGUCUUGAUCUAUCUCUAUAGAUCUUGAUGCCCAAUAUGUAAGCAGCUUUAUCCAGGUCUUCCUUUGAAAAACACUCUUCAAACAACCAUUUAUGCUUUCCAGAAAUUCUACAUUAUUUCAGAUCUACAAUAUGUCAUCCACAUAUACUUAUUAGAAAUGUUGUAGUGCUCCCACUCACUUUCUUGUAAAUACAAGUUUCUAGCAAACAUUGUAUAAAACCUAAAAGCUUUGAUCACUCCAUCAAAACAUAUAUUCUGAUUCCGAGAUGCUUGCUCUAGUCCAUAGAAGGAUUGCUGGAGCCAGCAUACCUUUUAGCAUCCUUAGGAUCGACAAAACCUUUUAUUGUAUCACAUACAAUUUUUCUUACGAAAACUUGGUAAGAAAACUUGUUUUGACAUCCAUCUGUAAGAUUUCAUAAUUGAAAAAAUACAGCUAGUGCUAACAUGAUUCCGACGGACUUAAGCAUCGCUACGGGUGAGAAAUUCUCAUCGUGGUCAACUCCUUGAACUUGUGAAAAGACUCUUUCCCACAAAUCGAGCUUCAUAGACGGUAACAUUACCGCCCAUGUCCGUCUUCUUCUUAAAGAUCCAUUUAUCUCAAUGGCUUGCCGAUCAACGGGCAAGUCCAUCAAAGUCCAUACUUUGUUCUGAUAUAUGGAUCCUAUCUCGGAUUUCAUGGCUUCUAACCAUUUGUCGGAAUAUGGGCCCACCAUCGCUUCUCCAUAGCUCGUAGGUUCAUUGUUGUCUAACAACAUGAUAUCUAAGACAGGAUUACCGUACCACUUAGGAGUAGUACAUAUCCUUGUCGACCUACGAGGUUAGAUAGCAACUUGAUCCGAAGCUUCAUGAUCACUAUCAUUAACUUCCUAUUCAACAGACAUAGGCGCCACAGAAAACAUCUUUCUGUGUUGCAUCACUCUCUGGUUGAAGUAAAGGUUCGACAACCUCAUCAAGUUCUAUCUUCCUCCCACUCAAUUGUUUCGAGAGAAACUCCUUCUCGAGAAAGGACCCGUUCUUAGCGACAAACAAUUUGCCCUCGGAUCUAAGAUAGAAGGUAUACCCUACUGUCACCUUUGGGUAUCCUAUGAAGAUGUGUUUGUCCGCUUUGGGUUCGAGCUUCUCCGGCUGAAGCCUUAAGCAUCGCCACCCCAAACAUUAAGAAACGACAACUUUGGUUUCUUGCCAAACCAAUGUUCAUACGACGUUGUCUCAACAGACUUAGAUGGUGUCCUAUCUAAAGUGAAGCAGCUGUCUCUAAUGCAUAACCUCAAAAUAAUGGCGGUAGAUCGGUAAGAGACAUCAUAGAUCGCACCAUAUCUCAUAAGGUUGGAUUAUGACGUCCGGAGACACCAUUACCCUGUGGUGUUCCAGGUGGCUUCAACUGUGAAAUAAUUCCACAAUGUCUUAAGUGUUUACCAAACUCAUAAAUCAGAAAUUCUCAUUGACCAGAUCGUAGGAAUUUGAUCUUCUUGUUAUGAUGAUUCUUAACUUCACUCUGAAAUCGCUUGAACUUUUCAAACGUUUCAGACUUGUGCUUCAUUAAGUAAAUAUACCUAUAUCUACUCAAAUCGUCAGUGAAGAUGAGAAAAUAGCGAUAUCCACCGCACGCUUCAAUUCUCAUUGGAUCACACGCAUCAACAUGUAUGAUUUCCAACAAGUCACUUGCCCAUUUCAUUGUACCUGAAAACGGGGUCUUAGUCAUCCUGCCCAUGAGGCAUGGCUCGCAGUGUCAAGUGAUUGAAAAUCAAGUGACUCCAAACAUCCAUCGACAUGGAGUUUCUUCAUGCAUCUUACGCCAAUAUGACCUAAGCGGUAGUGCCACGAGAAAGUGGUACUAUCAUUAUUAACUCUACAUCUUUUGGCGUGAACAUGUGUAUUACCACGACCGAGAUUCAAUGAACCAUUCAUAUAGGGUGCAUGACCAUGAAAGGUAUCAUUCAUGUAAAUAGAACCACCAUUAUUCUCUAACUUAAAUGAAUGACCAUAUUGCAAUGAACAUGAUCUAAUCAUAUUCAUGCUCAACGUAGACACCUGAUAACAUUUAUAUAGGUUCAAUACUAAUCCCGAAGGCAGAUGGAGCGUGCGAUGGUGAUCUCAUCAACUUUGGAAACACUUCCAACAUACAUCGUCACCUCGCCCUUAGCCAGUCUCCGUUUAGUCCAUAGCUUUUGUUUCAAGUCACCAAUAAUAGCAACUGAACCGGUAUCCAAUACCCAGGUGCUACCAGGAGUACUAGUGAGGUACACAUUAAUAACACGUAUAUACCUUGUUGAAGUUUCCAGCCUUCUUAUCUACCAUGCAUUUGGGGUAAUUCCGCUACCAGUGACCGUUCCCCUUACAAUAGAAGCACUUAGUCUCGGGUUUGGGUUCAACCUUGGGUUCCUUCACUGGAGCGGCAACUGGUUUGCCAUCCAUGAAGUUUCCCUUCUAGCCCUUACCCUUCUUGAAACCAGUGGACUUGUUAAACCAUCAACACUUGAUGCUCCUUCUUGAUUUCUACCUUUUGCGGUCUUAAGCACCGCGAACAGCUCUGGGAUCAACUCCAUCCCUUGCAUGUCAUAGUUCAUCACGAAGAUCUAGUAGCUUAGUGAUACUGGCUAGAGAACUCUAUCAAUCACUAUCUUAUCUGGAAGUUUAACUCCCACUUGAUUUAAGUGAUUGUAGCACCCAGACAUUCUGAGCACAUGCUCACUAGUUGAGCUAUUAUCCUCCAUCUUGUUGGCUAAAGACUCACACCUCUCAACACGGGCAUGAGCCUGAAAUCCCAAUUUCAGCUCUUGGAACAUCUCAUAUGUUCUAUGGCGUUUAUAACGUCAUUGGAAUCCCGAUUCUAAGCCGUAAAGUAUGGUGCACUAAACUAUCAAGUAGUCAUCAGGACGUGUCUGUCAGGUGUUCACAACAUCCACAGACGACGUUGUAGGUGUUUGCACAUCGAGCGAUGCAUCAAAGAUGUAAGUCUUCUGUGUAGCAGUGAGGACACUCCUCGGACUACGGACCUAGUCCGCAUCAUUGCUUACAAUAUCUUUCAACUUAACCUUUCUCUAGGAACAUAUUGAAACAAGGAGCUACAACGUGAGCUAUUUAUCUACAACAUAUUUGCAAAGACAAUUUAGACUAUGUUCAUGAUAAUUGAGUUCAUCUAAUCAAAUUAUUUAAUGAACUCCCACUCAGAUAGACAUCCCUCUAGUCAUCUAAGUGAAACAUGAUCCGAGUCAACUAGGCCGUGUCCGAUCAUCACGUGAGACGGACUAGUCAACAUCGGUGAACAUCUUCAUGUUGAUCGUAUCUUCUAUACGACUCAUGCUCGACCUUUUGGUCUUCCGUGUUCCGAGGCCAUGUCUGUACAUGCUAGGCUCGUCAAGUCAACCUAAGUGUAUUGCGUGUGUAAACCUGGCUUACACCCGUUGUAUUCGAAUGUUAGAAUAUAUCACACCCGAUCAUCACGUGGUGCUUCGAAACGACGAACCUUCGCAACGGUGCACAGUUAGGGGGAACACUUUUCUUGAAAUUUUAGUGAGGGAUCAUCUUAUUUAAGCUACCGUCGUUCUAAGCAAAUAAGAUGUAAAACAUGAUAAACAUCACAUGCAAUCAAAUAGUGACAUGAUAUGGCCAAUAUCAUUGUGCUCCUUUUGAUCUCCAUCUUCGGGGCUCCAUGAUCAUCGUUGUCACCGGCAUGACACCAUGAUCUCCAACAUCAUGAUCUCCACCAUCGUGUCUUCUUGAAGUUGUCUCGUCAUCCAUUACUUCUACUACUAUGGCUAACGCUUUAGCAAUAAAGUAAAGUAAUUACAUGACGUUUAUGUUGACAUGCAGGUCAUAAAUAAAUUAAGACAACUCCUAUGGCUCCUGCCGGUUGUCAUACUCAUCGACAUGCAAGUCGUGAUUCCUAUUACAAGAACAUAAUCAAUCUCAUACAUCACAUAUAUCAUUCAUCACAUCCUUUUGGCCAUAUCACAUCACAAGGCAUAUGCUGCAAAAACAAGUUAGACGUCCUCUAAUUGUUGUUGCAAGUUUUUAUGUGGCUGCUAUAGGUUUCUAGCAAGAACGUUUCUUACCUACGCCAAAACAACAACGUGAUAUGCCAAUUUCUAUUUACCCUUCAUAAGGACCCUUUUCAUCGAAUCCGAUCCGACUAAAGUGGGAGAGACAGACACCCGCUAGCCACCUUAUGCAACUAGUGCAUGUCAGUCGGUGGAACCAGUCUCACGUAAGAGUACGUGUAAGGUCGGUCCGGGCCGCUUCAUCCCACAAUACCGCCGAAUCAAGAUAAGACUAGUAACGGCAAGCAAAUUGACAAUAUCCAUGCCCACAACUGCUUUGUGUUCUACUCGUGCAUAGAAACUAUGCAUAGACCUAGCUCAUGAUGCCACUGUUGGGGAUCGUAGCAGAAAUUUAAAAUUUUCUACGCAUCACCAAGAUCAAUCUAUGGAGUAAUCUAGCAACGAGGGGAAGGAGAGUGCAUCUACAUACCCUUGUAGAUUGCUAAGCGGAAGCGUUGCAAGAACGCGGAUGAAGGAGUCGUACUCGUAGCGACUCAGAUCGCGGUUGAUUCCGAUCUAAGCACCGAACCACGGCGCAUCCGCGUUCAACACACGUGCAGCCCGGUGACGUCUCCUACACCUUGAUCCAGCAAGGGGAGAAGGAGAGGUUGGGGAAGACUCCAUCCAGCAGCAGCACGACGGCGUGGUGGUGAAGGAGGAGCGUGGCAAUCCUGCAGGGCUUCGCCAAGCACCGCGGGAGAGGAGGAGGACUUGGGAGCUGGGGCGGGCUGCGCCAAGACUAGGGUGCGGCUACCCUCCAACCCCCCACAUAUAUAUAGCGGCAAGGGAGAGGGGGGCCGGCCCCUUCAGAUCCAAUCUGAGGAGGGGGCGGCGGCCAGGGGGGUUGCCUUGCCCCCCAAGGCAAGGGGGGCGCCCCCCUUUAGGGUUCCCCCAAAACCCUAGGCGCUUGGGCCCUAGGGGGGAGGCGCCCAGCCCACUAAGGGGCUGGUCCCUCUCCACACACAUCCCAUAGGGCCCUCCGGGGCAGGUGGACCCUCCCGGUGGACCCCCGGAACCCCUUCGGUGGUCCCGGUACAAUACCGGUAACCCUCGAAUUAUUCCGGUGACCGUAUGAUGACUUCCCAUAUAUAAAUCUUCACCUCCAGACCAUUCCGGAACUCCUCGUGAUGUCCGGGAUCUCAUCCGGGACUCAGAACAACUUUCGGUAACCACGUACAUCUAUUCCCUAUAACCCUAGCGUCAUCGAACCUUAAGUGUGUAGACCCUACGGGCUCGGGAGUCAUGCAGACAUGGCCGAGACAACUCUCCGUUCAAUAACCAACAGCGGGAUCUGGAUACCCAUGUUGGCUCCCACAUGCUCCACGAUGAUCUCACCGAAUGAACCACGAUGUCAAGGAUUCAAUCAAUCCCAUAUAAAAUUCCCUUUGUCCAUCGGUACGAUACUUGCCCGAGAUUCGAUCGUCGGUAUCCCGAUACCUUGUUCAAUCUCGUUACCGGCAAGUCUCUUUACUCGUUCCGUAACACAUCAUCCCGUGAUCAACUCCUUGGUCACAUUGUGCACAUUAUGAUGAUGUCCUACCGAGUGGGCCCAGAGAUACCUCUCCGUUUACACAGAGUGACAAAUCUCAGUCUCGAUUCGUGCCAACCCAACAGACACUUUCGGAGAUACCUGUAGUGAACCUUUAUAGCCACCCAGUUACGUUGUGACAUUUGGUACACCCAAAGCAUUCCUAUGGUAUCCCGGAGUUGCACAAUCUCAUGGUCUAAGGAAAUGAUACUUGACAUUAGAAAAGCUUUAGCAUACGAACUACAUGAUCUUUGUGCUAGGCUUAGGAUUGGGUCUUGUCCAUCACAUCAUUCUCCUAAUGAUGUGAUCCCGUUAUCAGCGACAUCCAAUGUCCAUGGUCAAGAAACCGUAACCAUCUAUUGAUCAACGAGCUAGUCAACUACAGGCUUACUAGGGACAUGGUGUUGUCUAUUUGUCCACACAUGUAUCUGAGUUUCCUAUUAAUACAAUUCUAGCAUGGAUAAUAAACGAUUAUCAUCAACAAGGAAAUAUAAUAAUAACCAAUUUAUUAUUGCCUCUAGGGCAUAUUUCCAACACCGAAACUAUUGCACCUCCGAGUUCUAGCACACGUUCAGCUCAAUGACGAACACCGAAACUAUUGCAGAAUGUCAGGGAAGAGUUCCGUCAGCACGACGGCGUGGUGACGAUAUUGAUGUUCUACCGUCGCAGGGCUUCGCCUAAGCACCGCUACAAUAUUAUCGAGGAUUAUGGUGGAGGAGGGCACCGCACACGUCUAAUAUAUCUCAAGGAUCAAUUGUUGUGUCUAGAGGUGCCCCCUGCCCCCGUAUAUAAAGGAGCAAGGGGGAGGGGCGGCCGGCCAGGAGGAGGCGUGCCAGGGAGGAGUCCUACUCCUACCGGGAGUAGGACUCCCUCCUUUCCUUGUCCAACUAGGAGAGGGGGAAGGAAGGGAGAGAGGAGAGAAAGGAAAGGGGGGACGCCGCCCCUUCCUCCUUGUCCAAUUCAGACUAGAGGGGGAGGGGGCGCGCAGCCUGCCCUAGCCGCCCCUCCUAUGCUCCACUUUGGGCCCAUGAGGCCCAUUAACCCCCCCGGGGGGGUUCCGGUAACUCCCGGUACUCCGUUUUAUAUCCGAUAACUCCCGGAACCAUUCUUGUGUAUGAAUAUAGUCGUCCAAUAUAUCAGUAUUUAUGUCUCGACUAUUUCGAGACUCCUCGUUAUGUCCGUGAUCACAUCCGGGACUCCGAACAACCUUCGGUACAUCAAUAUAUAUAAACUCAUAAUGAAACUGUCAUCGUAAUGUUAAGCGUGCGGACCCUACGGGUUCGAGAACAAUGUAGACAUGACCGAGACACAUCUCCGGUCAAUAACCAAUAGCGGAACCUGGAUGCUCAUAUUGGCUCCUACAUAUUCUACGAAGAUCUUUUAUCGGUCAGACCGCAUAACAACAUACGUUGUUCCCUUUGUCAUCGGUAUGUAACUUGCCCGAGAUUUGAUCAUCGGUAUCUCAAUACCUAGUUCAAUCUCGUUACCAACAAGUCUCUUUACUCGUUUCGUAAUACAUCAUCCCACAACUAACUUAUUAGUUGCAAUGCUUGCAAGGCUUAUGUGAUAUGCAUUACCGAGAGGGCCCAGAGAUACCUCUCCGACAAUCGGAGUGACAAAUCCUAAUCUCGAAAUACGCCAACCCAACAAGUACCUUUGGAGACACCUGUAGAGCACCUUUAUAAUCACCCAGUUACGUUGUGACGUUUGGUAGCACACAAAGUGUUCCUCCGGUAAACGGGAGUUGCAUAAUCUCAUAGUCAUAGGAACAUGUAUAAGUUAUGAAGAAAGCAAUAUCAACAAACUAAACGAUCAAGUGCUAUGCUAACGGAAUGGGUCAAGUCAAUCACAUCAUUCUCCUAAUGAUGUGAUCCUGUUAAUCAAAUGAUAACUCAUGUCUAUGGUUAGGAAACAUAACCAUCUUUGAUCAACGAGCUAGUCAAGUAGAGGCAUACUAGUGGCACUCUGUUUGUCUAUGUAUUCACACAUGUAUUAUGUUUCCGGUUAAUACAAUUCUAGCAUGAAUAAUAAACAUUUAUCAUGAUAAAGGAAAUAAAUAAUAACUUUAUCAUUGCCUCUAGGGCAUAUUUCCUUCAGUCUCCCACUUGCACUAGAGUCAAUAAUCUAGUUCACAUCACCAUGUGAUUUAAUACCAAUAGUUCACAUCACCAUGUGAUUAACACGCAUAGUUCACAUCGACAUGUGACCAACACCCAAAGGGUUUACUAGAGUCAAUAAUCUAGUUCACAUCGCUAUGUGAUUAACACCCAAAGAGUACUAAGGUGUGAUCAUGUUUUGCUUGUGAGAGAAGUUUAGUCAACGGGUCUGCCAUAUUCAGAUCCGUACGUAUUUUGCAAAUUUCUAUGCAAACAAUGCUCUGCACGGAGCUACUCUAGCUAAUUGCUCCAACUUUCAAUAUGUAUCCAGAUUGAGACUUAGAGUCAUCUGGAUUAUUGUCAAAACUUGCAUCAACGUAACCCUUUAUGACGAACCUUUUGUCACCUCCAUAAUCGAGAAACAUAUCCUUAUUCCACUAAGGAUAAUUUUGACCAAUGUCCAGUGAUCUACUCCUAGAUCACUAUUGUACUCCCUUGCCAAACUCAGGGCAGGGUAUACAAUAGGUCUAGUACACAACAUGGCAUACUUGAUAGAACCUACGGCUGAGGCAUAGGGAAUGACUUUCAUUCUCUCUCUAUCUUCUGCCGUGGUCGGGCUUUGAGUCUUACUCAAUUUCACACCUUGUAACACAGGCAAGAACUCUUUAUUUGUUAGCACCUUUAUGAUUGACAAAACCUUCUUGUUGCAUCAUAUACAACUCUUCUUUAAUAAAUCCAUUAAGGAAUACAAUUUUAACAUCCAUUUGCCAUAUUCCAUAAAAUGCGGCAACUGCUAACAUGAUUCGGACAGGCUUUUAAGCAUCAUUACGAGUGAGAAAAUCUCAUCGUAGUCAACACCUUGAACUUGUCGAAAACCUUUUGCAACAAUUCGAGCUUUGUAGAUAAUAACACUACUAUCAGCGUCCGUCUUCCUCUUGAAGAUCCAUUUAAUCUCAAUGGCUUGCUGAUCAUUGGGCAAGUCAAUCAAAGUCCAUACUUUGUUCUCAUACAUGGAUCUCAUCUCAGAUUUCAUGGCCUCAAGCCAUUUCACUAAAUCUGGGCUCAUCAUCGCUUCCUCAUAGUUCGUAGGCUCGUCAUGGUCAAGUAACAUGACCUCCAGAACAGGAUUACCGUACCACACUUUAAGAAAUGACAACUUAGGUCUCUUGCCAAACCAUAGUUCAUACGGUGUCAUCUCAACGGAUUUAGAUGGUGCCCUAUUUAACGUGAAUGCAGCUGUCUCUAAUGCAUAACCCCAAAACGAUAGUGGUAGAUCGGUAAGAGACAUCAUAGAUCGCACCAUAUCUAAUAAAGUAUGGUUAUGACAUUCGGACACACCAUUACACUGUGGUGUUCUAGGUGGCGUGAGUAGUGUAACUAUUUCACAUUUGUUUUUAACUGAAGGCCAAACUCGUAACUCAAAUAUUUUACUUCUGCGAUCAUAUCGUAGAAACUUUUAUUUUUGUUACGAUGAUUCUCCACUUCACUCUGAAAUUCUUUGAACUUUUCAAAUGUUUCAGACUUGUGUUUCAUCAAGUAGAUAUACUCAUAUCUGCUCAAAUCAUCUGUGAAGAUCAGAAAAUAAUGAUACCUGCCACGAGCCUCAAUAUUCAUCGGACCACAUACAUCAGUAUGUAUGAUUUCCAACAAAUCUAUUGCUCGCUCCAUUGUUCCGGAGAACGGAGUCUUAGUCAUCUUGCCCAUGAGGCAUGGUUCGCAAGCAUCAACUGAUUCAUAAUCAAGUGAUUCCAAAAGCCCAUCAGCAUGGAUUUUCUUCAUGCGCUUUACACCAAUAUGACCUAAACGGCAGUGCCACAAAUAAGUUGCACCAUCAUUAUUAACUUUGCAUCUUUUGGUUUCCAUAUUAUGAAUAUGUGUAUCACUAUGAUCGAGAUCCAACGAACCAUUUUCAUUGGGUGUGUAACCAUAUAAGGUUUUAUUCAUGUAAACAGAACAAUAAUUUAUUCUCUUACUUGAAUGAAUAACCGUAUUGCAAUAAACAUGAUCAAAUCAUAUUCAUGCUCAACGCAAACACCAAAUAACACUUAUUUAGGUUCAACACUAAUCCCAAAAGUAUAGGGAGUGUGCGAUGAUGAUUAUAUCAAUCUUGGAACCACUUCCAACACACAUCGUCACUUCACCCUUAACUAGUCUAUGUUCAUUCUGCAACUCCCAUUUCGAGUUACUACUCUUAGCAACUGAACCAGUAUCAAAUACCGAGGGGUUGCUACGAACACUAGUAAAAUACACAUCAAUAAUCUGUAUAUCAAAUAUACCUUAGUUCACUUUGCCAUCCUUCUUAUCCGCCAAAUACUUGGGGCAGUUCCGCUUCCAGUGACCAGUCCCUUUGCAGUAGAAGCACUUAGUCUCAGGCUUAGGACCAGACUUGGGCUUCUUCACUUGAGCAGCAACUUGCUUGCCGUUCUUCUUGAAGUUCCCCUUCUUCCCUUUACCCUUUUCUUGAAACUAGUGGUCUUGUCUACCAUCAACACUUGAUAUUUUUCUUGAUUUCUACCUUCGUCGAUUUCAGCAUUACAAAGAGCUUGGGAAUCGUUUCUGUUAUCCCUUGCAUAUCAUAGUUCAUCACGAAGUUCUACUAACUUGGUGAUGGUGACUAGAGAAUUCUGUCAAUCACUAUUUUAUCUGGAAGAUUAACUCCCACUUGAUUCAAGUGAUUGUAGUACCCAGACAAUCUGAGCACAUGCUCACUGCUUGAGCUAUUCUCCUCCAUCUUUUAGCUAUAGAACUUGUUGGAGACUUCAUAUCUCUCAACUCGGGUAUUUGCUUGAAAUAUUAACUUCAACUCCUGGAACAUCUCAUAUGGUCCAUGACGUUCAAAACGUCUUUGAAGUCCCGAUUCUAAGCCGUUUAAGCAUGGUGCACUAAACUAUCAAGUAGUAAUCAUAUUGAGCUAGCCAAAUGUUCAUAACAUCUGCAUCUGCUCCUGCAAUAGGUUUGUCACCUAGCGGUGCAUCAAAGACAUAAUUCUUAUGUGUAGCAAUGAGGAUAAACCUCAGAUUACGGAUCCAAUCGCAUCAUUGCUACUAACAUCUUUCAACUUAGUUUUCUCUAGGAACAUAUCAAAAAUAAAACAGGGGAGCUAAACGCGAGCUAUUGAUCUACAACAUAGAUAUGCUAAUACUACCAGGACUAAGUUCAUGAUAAAUUAAAGUUCGAUUAAUCAUAUUACUUAAGAACUCCCACUUAGAUAGACAUCCCUCUAAUCCUCUAAGUGAUCACGUGAUCCAAAUCAACUAAACCAUGUCCGAUCAUCACGUGAGAUGGAGUAGUUUCAAUGGUGAACAUCACUAUGUUGAUCAUAUCUACUAUAUGAUUCACGCUCGACCUUUCGGUCUCCAUGUUCCGAGGCCAUAUCUGUUAUAUGCUAGGCUCGUCCAGUUUAACCUGAGUAUUCCGCGUGUGCAACCAUUUUGCACCCGUUGUAUUUGAACGUAGAUCCUAUCACACCCGAUCAUCACAUGGUGUCUCAGCACGAAGAACUUUCACAACGGUGCAUACUCAGGGAGAACACUUAUACUUUGAUAAUUUAGUGAGGGAUCAUCUUAUAAUGCUACUGUCAAUCAAAGCAAGAUAAGAUGCAUAAAAGAUAAACAUCUCAUGCAAUCAAUAUAAGUGAUAUGAUAUGGCCAUCAUCAUCUUGUACUUGUGAUCUCCAUCUCCGAAGUACCGUCAUGAUCACCAUCAUCACCGGCGCGACACCUUGAUCUCCAUCGUAGUAUCGUUGUCGUCUCGCCAAUAUUAUGCUUCCACGACUAUCGCUACCGCUUAGUGAUAAAGUAAAGCAUUACAGCGCGAUUGCAUUGCAUACAAUAAAGCGACAACCAUAUGGCUCCUGCCAGUUGCUGAUAACUCAGUUACAAAACAUGAUCAUCUCAUACAAUAAAAUUUAGCAUCAUGUCUUGACCAUAUCACAUCAUAACAUGCCCUGCAAAAACAAGUUAGAUGUCCUCUACUUUGUUGUUGUAAGUUUUACGUGGCUGCUGCGGGCUUAGCAAAAACCGUUCUUACCUACGCAUCAAAACCACAACGAUAGUUUGUCAAGUUGGUGCUGUUUUAACCUUCGCAAGGACCGGGCGUAGCCACACUCAGUUCAACUAAAGUUGGAGAAACUGACACCCGCUAGUCACCUGUGUGCAUAGCACGGCGGUAAAACCAGUCUCGCGUAAGCGUACACAUAAUGUCGGUCCGGGCCGCUUCAUCCAACAAUACCGCCGAACCAAAGUGUGACAUGCUGGUAAGCAGUAUGACUUAUAUCACCCACAACUCACUUUUGUUCUAAUCGUGCAUAUUACAUCAAUGCAUAAAACCUGGCUCGGAUGCCACUAUUGGGGAACAUAGUAAUUUCAAAAAAAAUUCUACGCACACGCAAGAUCAUGGUGAUGCAUAGCAACAAGAGGGGAGAGUGUUGUCUACGUACCCUCGUAGACCGGAAGAGGAAGCGCUAGCACAACGCGGUUGAUGUAGUCAUACGUCUUCACGGACCGACCGAUCAAGCACCGAAACUACGGCACCUCCGAGUUCUAGCACACGUUCAGCUCGAUGACGAUCCCCGGACUCCGAUCCAGCAGAAUGUCGGGGAAGAGUUUCGUCAGCACGACGGCGUGGUGACGAUCUUGAUGUUGUACCGUCACAGGGCUUCGCCUAAGCACCGCUACAAUAUUAUCGAGGAUUAUGGUGGAGGAGGGCACCGCACACGGCUAAUAGAUCUCAAGGAUCAAUUGUUGUGUCUAGAAGUGCCCCCUGCCCCCGUAUAUAAAGGAGCAAGGGGGAGGGGCCUCCGGCCAGGAGGAGGCNNNNNNNNNNNNNNNNNNNNNNNNNNNNNNNNNNNNNNNNNNNNNNNNNNNNNNNNNNNNNNNNNNNNNNNNNNNNNNNNNNNNNNNNNNNNNNNNNNNNNNNNNNNNNNNNNNNNNNNNNNNNNNNNNNNNNNNNNNNNNNNNNNNNNNNNNNNNNNNNNNNNNNNNNNNNNNNNNNNNNNNNNNNNNNNNNNNNNNNNNNNNNNNNNNNNNNNNNNNNNNNNNNNNNNNNNNNNNNNNNNNNNNNNNNNNNNNNNNNNNNNNNNNNNNNNNNNNNNNNNNNGGGGGGGGGUCCGGUAACCCCCGGUACUCCGUUUUAUAUCCGAUAACUCCCGGAACCAUUCCUGUGUCCGAAUAUAGUCGUCCAAUAUAUCAAUCUUUAUGUCUCGACUAUUUCGAGACUCCUCGUUAUGUCCGUGAUCACAUCCGGGACUCCGAACAACCUUCGGUACAUCAAAAUAUAUAAACUCAUAAUGAAACUGUCAUCGUAACGUUAAGCGUGCGGACCCUACGGGUUCGAGAAUAAUGUAGACAUGACCGAGACACGUCUCCGGUCAAUAACCAAUAGCGGAACCUGGAUGCUCAUAUUGGCUCCUACAUAUUCUACGAAGAUCUUUUACCGGUCAGACCGCAUAACAUCAUACGUUGUUCCCUUUGUCAUCGGUAUGUAACUUGCCCGAGAUUUGAUCGUCGGUAUCUCAAUACCUAGUUCAAUCUCGUUACCGGCAAGUCUCUUUACUCGUUUCGUAAUACAUCAUCCUGGAACUAACUUAUUAGUUGCAAUGCUUGCAAGGCUUAUGUGAUGUGCAUUACUGAGAGGGCCCAGAGAUACCUCUCCAACAAUCGGAGUGACAAAUCCUAAUCUCGAAAUAUGCCAACCCAACAAGUACCUUCGGAGACACCUAUAGAGCACCUUUAUAAUCACCCAGUUACGUUGUGAUGUUUGGUAGCACACAAAGUGUUCCUCUGGUAAAAGGAAGUUGCAUAACCUCAUAGUCAUAGGAACAUGUAUAAUUUAUGAAGAAAGCAAUAACAACAAACUAAACGAUCAAGUGCUAUGCUAACGGAAUGGGUCAAGUCAAUCACAUCAUUCUCCUAAUGAUGUGAUCUCGUUAAUCAAAUGACAACUCAUGUCUAUGGUUAGGAGACAUAACCAUCUUUGAUCAACGAGCUAGUCAAGUAGAGGCAUACUAGUGACACUAUGUUUUUCUAUGUAUUCACACAUGUAUUAUGUUUCUGGUUAAUACAAUUCUAGCAGGAAUAAUAAACACUUAUCAUGAUAAAGGAAAUAAAUAAUAACUUUAUCAUUGCCUCUAGGGCGUAUUUCCUUCAAUAUCAUGUCGCAGCAAACCACUAACAUCGCAGAAGUAACCUAUUUUUUCAUACUUCACAUCAAUCUUUCUCUGACCAGAUUAAUGGGAGUACAUCAUAUCAAGGGCUUACUCAUUUCAAUCUUCACCCAUAAACGCACAUAUUUCCCUCAUAAAACCUUGUAGGCUCAGCUCCAUGCUCCACAUCAUCCUAAUUCUCUGAGCCAACUGGUCCAUGAUAGGAUAUUUCCUAUAUAAAUAUGGAAUCUAGUGAAUCUUGUGUUGGGGAACGUAGCAUGCAAUUUCAAAAACUUCCUACACUCACGCAAGAUCUAUCUAGGAGAUGCAUAACAACGAGAGGCGGAGAGUGUGUCCAUGUACCCUCGUAGACCGAAACCGUUUGACAACGCGGUUGAUGUAGUCGAACUUCUUCUCAUUCCGACCAAUCAAGCACCGAACAUACGACACUUCCGAGUUCUGCACACGUUCAGCUCGAUGACGUCCCUCGAACUCUUGAUCUAGCGAAGUGUUGAGGGAGAGUUCUGUCAGCACAAUGGCUAGUGAUGGUGAUGGUGAAGUGAUCCGCGCAGGGCUUCACCUAAGCACUACGUGAAUAUGACCGAAGGCGUAAACUUUGGAGGGGGGCGCCGCACACGGCUAACAAUGUUUGUUGUGUGUUCUAGCGGUACCCUCCCCCGUCAUAUAUAUAGGUUGGAGGGGAGGAGAGGCAGCCAAGGGGGCACCCCAAGUAGGAGGAAUCCUACUUGGGCACCUCCCAAUUCGGCCUCCCCCCUUUCCUAUUCCUAUUCAGAGUAGGAAGGGAAGAGGGGGAAGGGGGAAUCCUAUUCCCUUUUUCCUUUCCUCCUUCCCCUUUCCUUCUCCAAUUUGGACAGCCCAUAUGGGGGGGGGGCGCACCAAACCCUUUGUGGCUGGUGUGUUUCCCCUCUUGGCCCAUAAGGCCCAUAUAGCUUGCUUGGGGUUGCCCAAAACCCCUUCCGGUGACCCGAUACGUACCCGGUAUCCUGAGAACACUUCCGGUGUCCAAAUACUAUCGUCCUAUAUAUGAAUGUUUACCUCCCGAUCAUUUUGAGACUCCUCGUCAUGUCCGUGAUCUCAUCCAGAACUCCGAACAACAUUCGGUCACCAAAUCACCUAACUCAUAUAAUACAAAUCAUCAUCAAACGUUAAGCGUGCGAACCCUACGGGUUCGAGAACUAUGUAGACAUGACUGAGACACGUCUCCGGUCAAUAACCAAUAGCGGAACCUGGAUGCUCAUAUUGGUUCCCACAUAUUGUACGAAGAUCUUGAUCGGUCAUACCGUAAUGACAACAUAUGUAAUUCCCUUUGUCAUAGGUAUGUUACUUGCCCGAGAUUCGAUCGUCGGUAUCUUCAUACCUAGUUCGAUCUUGUUACCGGCAAGUCUCUUUACUCGUUCUGUAAUGCAUCACCCUGCAACUAACUCAUUACUCACAUUGCUUGCAAAGCUUACGAUGUGCAUUACCUAGAGGGCCCAGAGAUACCUCUCCGAUACUCGGAGUGACAAAUCCUAAUCUCGAUCUAUGUCAACCAACAAAUACAUUCGGAGAUACCUGUAGAGCAUCUUUAUAAUCACCCAGUUACGUUGUAACAUUUGAUAGCACAUAAGGCAAUCCCCCGGUAUCUGGGAGUUGCAUAAUCUCAUAGUUAGAGGAAUAUGUAUAUGACAUGAAGACAACUAUAGCAAUAAAACUGAACAAUCAUUAUGCUAAGCUAACAUAUGGGUCUUGCCCAUCACAUCAUUCUCCUAAUGAUGUGAUCCCAUUCAUCAAAUGACAACACAUGUCUAUGGUUAGGAAACUUAACCAUCUUUGAUUAACGAGCUAGUCUAGUGGAGGCUUACUAGGGACAUGGUGUUUUGUCUAUGUAUCCACACAUGUAUCAAGUUUCCGGUUAAUACAAUUCUAGCAUGAAUAAUAAACAUUUGUCAUGAUAUAAGGAAAUAUAAAAUAACAACUUUAUUAUUGCCUCUAGGGCAUAUUUCCUUCAGUCCCCCACUUGCACUAGAGUCAACAAUCUAGUUCACAUCGCCAUGUGAUUUAACACCAAUAGUUCACAUCACCAUGUGAUUAACACCCAUAGUUCACAUCGCCAUGUGACCAACACCCGAAGGGUUUACUAGAGUCAAUAAUCUAGUUCAUAUCUCCAUGUGAUUAACACCCAAAGAGUACUAAGGUGUGAUCAUGUUUUGCUUGUGAGAGAAGUUAGUCAACGGGUCUACCACAUUCAGAUCCAUAUGUAUUUUGCAAAUUUCUAUGUCUACAAUGCUCUGCAUGGAGCUACUCUAGAUAAUUGCUCCCACUUUCAAUAUGUAUCCAGAUUGAGACUCAGAGUCAUCCAGAUCGGUGUUAAAGCUUGCAUCGAUGUAACUCUUUACGAUGAACACUUUAUCACCUCCAUAAUCGAGAAAUAUUUCCUUAGUCCUCUAAGGAUAAUUUUGACCGAUGUCCAGUGAUCUACUCCUGGAUCACUAUUGUACCCCUUUGCCAAACUCAUAUCAAGGUACACAAUAGGUCUGGUAUACAACAUGGCAUACUUUAUAGAACCUAUGGCUGAGGCAUAGGGAAUGAUUUUCAUUCUCUCUCUAUCUUCUGUCGUGGUCGGGUUUUGAGUCUUACUCAACUUCAUACCUUACAACUCAGGCAAGAACUCCUUCUUUGACUGAUCCAUUUUGAACUCCUUCAAAAUCUUAUCAAGGUAUGUACUCAUCUAAAGUCUUAUCAACCGUCUUGAUCUAUAUUUAUAGAUGUUGAUGCCCAAUAUGUAAGUAGCUUCGCCGAAGUCUUUUGAAAAACUUCUUUAAAACACUCCUUUAUGCUUUCCAGAAAAUUCUACAUCAUUUCCGAUUAACAAUAUGUCAUUCACAUAUACUUAUCAGAAAGGUUGUAGUGAUCCCACUCACUUUCUUGUAAAUACAGGCUUCACCGCAAGUCUGUAUAAAACUAUAUGCUUUGAUCAACUCAUCAAAGCGUAUAUUCCAACUCUGAGAAGCUUGCACCAGUCCAUAGAUGGAUCGCUGGAGUUUGCACACUUUGUUAGUACCUUUAGGAUUCAGAAAACCCUCUGGUUGCAUCAUAUACAACUGUUCUUUAAUAAAUCCAUUAAGGAAUGCAACUUUGCCAUCCAUUUGCUAGAUUUCAUAAAAUGCGGCAAUUGCUAACAUGAUUCGAAUAGACUUUAAGCAUCGAUACGAGUGAGAAAAUCUCAUCGUAGUCAACACCUUGAACUUUGUCGAAAACCUUUUGCGACAAUUCGAGCUUUGUAGAUAGUAACACUACUAUCAUCUUCCAUCUUCCUCUUGAAGAUGCAUUUAUUCUCAAUGGCCUAAUGACAAUCGGGCAAGUCAAUCAAAGUCCAUACUUUGUUCUCAUACAUGGAUCAUAUCUCAGAUUUCAUGGCCUCUCAAGCCAUUUUGUGGAAUCUGGGCUCAUCAUCGCUUCCUCAUAGUUCGUAGGUUCGUCAUGGUCUAGUAACAUGACUUCCAGAACAGGACCACCAUACCACUCUAGUGCGGAACGUACUCUGGUUGACCUACGAGGUUCUAUAGUAACUUGAUCUGAAUUUUCAUGAUCAUUAUCAUUAGCUUCCUCUCUAGUUGGUGUAGGCAUCAUGGGAACGGUUUUUUGUGAUGAGCUACUUUCCAAUUCAAGAGAAGGUACAAUUACCUCAUCAAGUUCUACUUUCCUCCCACUCACUUCUUUCGAGAGAAACUCCUUCUCUAGAAAGGAUCCAUUCUUAGCAACAAAGAUCUUGCCUUUGGAUUUGUGAUAGAAGGUGUACCCAACAGUUUCUUUUGGGUAUCCUAUGAAGACGCACUUCUCCGAUUUGGGCUCGAGCUUAUCAGGCUGAAGCUUUUUCACAUAAUUAAGCAUUGCAACCCCAAACUUUAAGAAACGACAACUUAGGUUUCUUGCCAAACCAUAGUUCAUACGGUGUCAUCUCAACUGAUUUAGAUGGUGCCCUAUUUAAAGUGAAUGCAACUGUCUCUAAUGCAUAACCCCAAAAUGAUAGUGGUAAAUCGGUAAGAGACAUCAUAGAUCGCAACAUAUCUAAUAAAGUACGGUUACGACAUUCGGACACACCAUUACGCCGUGGUGUUCCAGGUGGUGUGAGUUGUGAAACUAUUCCACAUUGUUUUAAAUGAAGGCCAAACUUGUUACUCAAAUAUUCUCCUCCGCGAUCAGAUCCUAGAAACUUUAUUUUCUUGUUACGAUGAUUCUCCACUUCACUCUGAAAUUCUUUGAACUUUUCAAAUGUUUUAGACUUGUGUUUCAUCAAGUAGAUAUACCCAUAUAUGCUCCAUCUGUGAAGGUCAGAAAAUAAUGAUACCCUCCGCGAGCAUCAACACUCAUCGGACCGCAUACAUCGGUAUGUAUUAUUUCCAAUAAGUCAGUGGCUCGAUCCAUUGUUCCGGAGAACGGAGUUUUACUCAUCUUUCCUAUGAGGCAUGGUUCGCAAGUAUCAAAUGAUUCAAAAUCAAGUGAUUCCAAAAAUCCAUCCGUAUGGAGUUUCUUCAUGCGCUUUACACCAAAAUGACCUAAACGGCAGUGCCACAAAUAUGUUGCACUAUCAUUAUCAACUUUGCAUCUUUUGGCAUCAAUAUUAUGAAUAUGUGUAUCACUACGAUCGAGAUUCAAUAAACCAUUGGGCGUAUGACCAUAGAAGGUUUUAUUCAUGUAAACAGAACAACAAUUAUUCUCUGACUUAAAUGAAUAACUAUAUCACAAUAAACAUGAUCCAAUCAUAUUCAUGCUCAAUGCAAACACAAAAUAACAUUUAUUGUGGUCCAACACUAAUCUCGAAGGUAGAGGGAGUGUGUGAUGGUUACCUUAACAACCUUGGAAUCACUUCCAACACACAUCGUCACCUCGCCCUUAAUUAGUCUCUGUUCAUUUUGCAACUCCUGUUUCAAGUUACUAAUCUUAGCAACUGAACCGAUGUCAAAUACCCUAGGGUUACUAUGAACACUAGUAAAGUACACAUCAAUAACAUGUAUAUCAAAUAUACCUUUGUUCAAUUUGCCAUCCUUCUUAUCCGCCAAGUAUUUGGGGUAGUUCCGCUUCCAGUGACCAUUCCCUUUGUAGUAGAAACACUCAGUUUCAGGCUUAUCUAGCUUUGGGUUUCUUCACGAGAGUGGCAACUUGCUUGCCAUUCUUUCUUAAAGUCCCCUUUCUUUUCCUUUGCCCCUUUUCUUGAAACUAGUGGUCUUGUUAACCAUCAACACUUGAUUCUCUUUCUUGAUUUCUACCUUCGCUGAUUUUAGCAUUGAGUAGAACUCGGGAGUCGUUUUCGUCAUCCCUUGCAUAUUAUAGUUCAUCACGAAGUUCCAGUAACUUGGUGAUAGUGACUAGAGAACUCUGUCAAUCACUAUCUUAUCUGGAAGAUUAACUCCCACUUGAUUCAAGCGAUUGUAGUACUCAGACAUUCUAAGCACAUGCUCACUGGUUGAGCUAUUCUCCUCCAUCUUGUAGGCAAAGUACUUGUCAGAGGUCUCAUACCUCUCGACUCGGGCAUGAGUCUGAAAUACCAGUUUCAGCUCUUGGAACAUAUUAUAUGCUCCGUGCCGUUUAAAUCGUUUUUGAAGUCCUAGUUCUAAGUCGUAAAGCAUGGCACACUAAACUAUCAAGUAGUCAUCAUACCAAGCUUGCCAAACGUUCAUAACGUCUGCAUCUGCUCCUGCAAUAGGUCCGUCACCUAGCGGUGCAUCAAGGACAUAAUUCUUCUGUGCAGCAAUGAGGAUAAUCCUCAUAUCACGGACCCAGUCCGCAUCAUUGCUACUAUCGCCUUUCAAUUUAUUUUUCUCUAGGAACAUAUUAAAAAUAAACGGGGAGCUACAUCGCAAGCAAUCACUGCAAGAAAAGACACAUCCAUGACAUUUUGGGCCAAACGAACUUUUUUCUAUCAUGCUUAUGACACUUCUAUGAUGAUAAUUGUGACAAAACCCGUUAUCAUCAUAGAUGUGGUGGGCUCCUACUUCUAUGACAAAAAAUCAUGACAGAAAAUGGGCUUUACAUCCUGGGCGGGCUGAAGACGCAGCUGCAUGACAUAUAACAUCCCCAAGCUUAUGGCUUUGCAUAUCGUUAGCAUCAUGGAUAUUCAAAGAAUUCAUACUAACAACAUUGAAAUCAUGCUCAUCAUUCAAAUAUUUUGUGCCAAACAUUUUAUUGACUUCUUCUUCUAACAAUUGAGCACAAUUUUCCGAACCAUCAUUUUCAAGAAAGAUAUUAUAAAGAUGAUCAAUAAUAUGAUGCAGCCUCAAUUCCAUUUUUUGUAGUUUUCUUUUAUAAACCAAACUAGUGAUAAACAAGAAACUAAAAGAUUCGAUUGCAAGAUCUAAAGAUAUACCUUCAAGCACUCACCUCCCCGGCAACGGUGUGAGAAAAGAGCUUGAUGUCUACUAUGCAACUUUAUUCUUGUAGACACGUGUUGGGCCUCCAAGCGCAGAGUUUUGUAGGACAGUAGUAAUUUUCCCUCAAGUGGAUGAUCUAAGGUUUAUCAGUCCGUGAUAGGUGUAGGAUGAAGAUGGUGUCUCUCAAACGAUCCUGCAACCAAAUACAAGAAAUCUCUUGUGUCCCCAACACACCCAAUACAAUGGCAAACUGUAUAGGUGCACUACUUCGGCGAAGAGAUGGUGAUAAAAGUGUAAUAUUGAUGUUUGAAUUAUAUUUUGAUAAUAAGAAUAAAUAAAAAACAGCAAGGUAGCAAAUAGUAAACGGGCACAAAAACGGUGUUUCAAUGCUUAAAAACAAGGCCUAGGGUCCGUACUUUCACUAGUGCAAUCUCUCAACAAUGCUAACAUAGUUGGAUCAUAUGAUUAUCCCUCAAAGUACAACAAAGAAUCACUCCCGAGUUCCUAUUAGCAGAGAACAAAAGGUAGGAAUUGUUUGUAGGGUGCGAAGCCACCUCAAAGCUAUUCUUUCCGAUCGAUCCAUUAAAGAUUUCGUACUAAAAUAACACAAAGAUAUUGUUUCCAUUCGAUCUAUCCUAGAGUUUGUACUAGAAUAACACCAAAGCAUAUUCAUAUUCAUAAUACUCUAUCCACACAAGGAACUACAAAGAGACCCUGAAGUUUCCGUCGAAGAAAAACGUGCAUCAACCCCUAUGCAUAGAUUACCCCAAGAUCACCAUGGGAAUCAACGAGUUGAAUGCCAUAACAUAUAUCAUGUGAAUCAAUAAGAUACCCCAAUUGUCACCUCAAGUAUUCAUACCGCAAGACAUAUAUCAUGUGUUCUCAUCUCUGAAUAUUCAAUCCGACAAGACAAAACUUCAAAGGGUAAAGAUUCAAUUCAUCACAACGAGAGUAUAGAGGGGAGAAACAUCAUAUGAUCCGACUAUAUUAACAGAGCCCAUGAUAUAGAUCACGAGAGAGAGAGAGAUAUUAAACACAUAGCUACUGGUACAAACCCUCAACCUCGAGGGUGGACUACUCCUCGUGGCGAUCACCGGGAUGAUGAAGAUGGCCACCGGAGAUGAUUCCCCCUCCGGCAGGGUGCCAGAACGGGUCUAGAUUGGUUUUCGGUGGCUACGGAGCCCUGCGGCAGUGGAACUUCUGAUCUAGGUUAACCCCAAGGGGUUUCGGAAUAUUUGGGAAUUUAUAUUGCAAAGAGGGGGUACAGGAGGCCACCGAGGUGGGCACAACCCACCUUGGCGUGCCAGGGGGCCCUGGCGUGCCAGGGGGCCCUGGCGCGCCCUGGUGGGUUGUGCCCCCUCGUGGCACCCCCUAGGUGCAGCUCUGGCCCAAUGGGUUCCUUCUGGUCCAAACAAAAUAUCUGUAAAGUUUCACGGUGUUUGGACUUCGUUUGAUAUUGAUUUCCUACAAUGUAAAAAACAAGAAAAAAACAGCAACUGGCACUUAGCACUAGGUCAGUAGGUUAGUCCCAAAAAAAUGAUAUAAAGUUGCUAUAAAAUGAUUGUAAAACAUCCAAGAAUGAUAAUAUAUUGGCAUGAAUACUUCAUAAAUUAUAGAUACAUUGGAGAUGUAUCAGGGGGUGGAUGAAUAGUUCCCGCUGGAGGGUUGGAUGAGCGGCACCCCGUGGUGUUGCCGCUGGAUGAACAGGACCCCGAUCGAUCGAGCCAGUUGGGGGUGGAUGAACAUGACCCCGUGGAGGGCUGGAUGAACAGGACGACCCCGUGGAGGGCUGGUUGAAUAGUAGCCAGUGGAGGGCUGGAUGAACAGUAGCCCGUGGGGGUGUGAUUUAACAGGACCCCGUGGAUAGGGCUGGUUGAACAGUAGCCGGUGGAGGAGCGGUGGAAGCUGGAUGAACAGGAGCCCGUGGAUGAACAGUCCCAGGUGGAGGCUCGAGGAGGUCAACGGUGGAUGAACAGUAGCCCAUGGAGGCUGGAGGAGGUCGACGGUGGAGAUGAACAGUAGCCUGUGGAGUCCCAUUUUGCGGUAUGCCACACCCCUCCCGAUGAACAGGACCCCCGUUUCGACCGUAGCGCUCCAACACAAGUCUUUUUCCUCCUUUUUGCAGUACGCCACACCACUCCCGAUCAACAGGACCCCGUUUCGACCGUAGAAGGUCCAAGAGAAGUCAGUUUCCUCCAUUUUGCGGUAUGCCAGACCCCUCCCGAUGAACAUGAUCCUGUUUUAUCAUGGCCGGUCGAACACAAGGCCGUUUCCUCCGUUUUACGGUACGCCAUGCCUCGUUUUGAUCGGCUGUUCCGUCCAAGCCAGUUGGCUCCCGAUGAACACGAAGCGUUUUUUUGCCUCCCGAUGAACAUGAUGAUGCAGUUUCUCCGUUCCGACCCAGCCGGUUGGUUGCCGAUGAACACGACACCAUCGCUGCCUCUCCAUGUACAUGAGCCCUGACCGUACGUAUGCGUGAGUAGGCAUUCGAGACCCCGCCCGUAUAUACAUACGUGGACGUAUUUACUUUCUUGCACCCUGGUGCUACCUCUUGAGCACUGUGUUGGUUUUCCCUUGAAGAGGAAAGGGUGAUGCAGUAAAGUAGCGUAAGUAUUUCCCUCAGUUUUUGAGAACCAAGGUAUCAAUCUAGUAGGAGAUCAUGCUCGAGUCCCACGCACCAACACAAACAAAUAAGAACCUCACAACCAAUGCGAUAAAGGGGUUGUCAAUCCCUUCAUGGUCACUUACGAGAGUGAGAUCUGAUAGAUAUGAUAAGAUAAUAUUUUUGGUAUUUUUAUGAUAAAGAUGAAAAAUAAAAUAAGCGGCAAAGGAAAUAACUAAGUAUUGGAAGAUUAAUAUGAUGGAAGAUAGACCCGGGGGCCAUAGGUUUCACUAGUGGCUUCUCUCAAGAGCAUAAGUAUUACGGUGGGUAAACGAAUUAUUGUCGAGCAAUUGUUAGAAUUGAGCAUAGUUAUGAGAAUAUCUAGGUAUGAUCAUGUAUAUAGGCAUCACGUCCGAGACAAGUAGACCGAAACGAUUCUGCAUCUGCUACUAUUACUCCACACAUCGACCGCUAUCCAACAUGCAUCUAGAGUAUUAAGUUCUUAAGAACAGAGUAAUGCUUUAAGGAAGAUGACAUGAUGUAGAGGGAUAAACUCAUGCAAUAUGAUAUAAACCCCAUCUUUUUAUCCUCGAUGGCAACAAUACAAUACGUGUCGGUUCCCUUUCUGUCACUGGGAUCGAACACCGCAAGAUUGAACCCAAAGCUAAGCACAUCUCCCAUUGCAAGAAAGAUCAAUCUAGCAGGCCAAACCAAACUGAUAAUUAGAAGAGACUUGCAAAGAUAAACCAAUCGUAAAUAAAAGAAUUCUGAGGAGAAUCAAAUAUUGUCCAUAGAUAAUCUGGAUCAUAAACCCACAAUUCAUUGGAUCUCGACAAACACACCUCAACAGAAGAUUACAUCUAAUAGAUCUCCAAGAAGAUCGAGGAGAACUUUGUUUUGAGAUCCAAAGAGAGAGAAGAAUCAUUCUAGCUAAUAACUAUGGACCCGUAGGUAUGAAGUAAACUACUCACACAUCACCGGAGAGGCCAUGGAGUUGAUGUAGAGGCCCUCCGUGAUCAAUGCCCCCUCCGGUGGAGCUCCGCAAAAGGCCCCAAGAUGGGAUCUCUCGGUUACAGAAGGUUUCGGUGGUGGAAUUAGGUUUUUGUGGUGCUCCUGGAUGUUUGGGGGGUACGUGGACUUAUAUAGGAGGAAGCAGUACGUCGGUGGAGCAACGGGGGGCCGACGAGGGUGGAGGGCGCGCCCAGGGGGGUAGGCGCGCCCCCUGCCUCGUGGCCUCCUCCGUUGUUUCUUGACACCCACUCCAAGUCUCUAGGAUCACGUUUGUUGAGAAAAUCACGUUCUCGAAGGUUUCAUCCAAUUUGGACUCCUUUUGAUAUUCCUUUUCUUCGAAACCCUAAAAUAGGCAAAAAAAAAGCAAUUUAGGCUGGGCCUCCGAUUAGUAGGUUAGUCCCAAAAAUGAGAUAUAAGUGUAAAAUAAAGCCCAUUAAGAUCCAAAAUAGAUAAUAUAAUAGCAUGGAGCAAUAAAAAAUUAUAAAUACAUUGGAGACGUAUCAAGCAUCCCCAAGCUUAAUUCUUGCUCGUCCUCGAGUAGGUAAAUGAUAAAAGAAGAAUUUUUGAUGUGGAAUGCUUUCUAACAUAUUUCUCAAUGUAAUUUUUCUUUAUUGUGGCAUGAAUGUUCAGAUCCAUAAGAUUCAAGACAAAAGUUUAAUAUUGACAUAAAAAUAAUAAUACACUACAAGAAAUAUGUCAACUUAUGACCACCACUAUUGGUCACUGAAUGGUCACAAAUUUCCAUUAAUGACCUUUUUGUGACCAAAAACAUAAUGUCAAAAGCUGGGCGUCGUAAACUGACUAUAGCGACCUUUCUUCUGGAAUGGUCGCAAACGUUUAUGACCAAAAUAUGUCCACUGUGGCGUUUUGGUCACUAGCAACCUCUCCAGGCCACGUAGGCAUCUAGCAUGGCAAGCUGAUGUGGCACAAGAUUCAGCCCGGUCCAAUUCAGUUUUCUACAUGGGCCUAGCCCAACAAUUUGGCCUUUUUUAUAUUUUUUUCUUGAUUAAUUUUGGUCAACUACAUGGGCCAGGCCCAACGUUGUAGCCUUUUUUAUUGUUGGCCCGUGUCCUUUUAUUAUUUAUUGCUUUUCUAUUUUCAGCCAUUAUAUAUUCAAGCUGGUCCCACUAGUCAGAUGGGUCCCACUUGUCAUGAUCAUCUCUCAAAUUGGUCCCACAUGUCAAAAAUGUACAAAAUUGACAGAUUAUUUUCAUAAGUGGACCCAUUGGUCAAGUUUCCAUUUCACAAGUUUUCAGAUCAUAUAAAUAAUAAAAAAGAAUCAUCAAAUAUACCACUAAAUAAAUCUAUUACAAUCUUUACAACACAUAUAUGCUACAAUAUGCUACUCUUCACUAAGUAGAACUUGACGGCUUCACACUUCACGGCUUCACACUUGCUUCAUACUUCACGGCUUCACACUUGAGCAUCUGUAAAAGAGGAACAACCACAAAUUUAAAUCUCAAUUGCAGUAUAUGCAGAAGCAGUUCAAAGUUGAAACAACAUCAAUUAAACACACGCGCACAGAAACAUAGGAGUCAAAAUGCAGUAUAGGACCAGGACAAGGAAACUCCUGUUAUCAAAUCAACACACAGCUUGUAGCAAAACAGCACAGAAACAUGUGGAUAUCUCAUGUGAGCAUCAUGAUGUGGUUUUAUUAAACAAUGAUAUAGCAACAGAAUACAAUAUCUUCAAUGCAAACCAGCAAUAGAAUUGCUCCUGCUAGCUGCUGUUGCUGCCACAAAACGCAUGACACAUUAGUUGCAGUACAAGCUAUGGAUCAGAAGUAGCUGGUUACACUAAUCAUGAAAUAUCAGUGGGAAUCCGAACGAUUUUCUUCAUCACCCGGAAUCAUGCAGUUCAACCCAACAGAACACAAUGAGCAAUAAGGUUCAUAACCAAUGAAGGAAUGCAUGUACAGUCAGUCUAAAGCAGUAAAAAUGUGCAAAUGUACUUCAGGAGAUGGCGUGACCCGUCGAUUUUCUUCAUCACCCAGGUAAUGCACAUCUCAUCAGCCAGCAGAACACAAAAAGAGGAUACGAAAAUUACUGCUAAGAGGUUUGCAAAAAAUCAAAGGAAAGUAUUUGCUCAAUAAUAAAGGAGUACUCCCUCUCUAAACUAAUACAAGAGUGUUUAGAUCACUAGUUUAGUAUUCUAAACACUCUUAUAUUAGUUUACGGAGGGAGUACAUAUAUAGUCCAAGAGAUGGCAUGAUCCGUCAGAAGUAUCUGGUUGUAAUAAUCAUGAAAAUCAGUGGGAAUCCGAACAAUUUUCUUCAUCACCCAGAUCAUGCACAUCUCAACCAGCAGAACAUCACAAGUAACAUAUGUAAAACAAUGAUUCUGAGCAUGAGCAAACAAUGAUUCUGAGCAUGAGCAAACAAUGAUUCUAUUAGAGUACCAGCAAAUCAGACUGAACUUUCAUGGAAUGAUUAGUAUAACUAGACCCAUUUUAGUUUAGCAUUACAUAAAAGACUAGUAGCAGUCGCACAAGCAACUAUUGAGCAUUGAAGAAACAGGACAGGGAAACAACAUACCCUGAUGGUGCCCAGGCUUCAGCCUCAGAACCCUGCAAAACCACAAGCGACGUUAACAUCAAACACACAUAUAAGACGCACCAUGUUAUGAAAUGGACAUAUAAGACGCACAUAUAAGAUGUUAACAUCAAAUUCACAGUUUAGAAAAUUAGUAUCUUCUUUCCAAAGGUGAAAUGAGAUGACUGAACUUGAUUUGGCUUUUUAGCUUCCAUAAUUUCUACUAGCAGCAGAUGUUAUGAAAUGGACUUACUAAAUUAUCUGAAUCAAGGAAAGAAAUUUGCAACUAGCUUCAGACCAUCUAUUACAUAGACUGAGAAAUCUAUUUCCAUCCAACUACUUUUACUUUUCUACAAGACUACAACAGUUUUAGACAACUCCAAAGUCCUAAAUUUGUUCACAGGUUAUUCAACACAAGUAAAUUUGUUCACAGGUUAUCUAUAAGAUUAGAAUAGUUUCAGACACCUCACACUCACACUUUCAGAUUUCAACAGAUUCAGACAACUGUUUUUCAGACUUGGAACAAUUUCAGUAAACUGUUCUUCAGACCACAAUAGUUUCAGUAAACUAUAGCAAAGUCUGAAUGUCAUGGAAAACAAAUGAUUUCACUAACCAAGGGUCCCGGUCAGGAAGAUGACGAUCUCGAGGGUCCCGCCAUAGCCACCGUCGGGCAGGUCGACGACGAGCGGGGUGAGCUGAGCUCGCUAAGCAUGUCGACUACUACAACAGAAAAUAUGCCCUCGCUAAGCUGAGAUCUCAAUCAACAGAGGCAAGAAGUCGACCAAACCAAACCAAACCAACCAGGGCGUUGUUCUUGACGCUGAGCAUGAGAAUGGAGAGGGGCCCCGCGCUGAACUCCUCCUCCUCCUUCUUCCCCUGCUGCCAACAAAACAAAGACAGAACCAAUGACCGUGUCAGUAAGCUACUGUGGCGGAUGAGAACACCGUCGAGGGAGAAGAGGGGCGGAGGAAAGCAGCAGUGCUAAUCUAGUUUAAAGAACAAUGCCAUCAACUCAACAUGGCCUCCUACUUAUUGGUAGGCAAAGGAUGGUAAGCAAUGAUGCAGAGAAUGGCCAGGUAAUUAAGGGGCAACGUGAUUGUGCCCAGCAGCAGUAGAUGGUGGUCUACUGUUUGUUUGACAGCAUUAUUAAUAGGUGUUUCGUGCUGUCUUCUCAGGCAACAACAGUCAGGUACAAGUACACCUAGCAACAGAGCUGCCAAGGACGGAUGGACAAUGCAUAUCAUCUGUCAAGAAAGAUCUACCCACCUAACUGAAAAUUGGACAGUAGUAUAUGACUGGAAUGAAAGGAGAAAAAAGGAAUUCCAGGUCCUUUUUCUGGAAACAAAAUAAUUUACCAGACGCAUGCAUACACGGGCCAGGGAAGAAAAUGAUGCAGUGAAUUAGUCUGACGGAUAGAGAGAAAGAACAGGGAAGGGGAUUGUACUACUCACCGGGACGUCCUCUUGGAAGACGCCGUAGCUGUGGGGCGCCUCCAUGGCGAACUCCAUGCUGUUCCUCGGAGCAUCAAACCCUGCAAUUGAGCCCAAUGAGAAUCGGUUAAACUUGCUGCAACACACUGGACUUGGAUCGUUCUAAAAAACCCAGCGGAAGCUACUAAUCAAGCGAGAAGAGGGGCUCACUGGUGUGCCCUUGCUUGGCGGCGACGUGGAAGGCAUCGAGGUCGAGGCGGGAGCGGAGCUUGGCGGCCUCGAGGUCGUAGAGUGGGAGGAGGAGGCGCACGGCCUCGGCGUCCGCCGGGACAUAGAGCGCAGACUCCUGGGCGCCGGCCAGGAGGCGGCGUACGGCCUCGGCGUCCGCGGACCGGAGGGCCGCGAAGAGCGCCUAGUGGGAGAGCGGCGGGAGAUCCAUCGUCGAGCGGGCGGCCAACCGGAGAGCCGGCGUGAAGCUGACCAAACGGAACCCUAGCGCGUCGGCCGAGCUUCUCGACUCGAUCUAGGGCAUAGGGUAGGGAAAGAUGGUGAGGGAAGGGAGGGACGAGGUCGGCGGCGGUGGUGAGGAUGGCUGCGAGGUCGGCGGUGGGUGGGAGCGGCGAGGAGAGAACUAGAUCAGGGAAAGGAGGCUGGGGAGAGGACUGGAUCGAGGGAGGAGGUGGCGACAGCUGCGAGGAGAGGAGGGGUGCGAUGGGGGAGUCGAUGGGAUCCAGAGCUCGGUUGCCAUGGCUGCGCCGCGGGCUAGAGUUUCGGGCGCUUGGGAGGCAUGGGGNNNNNNNNNNNNNNNNNNNNNNNNNNNNNNNNNNNNNNNNNNNNNNNNNNNNNNNNNNNNNNNNNNNNNNNNNNNNNNNNNNNNNNNNNNNNNNNNNNNNNNNNNNNNNNNNNNNNNNNNNNNNNNNNNNNNNNNNNNNNNNNNNNNNNNNNNNNNNNNNNNNNNNNNNNNNNNNNNNNNNNNNNNNNNNNNNNNNNNNNNNNNNNNNNNNNNNNNNNNNNNNNNNNNNNNNNNNNNNNNCAUGGGGAUUCGGGCUCCUCGCCAUCGACGACCAUGGUGCGGGGGCGGCGGCGGCGGCUAGGGUUUGGCGAGCAGGUGCGGGUACGGGAGAGUGGGGGCGUGGGGGCUAGGGUUGGAACGGUGGGGAGUGGGGGCUGCGUGGGUGAGGGGGGUGAGAGGGCUACGUGGGUGAGAGGGUGAGGGGAUGAGGUCCGCCGUUGGAUCCCGGAGCAUCCGACGGUGUCGGAUGCAUGAUCCACGUGAUAUGCCUAUAGACCAAUCAGAACGCAACAAACAAUUUGAAGACUUUAUGACCUUUUAAAUAGGUCACGAAAAUAUCAUUUUCCAUUUUUUAGUGCUCAAAAUGAGUUCUUUUUUGUAAAAGACCUACCAAAUAUUUGUUCACAUGAUAUUCUUUAUAUUCUUUAUAUUUGUUCAAAAUGAGUUCUUUAUACUCUACAAAAGUUUACAUCUUGGAAUAGUAAACAGUAUCAACAAAGGGAUUUUUUAUAUUCUUUGCACAAAAAAUCAUUUUCCAUUUUUCGAGUGCCCCAAAUGAGGUUUUUUUGUGAAGGACCUACCAAAUAAUUGUUUAAAAAUUGGACCAAAUCAAUUUUAUAAAAUACUAGGACAUAUAUAAUGCACAAUUGACAAAAUGGUUGGGUGAAAAAAGUUUUGAUCCACCUCUGGUGAAAAACACAAAUUGUCGUCGAUUCAGUUGGAAACGGGUCAAAUUUGAACUGUAGCUGCCUCAUAGUUUGCUCUUUAUUUUUUCCAAAAAUCAUUUCUAGGUAAAUAAGUAUCUAUUUAAUCAUAGAAACACCAAAAAAAUUCCAAGAUUCAACCACUAGCUAGGAACGGUCAAGUCCGCCGUUUUGACCGCAUUUUGAAACGGGCAUAAAAAAUUCAAAAAAAUCAAAAAAUUGGAAAACCUUCGCAUGGUGUCAUUAUAUGUGACCAAGUUUUCAGGAAAAAUAAUAAACUUGUAAUAUGGUAAUUAUUUUAAAAAAGUGUUCUCAGAAAUGAGCUAUCAUGCGUGAAGAUUCAUGGCUUUCAAGCCAAAUGAUCAAUCUUAUGGCCACAUUCAUGGCAUAGUUUGUUCAAAUGAUCUCAUAUUGCGCACGAGGGUGCAUCUUGGAAUUCCAAACAAUGUUGCCUAAGGAAGUUUUCAUUUUCUUUGCACGGAAAAUUCAUUUUUCAUUCUCUGAGUGCCCAAAAGGAGGGUUUUUUGUGAAGGACUUACCAAAUAAUUGUUGCAAAAUUGGACCAAAUCAUUUUUAUAAAAUACUAGGCCAUAUAUAAUGCACAAUUGAAAAAAUGGUUGGGUGAAAAAAGUUUUGAUCUACCUCUGGUGAAAAAGACAAAUUGUCGUCGAUUCAAAUGGAAACGGGUCAAAUUUGAACUGUAGCUCCCUCAUAGUUUGCUCUUUAUUUUUUCCAAAAAUCAUUUCUAGGUACAUAAGUAUCUAUUUAAUCAUAGAAACACCAAAAAAAUUCCAAGAUUGAACCACUAGCUAGGAACGGUCAAGCCCGCCGUUUUGACCGCAUUUUGAAAAGGGCAUAAAAAAUUCAAAAAAAAUCAAAAAAUUGGAAAACCUUCGCAUUGUGUCAUUAUAUGUGACCAAGUUCUCAGGAAAAAUAAUAAAAUUGUAAUAUAGUAAUUAUUUUAAAAAAGUGUUCUCAGAAAUGAGCUAUCAUGCGUGAAGAUUCAUGGCUUUCAAGCCAAAUGAUCAAUCUUAUGGCCACAUGCAUGGCAUAGUUUGUUCAAAUGAUCUCAUAUUGUGCACGAGGGUGCAUCUUGGAAUUCCAAACAAUGUUGCCUAAGGAAGUUUUCAUUUUAUUUGCACGGAAAAUUCAUUUUUCAUUUUCUGAGUGCCCAAAAGGAGGGUUUUUUGUGAAGGAACUACCAAAUCAUCGUUGCAAAAUUGGACCAAAUCAUUUUUAUAAAAUACUAGGCCAUAUAUAAUGCACAAUUGACAAAAUGGUUGGGUGAAAAAAGUUUUGAUCUACCUCUGGUGAAAAAGACAAAUUGCCGUCGAUUCAGUUGGAAGCGGGUCAAAUUUGAACUGUAGCUGCCUCGUAGUUUGCUCUUUAUUUUUUUCCAAAAAUCAUUUCUAGGUACAUAAGCAUAUAUUUAAUCAGAGAAACAUCAAAAAAAUUCAAGAUUCAACCACUAGCUAGGAACGGUCAAGCCUGCCGUUUGACUGAAUUUUGAAACGGGCAUAAAAAAUUCAAAAAAAUCAAAAAAUUGGAAAACCUUCGCAUUGCGUCAUUAUAUGUGACCAAGUUACCAGGAAAAAUAAUAAACUUGUAAUACGGUAAUUAUUUUAGAAAAGUGUUCUCAUAAAUGAGCUAUCAUGUGUGAAGAUUCAUGGAUUUCAACCCAAACGCUCAAUCUCAUGGUCACAUUCAUGGCAUAGUUUGUUCAAAUGAUCUCAUAUUGUGCACAAUCGUGCAUCUUGGAAUUCCAAACAAUGUUGCCUAAGGGAGUUUUCAUUUUCUUUGCACGGAAAAUACAUUUUCCAUUUUCCGAGUGCCCGAAAUGAGGUUUUUUUGUGAAGGACCUACCAUAUAUUUGUUGCAAAAUUGGACCAAAUAAUUUUUAUAAAAUAUUAGGACAUAUUUAAUGCACAAUUGACAAAAUGGUUGGGUGUAAAAAGUUUUGAUCCUCCUCUCGUGAAAAAGACAAAUUUCCGUCGAUUCAGUUGGAAGCGGGUCAAAUUUGAAUUGCAGCUGCCUCAUAGUUUGCUAUUUAUUUUUUCCAAAAAUCAUUUCUAGUUACAUAAGUACCUAUUUAAUCAGAGAAACAUAAAAAAAAUCCCAAGAUUCAACCACUAGCUAGGAACGGUCAUUCUCGCUGUUUUGACCGCAUUUUGAAACUUGCAUAAAAAAUUAAAAAAAAAUCAAAAAAUUGGGAAACCUUCACAUUGUGUCAUUAUUUGUGGCCAAGUUCCCAGGAAAAAUAACAAACUUGUAAUAUGGCAAUUAUUUUAAAAAAGUGUUCUCAGAAACGAGCUAUCACGUGUGGAGAUCAAUGGUUUUCAAGCCAAAUGAUCAAUCUUAUGGCCACAUUCAUGGCAUAGUUUGUUCAAAUGAUCUCAUAUUGUGCAUAAGGGUGCAUAUUGGAAUGGCAAACAAUGUUGCCUAAGGAAGUUUUCAUUUUCGUUGGACGAAAAAACCAUUUUCCAUUUCUCGAGUGCCCGAAAGGAGGUUUUUUUGUGAAGGAACUACCAAAUAAUUGUUGCAAUAUUGGACCAAAUUAUUUUUAUAAAAUACUAGGCCAUAUUUAAUGCACAAUUGACAAAAUGGUUGGGUGUAAAAAUUUUUGAUCCACCUCUCGGGAAAAAGACAAAUUUCCGCCGAUUCAGUUGGAAGCGGGUCAAAUUUGAACUGCAGCUGCCUCAUAGUUUGCUAUUUAUUUUUUCCAAAAAUCAUUUCUAGUUACAUAAGGACCUAUUUAAUCAUAAAUACAUGGUUUGGUGGCGAUACGUCCAGGUUUGGGCGGUGGCCGAGGGCCCAACUCUAGAGCGCGUAAACUCGCAUGCCCGUCGCGUGGUCACCGCGUGACCGUAAUGUUGCCAUGUGUUCUGGGCGGCCUAGGCAUGUCUAGUGGGUUGGGCACUCCCCAGGUUGGUUCUAGGAAGAAAAUUACAACAUAAGAUUCUCACGAGGAGACCGAUCGAUGCUCAAACAUGAAUUAGCAGCCAAGUGUUUGAUUUGCGGUACGGGAAAUGCACAUGGCCAAUGGGCGUGAGUUUUGGCUGAGGAUGAUCAUCUACUAAGGAGAAUGUCUUCACAAAUUUUUAGCUCAAAAGGAGGAUCCUAGGUGGUACUUGCUUUGCAAAGUACCACGCUGGACAAAAAUAUGAAUGUUGAAGCUGGGCUCAAAAUAAUGAAUGGAGUGAGCUGAAAUUUUGUGGAGGAUGGUUAUUUGGGCAUAGGAAAGCAUUGUAGAAAAUUGAUACCAUUUGGACAUGCCAAAGUAGUAGUUCCUUCACAAUGCUCUUCUAUGGAUAGAAACUUGGGAAAACUAGUGAGAGAGAUUGGAUGAAUGAAAUGAGCUCAAAAUUGGUGUAGGUAAGUUACUUUGGUAUGGUCAUGCGCUGGUCAAUUUUCAGAUCAUUUGGGUAAGCCUAGCUAGUACUUACUUCACAAAGCUUCUCUCGAGGUAGAAACUUUGGAAAUUUCCCGAGAAAGAUUUACUAGGAAAAUUGAGCUGAAUAUUACCAUGUGGCAAUGAUUUGGGUAUGGAAGAGUGCACGAAAAGUUUGAGGGUAAUAGGAGGGGUCUAUAUAACACUUGCUUUGCAACGUGCCAAUUUGGCCAUAAAAUAUAAAUUGAACCUGGGCUCACAUAGAUGAUUUGACUAAGCUGCAAUUUGGAGGAGGGUGAUAAUUUGCGCAUAUGAAGGAACUGUAUACAUUUCAUGUCAUUUACAGAUAUAAAAAAGGUACUUCCUUCACAAUGCUUCUAGGUGGACAAAAACUUUGAAAAUUCGCCAAGGAAGAUUUGCUAGGCAAAUGGAGCUGAAUUUUGUCAUGCGGUAAUGAUUUGGAUUGGAAAGAGUGCCCAAAAAUUCCGAGGUCAAUCAAGAAUAUAUAAAUAGCACUUCCUUCAUAAAGUGUUGUUGUGAACAGAAUAGGAAAAUGAAUAUUGUUGAAUUAGUUUUGAACUAGGCAAGGAAGGAUUUUUACAUAUUUGAUGAAGAUAUGCCCCAAAGAAUUUAUGAGAUUUUUUUGGGAAUUUUGGGAAUGAUAGAAAUAUAGGUUGCUUCACAACCUAGGGCAAAAACUGCCACAUGGACAUGACACAUAGGCAAAACUGAUGAGAUGGCGCCUAGUCAUCACAACCCACCACAAUCUACAAGGCUAUGACCAUCUAUAUUGGUCAUUAACAACUAGAAAUAAGGCAGCGGACUAGCACUGUUUGCUUUGUGACCAUUUCGUGUAAGGAAAUUACGACCUUUCUGACCAAAAUGGUCGCAAUGGUUUAGGGUUUGGAGCCCCCUGAAGAGCUUUUGACCAAUUGGUCUAAAAUGGUCAUAAAUUUAUGACCAAUUCUUCGAGGGUCACUGACAGAAGGUCAUAAGUUGACAUAUUUCUUGUACUGAUACUUCAAGCAUACCAACUAAGCAAUCAUGUCUUCUCAAAAUAACAUGGCCAAAGAAAGUUAUCCCUACAAAAUCAUAGUCUGGCUAUGCUCUAUCUUCACCACACAAAAUAUUUAAAUCAUGCACAACCCCGAUGACAUGCCAAGCAAUUGUUUCAUACUUUUGAUGUUCUCAAACUUUUUCAAUCUUCACGCAAUACAUGAGCGUGAGCCAUGGAUAUAGCACUAUAUGGUGGAAAAGAAUGGUGUUUGUGGAGAAGACAAAAAGGAGAAGAUAGUCUCACAUCAACUAGGCGUAUCAAUGGGCUAUGGAGAUGCCCAUUAAUAGAUAUCAAUGUAAGUGAGUAGGGAUUGCCAUGCAACAAAUGCACUAGAUCUAUAAGUGUAUGAAAGCUCAACAAAAGAAACUAAGUGGGUGUGCAUUCAACUUGCUUCCUCAUGAAGACCUAGGGCAAUUUGAGGAAGCCCAUCAUUGGAAUAUACAAGCCAAGUUCUUUAAUGAAAAAUUCCCACUAUUAUAUGAAAGUGAUAUCAUAGGAGACUCUCUAUCAUGAAGAUCAUGGUGCUACUUUGAAGCACAAGUGUGGAAAAAGGAUAGAAGCAUUGUCCCUUCUCUCUUUUUCUCUCAUUUUUUUCUUUGGGCCUUUUUUGGCCUCUUUUCUUUUUCCCUUUUUUUCGUCCAGAGUCUCAUCCCGACUUGUGGGGGAAUCAUAGUCUCCAUCAUCCUUUCCUCACUGGGACAAUGCUCUAAUAAUGAUGAUCAUCACACUUUAUUUACUUACAACUCAAAAAUUACAACUCGAUACUUAGAACAAGAUAUGACUCUAUGUGAAUGCCUCCGACGGUGUACCGGGAUGUGCAAUGAUGCAUGAGUGACAUGUAUGAAAAUUAUGAAUGGUGGCUUUGCCACAAAUACGAUGUCAACUACAUGAUCAUGCAAGCAAUAUGACAAUGAUGAAGCUUGUCAUAAUAAUGGAACAAUGGAAAGUUGCAUGGCAAUAUAUCUCGGAAUGGCUAUGGAAAUGCCAUAAUAGGUAGGUAUGGUGGCUGUUUUGAGAAAGGUAUAUGGUGGGUUUAUGGUACUGGCGAAAGUUGUGCAAUACUAGAGAGGCUAGCAAUGGUGGAAGGGUGAGAGUGUGUAUAAUCCAUGGACUCAACAUUAGUCAUAAAGAACUCACAUACUUAUUGCAAAAUAUACAAGUUAUCAAAGCAAAGUAUUACGCGCAUGCUCCUAGGGGGAUAUAUUGGUAGGAAAGGACCAUCGCUCGUCCCCGACCGCCACUCAUAAGGAAGACAAUCAAUAAAUAAAUCAUGCUCCGACUUCAUCACGUAACGGUUCACCAUACGUGCAUGCUAUGGGAAUCACAAACUUUAACACAAGUAUUUCUCAAAUUCACAAUUACUCAACUAGCAUGACUCUAAUAUCACCAUCUCCAUAUCUCAAAACAAUUAUCAAGUAUCAAACUUCUCAUAGUAUUCAAUGCACUUGUAUGAAAGUUUUUAUUAUUGCCAUGUUGUUCUAAAGGACUCUCAAAAUAAUAUAAGUGAAGAAUGAGAGAACAAUUAUUUCUAUAAAAUAAAACCACAGCCGUGCUCUAAAAGAUAUAAGUGAAGCACUAGAGCAAAAACUAUAUAGCUCAAAAGAUAUAAGUGAAGCACAUAGAGUAUUCUAAUAAAUUCCCAAUCAUGUGAGUCUCUCUCAAAAGGUGUGUACAGAAAGGAUGAUUGUGGGCGAAGGUACACUCCUGUUUUUCCCACCUGUUCGUUUUCUCUCUCGUUUUCCCACCUGCUCCCUCCCUCCCACCUGCUCCCUCACGCCGGCGGCCACUCCGGCCCCGGCGUCCACCUUCCUCGGCGUCGGUCGCCCCGGCCGCACCGCCCAUGGCCUCGUCCCCCCCGCCCUCCGCCGCCGUCGGGCGCUCCCGCGAGGAAAGAUGGCUAGAGUCGAGCCCUUCCUCCGCCGGGUCGCCGCCCACCUACCACCUGAUCCUCUACCGCCCGCCAUCGCCACCCCGGGCGCCCGCUCCCUCCUGUUCUCCUUCCCCUACGCCGUCGCCGACGGGCCCAGCUCCGCUGCCUGCCCCGCGCCCGCCUCCCCGCUCUGAGAUCUGCCAGAGGCCCUUGGAGGAGGUGGAUGCGUGCGUGUCUUGGCAGGUGGUGGUAAGCCGCAAGCGGCCCCGUCUGCGUGCGCUGGACAGCCGCCGGCGUGGCCUGGACGUGCGGCCCUGCCCCAGGCCGUCUUGGCUCCGCGAGGGUGACUGUCCAUGGUGCUUGGGCUCCGGUCACCCCCUCUUCGACUGCAGGAAGGAUAUUCGUUGCCAUCGUUGUCACUUCUUUGCCCACAAGGCCAAGUCUUGCUUCCUCCCCUGGGCCAUCGCGUUGUCCUCCGAUGGUUCCUCCCCUCUGCUUCGGCGCCGCGUUCCCACUCCGGUCGCCGCGGAUGGCCACCCCUCGUCCUCAGGAUCCUUGGCCGCCACGCGCACCUCCUCGGGCUUGCUCACGCCCGCGUUGGGGGCUUUUGGGGCAGGUGCACCCGUGCUCUUCGGGUCUGCCCUGGGCGCCGGAUCGCCCCCGGGACAAGCAUCCCCCGAGUCCUCCGGGUGGACUGCGGCGGCCUCGUCUCGGGCCGCCCUGCCGUCUCCGGCCACCUCUGCCCCUGCGUCUUCCUCGCGGCCUUCCUCGCCGACCUCGGUCGCCUCUUCCGUCGCCACACCGCUCUCUGGGCACCCAGCAUUUCGCCCUGCGGCCGCUGUGUGCUACCCACCGCGCUCCCAGGAGAUCAUCGAGGCAGAGCGUGCGCUGGAGCACGCGCUGCUCGUCAUCGUCACGGGCUGCCGCAUGGGCGUGUCGCGGGAGGAGGUUGCCGACGCCAUUUGCUCCCAGUGUGACCUUGCUGCUGCGGAGUUCACCAUUCACAAGCAUGCUCCAGAAGAUUUCCUCCUCCGCUUCUCCAGCACAGAGUCCCGCACCCACGUCGCCCAGAGCUGCGUUCCCACCUCCCGGUUCAGGCUGAUCUUUCAUCCAUGGGGCCGCGAGGCCGGCUCCGAGCCCGUUAAGGCACUCUUCCUCGUGUCCCUCGAGCUCUACGGCAUCCUUGCUCAUGCUUGGCACCGGGCGGCCACCGAGACCUUGCUUGCCCCCUUCUGCAAGGUCGAGCACCUCGCCCCCGAGACACGCAACCUCGCCGACAUGUACGUUUUUCGUUUGAGUGCAUGGACCAUCAACCCAGACGCGAUUCCGCGCUCCUCCUGCCGGGCGACGAUGCUGUGGAGCUUGACGCCGACCCGGACCGCGCCGAGCGCCUCGCGCUUGGGCUCGCGUGCUUCCCCAUUCGAAUCCAUGUGGCNNNNNNNNNNNNNNNNNNNNNNNNNNNNNNNNNNNNNNNNNNNNNNNNNNNNNNNNNNNNNNNNNNNNNNNNNNNNNNNNNNNNNNNNNNNNNNNNNNNNNNNNNNNNNNNNNNNNNNNNNNNNNNNNNNNNNNNNNNNNNNNNNNNNNNNNNNNNNNNNNNNNNNNNNNNNNNNNNNNNNNNNNNNNNNNNNNNNNNNNNNNNNNNNNNNNNNNNNNNNNNNNNNNNNNNNNNNNNNNNNNNNNNNNNNNNNNNNNNNNNNNNNNNNNNNNNNNNNNNNNNNNNNNNNNNNNNNNNNNNNNNNNNNNNNNNNNNNNNNNNNNNNNNNNNNNNNNNNNNNNNNNNNNNNNNNNNNNNNNNCUGCCUCCGCGUUGGCCGCAGCAUCACCAGUUCCACCCUGCCCGCUCCGGCGGCUCUCGGCGGCACCCUAGUCGGGGCGGCCGCCGGCGCGGUCGUCGCCAUGUGCACGUGCCCCCUCCGUGCCGUGGUUGGGAGGGAAUCUUGGGGCCCCACCCUGAUGCUCUUCCCUUCGCUGACUGGGUCUCCGCGCGGCUCUGAUUGGGCGACACCCCCUUGCUGACCAUUGUCGGGCCACGUGACGCGCCAGACGCGCCAUCCCCCGCGCUGGAGACCAGCCCAUCCGACCUUGUGCAAACCUCAGGGUCCCAGGUGUCCCGGGAUGCGUGCAUUUCAAACCGACCAACCGGCGCCGCGCCUUCCUCCCCAAGCCCCGCUGGGACUUCCCUGGCGAUCCCAAUCAGCCAAUCAGGAGUCGACAACGCCCCUCCCCGUGAUGAUGGGCCUAUGCCGCGCCUGCUGCUGGGCGACAUUGAGGGGCCCAUCCGGCCCCUACCGCCUGUUGCUGAUGCGGCCGACGUGGGAGAUUCGUCUGCGGCCAAUCCCACGCCUCCCCACCCCUUGUCCACAUGCAGCCCAGAUCCCGAGCCGACCGAGGCCCCACCACACUUGGUUGCGGCCUCUCCUAACGCGCCCUCCGUCUGCAUGGACCGCGCCGAUCCCGAGCCUAUGGCGGUCCCACCCUGCUUGGACAUGGUCUUGCAUGCUGCACCCACCGGUCCGGUCGAUGACAGGUCGGCCCCGCCACCCAUGCAACCCAUGCAAAAUACAGAUGUUUCUGCGCCCGACGUGGAUCUUUCCUCUUUCAUCAAUGCCAUCUCCACCAGGGCGUCUGCUCUGCUCCCGGCGCCUAAGCCUCGGCGACGUAGAAAGGAGCUGCCGUCCAACUUCACCCCUCAUCGCAGUUUCCGGAUCGUGCGCGCGGACCAAGGGCUAAACUCCGAGAUGAAAGCCAAGCGGGUGUUGCUUCGUCGUCUCGAUCUCAUCUCUUGUGACGAUGCGCCAAUCUCCGACGAGGUGCUUGGCAAAUACGCCCUCCUCUUCGAGCAGCCACUGGCGUUAGACGUGCUACAAGCUUUCGCCGACUUCUUCGGGUGGCAACUGCCCAGCUUGCUGCCCCCUCCCCUGGGGCAGCUCAUUGUCGCCUAGGUGGCUGCCUCUGCGCCGUCUAUAACGUGCCCCCCUUUUCCUAUGGACUGUAACCUCAAAACAAUUUUUUGGAAUGUCUGUGGUCUUAACUCUGGCGCUAAGCGCUCCGCCGUCCACAGCGUGAUCUCCGCUGCCGUGCCUACCAUAGUGUGUUUCCAAGAGACAAAGCUCGCUCACGUCUCCGACACCAUUGUCGUGGACACGCUAGGUCCGUCCUUUGAGGACUUUUUCUUCCUCCCCGCGGAUGGCACACGCGGUGGCAUCCUCCUAGCUUGGCAAAGUUCUACCAUCUCCCUCUCCAACCCCCUCAUCGGUGAGCAUCACGUUACGGCCUUGGUCUCCUCCUUCGCCGGCGAGGGCCAUUGGUGGCUCACCGGGGUGUACGGGCCUCAAGAUGAUGACGCCAAACUUGAGUUCCUUGCCAAGUUACAUGACGUGCGCGAGUCCCGUAUCGGCACAUGGCUCAUUGGUGGAGAUUUCAACAUGAUCACCUCGGCGUCAGAGAAGAACAACUCUAACAUCAACCGUCGCACCAUGAACAGAUUUAGGUGCUUCAUCGCCGACGAGGAGCUUUGUGACCUCUAUAUGCACGGCCGACGAUAUACUUGGUCCAACAAGCGCGACGCCCCUACUCUUGUUCAUAACGACCGCAUUCUUUGCACCUCCAGUUGGGAGAUCGCCCACCCACACUGUUGGGGAUGUCACUACUGGGCGUAAACCGGCCUAUCUGGGCCGGGUUAACUUUGUCAGUAGUUAAGUAUGUUAAAGCCCAAGAAGGCAGAUGAGGGCUCAAGGCCCAUAGUCAGUUCAAGGCCUAUAGCCGUAAACCGGCGUUGGUAUUUAACUUGCAUUGUAAGUUAGGAAUAAGUAGAGACCAAACCGGACACAUCUAUGAGCCGGUAUUGGGACUCUGUGAACCGACGGGCGUCACUCAUGUAUAUAAGGGGACGACCCGGCGGCGGUUCAGGGACAACAGACAACAACUCGAGACAUAGGCGAAGCUUGUUUGCUCCCUGGUCAUCGAAACCCCAUCAAUUCCAUCACAACUAGACGUAGGCUUUUACCUUCAUCGAAGGGGCCGAACUAGUAUAAACUCUCUUGCGUCCCUGUGUCCGCUUUAACCCCUUCAAGAUAACCCGUCGCGAUGGCUCCAUGACUAAGUCCUUUCUCUAGGACAUCUGCCGUGACAAAAUCACGAUAGUUGGCGCCCACCAUGGAUCGGGAUCUGGCGGCGAGACCGUCAUUUACUCCGGCGAUGAGUCAUCAACCGGAGAAACCGAAUCUCUAUAUCAGCUACAAGAUGGCCGGAUUGGGGGUUGUUCCGAUGGCGACAGUAUUCCGGACCCCUCUGAUCUACCCAGCCGAGUUGGAAUAUUCAUGGCUGGCACACAAGCAGCACUUCAUUCUUCGACCGCUGCGCCAAUGACCUUCGGUUCAGUAGCAGCGACGGCUGCCGGGGCAGGAGGCUCUAUACGCCCGCCGGCUCAAUUUCUAUCAGAUCUGUUUGAUACAUUGGCCGUGCUCAUGGCAGAAGCUAAGCCGGCGGAUCAGGACGCCCACAACGCGGAGAUAGCAAAGGUGAAGGAGCAGAUCACCCAGGCCAAGGCAGACCUGGCAGCUGAGGAUACCAGGAUGACCGUAGAGCGGGCCGCUUUAGACGCACAAGCCUACAAGCUCAUGUUGGACCAGAACGCGUCGCUUGAAGUCAUGAGGAGGAAGUACCGAUCCCGUUUGCCUUCGGUUUUCGAGGCCAGAGACCUUUUCAACACCCCAGGAGCAGGAACCAGUAAUCCGAUGGAGGUAAAUCGGGCGGAAGCCCCUGCGACCGGCGUGCCGGUUCAGCCCCGUCGGACGGAUCUGCCUCGUCAAAAUACCGUUAUACCUCAGGCUGUUUCGACACCUCCGGGUCACUACUCCAACCCGAUGGACAAUCUCGUUGCCGCUGCUGCACGGAUGGAGGCCAUUCCAAUCGAAGGUGACUCGCCGCAGGCAGUAGAGAUGCGGCGGGUCAAGGAGCUUCUGAGGACAGCUUUGGUCCAACAGGAAGCAUGCUCGUACAGCCGUGACCGGAUCCACUCAACACCCCGUCCAAGCCGGAGCUAUAGCAGGCAUAUGGAUGAACCGGAAGUGUCGAGUAAUGAAUGACGUGGAGCACCCCGUGGCAACUACCCGGCGGGUGGUGCUGAUAACGCUUAGGAAGUGGUGGACUGGGCCCGAGCGCGCAGGGAGGCCGAGUUAGCCGCACAGUAUCAGGCUUGGCAGCUUAUGCCGGUUCGUCCAACUAUCUCGAUCGAACCUGGUGUUACUUCUAGUUCUUUGGGGGUGCCUUGCCUUGUCCCCGCUUUACGCAAUGUGCGCCUGCCCAAGGAUUUCAAAGGCCCGCGCAAAGUACCAAAUUACACGGCGGAUCAACCUCCAGAGACAUGGGUGGAGAGCUAUGAGAUGGCCAUGGAGAUGCUUGAUGUGGAUGACGCGGCAUGUGCGAAAUACUUCACCAUGAUGCUUGAAGGAACGGCCCGUACUUGGUUAAAAAGCUUGCCGGCUAAUUCUAUCAGUUCAUGGGCCCAAUUACGAGCCCAGUUUAUCAGCAAUUUCAAGGAUACAUGUAAGCAGCCUAUGUCGAUAGUGGACUUAGCUGCCUGUGUCCAGGAGGAAGGAGAAUCAACGACCCAUUGGGUACGCCGGGUUUCACAAGUGUUGCAUUCGUCAGACCGCAUAAACGCUGACACCGCAGUAUUAACCCUAGAAGGCAACUGCCGGUUUGGGCCCCUGAAGCUGAAGUUGGGACGGAUGAAGCGUCAUUGCACUGACAUGGGGACCCUCAUGGCUGCUUUGGUAAAGUAUGCUGAUUCUGAUAGUACCAAGGAUCCCGAAUCUGAUGAUGACAAGGCAGGAAAGGGAAAGAGGAACGACAACUCCAAAGGGCAGCAGCAUCACUUGGUAGGCAAUGGUGGUGGAGGCAAGCGUAAAGCGGAUGGUAACAUGGACUUUGUGGCUAAUACCAACGCGCAGGACAAGGGCCAGCGAUGCAGGGGUAAACCGCCAAAUCGCAGUGGGGCACCCAACCCUAACCCGGACCGCCUAAACUAUCUACUGAGCCAGCCCUGUCCGAGACAUGGGACGAAGGAGGCGCCAGCAAACCACCUUUGGAAGGAUUGCUUCACUAUGCAGGAGUUCAAGAAUUCUAAUGCUUUCCGGUAUGAUCAUGGCUCCGGCAGUGGUUCAGGAUCCGGGUCGGGUUACGGUGGAGGAAAUUCCGGUUCAUGAUUUAAUGGUAAUCCGGGUGGACAUAAUAAUCAAAAUAAUCAGAACAACCAGGGUGGUAACAACCAACAGCAGCAACAGUCAGGUUACCAGAGCAAUCCAAAGCAGUUGAGUAGUGGGCAGUACCAUGUCUUCACCACUAGCUUGGACAAGCGAGACCGGAAAUUUUAGAGGCGGGCAGUCAACUCAAUUGAACCGGCCGUUGUCGGCGUUCUGGGAACGGGGGUCCCCAGACUUGCUUGCCUGCGGCCUGUGGCGUGGCUCAAAAGGGGGGGGGGCAGCACGGCCCAUCUUCAUCAACACAGACUCAAGACCCUCGCGAGGGGCCAAGCCUCGCGGGGUGGACAACAUGGAGCUUCCUCAAGCACGGCCUCAUCAGGCUGGCCCGCGAGGAGGCGGAGAGAUCAAGGCGGGGUACCUCACGAGGUGCCCGUGACGCAAGCCAUGACGACCAAGGGCGCCAGGCGGGCGCCAGCCCGCGCAGCGUCCUCCUUUCCCCUUUGGUGCAAAGGGGGCAAGCGCAACCGCGGAGUACCGAGGCAUUAGGCAAAGGUUGCCCUUUCGGUGCAACAAGACCAAGACCAGAAGGACUGCAAGACGGAGGUCAUCGUGGAGCCCAAGACGGCGUCACCACCAGAGCUUUGUGCAGGCGAAGACUACUUUUGUCAGGAUAGCUGGUACUAGCUGUCCCCCUUCAAAUUAGCCCGCCAUUGUUGGCUCCCUUCCCGCUCAAUAUUUGGGAAGAGGACCAGGGCCUCUAUAAAUAGGACUAGCCACCCCCAGUAGAGGGCAUCAAGGAUCGAAAAGAGGAGAUCGAAUCAGAGAGAAAGAGAGAGAAGGGUGAUUGAACUCCUCCUAGCAGUUCAUCGCCCCAGCCAAGAACAGACCCUCGCGAGGCUGUUCUUCCUUGUAUUGUUCAUCAUCAUCAGCCCAAGAGGCAAUCCACACACCACACACCGGAGUAGGGUAUUACACCACAACGGUGGCCCGAACCAGUAUAAACCCCGUGUCUCUUGUGUUGUUCUUUCCAUAGCUUAGAUCUUAGCGAGGCGGAGGGGUGCAGGUAGGUAGAAGGCGAAAUCUCCGCGCGCACCCCAGUGUUUGAACCUCAAGGGUCUGCCGGAACCCGAAAUCCGACAUUUGGCGCGCCAGGUAAGGAUGUUUUGUUAAUAUUGUGGUGCUCUAUCCAUCAAUGUCUUUGUUUGCAUUUAUGGAGCGCCCUAGGUUGAGUCAUUCGAGCUCUACUUUUGCUAUAAAAUGAUCCUGGCAGAUUGUUGACAUGUUUAGUGAUUUUGCCGAGGAUGUUGCUAUUGAUCCGUGCAUGAUAUGAUGUUGUUCUUGCCAUGUAUAGCUCCUAUGCCAUGUCUUAUUGAUGAGUGUAUACUUAGUUUGUCAUGCCAUGCCCUGUAGUGAGUGCAUCGAGCUCGUAAACAUGCCUACUCGUUAACUGUUUUACAUGCUCCGGUUUUUCACCAAGUCUGAAUCCGUUUAUGUUUUUGCCAUGUUCACAUGCUUGCAAUUGUAUUUUAUGAUCCCUUUUGGCUCAAGGUCACUAAGGGACUUUUGUUAAGUGCUUUGAGUAGCUUCAUGCCAUGCCUUGCUUUGCCAUGUUAAGUUCCUGUAGCAUGUAGUUUUCAUGCUCUAAAGUGUGCUUCCUGAUGAUAAAUUCCAGACUUGUGUUAAUUUCACUAAGUCUGAAACCUGUUAUCAUUUGCACUUUUGCCAUGCUUGUUUGAACCUGUUAAUGGAUGAAUUAGCCGUAGCUCAGUGUUCAUCUUUUGUCAAGCAUCAUGAGUGGAUCCCUGCCAUUUAUUUUGUUAUCAUGUUUGAGUGUUGUAGCAUAUUUAUCUUGAUGCAUUUAUCUGGCUACUUGCUGAUUAUCGCAGACCGGUGCCAUAUUUGUUUUGUUUGCCAUUUCCAAACCGUGCAUCCGAUUCCGGUGAUCUUUAUAUCGAUUUCAACCGAAAUCACCUCACCUUUCCAAUGGAACUCUUGGAUUUCCAAGUUGAGGCCAGGUUCCAUCAUUCCUUUGCAAAUCUUGCAUAUGCAUCACAUACCGCAUCCCGCAUAUCAUACCAUGUUUGCAUCAUGUUGUUUGAGCAUUGCACGUGGUUGAUUGUGUUCUGUUUGCUUGUUGUUCUUGGUUGGGUAGAGCCGGGAGACGAGUUCGUGAACGAGGAGCCCGUUGAGUUCGCUUACAAGGAUCAAGGCAACUCUAACAACUUUGCAGGCAAGAUGACCAUACCCUCGAAAUCACUUCUAUCUUUGCUUGUUAGAUGCUCGCUCUUUUGCUAUGCCUGGGCUACGAUACCUACCACUUUCUUAUCAUGCCUCCCAAAUUGCCAUGUCAAACCUCUAACCCACCAUGUCCUAGCAAACCGUUGUUUGGCUAUGUUACCGCUUUGCUCAGCCCCGCUUAUAGCGUUGCUAGUUGCAGGUGAAGAUUGGAGAUCGUUCCUUGUUGGAACAUUGUUUAUUGUUGGGAUAUCACAAUAUUAUAUUGUUUAUUUUAAUGCACCUAUAUACUUGGUAAAGGGUGGAAGGCUCGGCCUUAUGCCUAGUGUUUUGUUCCACUCUUACCGCCCUAGUUUCUGUCAUAUCGGUGUUAAGUUCCCGGAUUUUGCGUUCCUUACACGGUUGGGUUAUAAUGGGAACCCCUUGACAGUUCGCCUUGAAUAAAACUCCUCCAGCAAUGCCCAACCUUGGUUUUACCAUUUGCCACCUAGCCUCUUUUUCCCUUGGGUUUCCGGAGCCCAAGGGUCAUCUUUAUUUAAACCCCCCUGCGCCAGUGCUCCUCUGAGUGUUGGUCCGACUGAGCUGCCUGCGGGGCCACCUCAGGGAAACUUGAGGGUUGGUUUUACUCGUAGCUAGUCUCAUCUGAGUGUGCCCUGAGAACGAGAUAUGUGCAGCUCCUAUCGGGAUUUGUCGGCACAUUCGGGCGGUGUUGCUGGAUGUGUUUUACCAUUGUCGAGGAUGUGUUGUAACCGGGAUGCCGAGUCUGAUCGGAUUGUCUUGGGAGAAGGAAUAUCCUUCGUUGACUAUGAGAGCUUGUGAUGGGCUAAGUUGGGACUCCCCUGCAGGGAUUUGAACUUUCGAAAGUCGUGCCCGCGGUUAUGGGUAGAUGGGAAUUUGUUAAUGUCCGGUUGUAGAUAACCUGAAACUUAACUUAAUUAAAAUGAAUCAAUCGCGUGUGUAACCGUGAUGGUCUCUUCUCGGUGGAGUCCGGGAAGUGAACACGGUGUGGAGUAAUGCUUGGCAUAGGUUGUUCUAGGAUCACUUCUUGAUCAUAGUUGUUCGACCGUGCUUUUGCCUUCUCUUCUCGCUCUCAUUUGCGUAUGUUAGCCACCAUAUAUGCUAGUCGCUUGGUGCAGCUCCACAUCAUACCUUGUCUUACCUAUAAGCUUAAAUAGUCUUGAUCGUGAGGGUGCGAGAUUACUGAGUCCCCGUGACUCACAGAUUACUUCCAAACCAGAUGCAGGGACCGAUGAUACCGUUCCAGAUGAUGCGCUUGAGCUCAAGAGGGAGUUCGAUGAAGACUCUCGUUGUUACUAUGUGUCUUUCCCAGAUGGUCAGUAGUGGUGCCCAGUUGGGGCGAUCGGGGACUUUGUCGCAUGUGGGGGUUGAUCUUUAUUUUGGUACCGUAGUCGGACCAUGAGUGUAUUGGAUGAAUGUAAUGUUAUUCAUGUAUUUGUGUGACGUGGCGAGUGUAAGCCAACUAUGUAUAUUUUCCCCUUUUAUCUAUUUACAUGGGUUGUUGUGAAGAUUACCUUACUUGCGAUAUUGCUUUCAAUGCGGUUAUGCCUCUAAGUCGUGCUUCGACAUGUAGGAGAUAUAGCCGCAUCGAGGGCGUUACAUGCUGGAUAUUACUGAAGGUUUAUUGAGGGGUUCUCCACCAUAGCAAAACCAAUGACAGAGUUACUCAAGAAGGAUAAGAAAUUUCUAUGGACUGAAGCUUGCGAGAAAAGUUUCCAAGAACUCAAAAGGAAAUUAACAACAACACCAGUAUUGGUUGUACCAGACAUACACAAAAGUUUUGAAGUAUAUUGUGACGCAUCCCGGAAGGGCCUCGGAUGCGUACUAAUGCAAGAAGGCAAAGUAGUCUCAUACGCUUCCGGGCAACUACGAAAGCAUGAAGAAAAUUAUCCUACUCAUGACUUGGAAUUGGCAGCAGUCAUUCAUGCACUCAAAGAGUGGAGGCACUUUUUGCUUGGAAAUUGUUGUGAAAUAUAUACGGACCAUAAAAGCCUCAAAUAUAUUUUCACACAACCAGAACUCAAUUUACGACAAUAGCGCUAGUUGGAAUUAGUGAAAUAUUAUGAUGUUGGCAUUCACUACCAUCCAGGAAAGGCGAAUGUAGUGGCAGAUGCUCUUAGUCGAAACCCCAGCUCGAGCAAAGACAGUCUACAGAACUUGAGACCUGAAUUUCAGCAGGAGUUCGCCAAACUCAACUUGGUGAUGGUCACUGAAGGCAAUGUGUCAGAUUUGGAAAUACAGCCAACCCUAAUGGAACAGAUUAAGAAGGCUCAUCAUGGACACCCCAACAUCAAAGGCAUAAAAAGAAAAGUGAGUCUGGGAAAGGCUUCAGAAUUCAUCGUAGACGAUAAGGGAAUAUUAUGGUACGGAGACAGACUUUGCGUACCAAAUAUAGUGGACCUCAAACAGCGAAUUCUAGCCGAAGGCCACACCGCUCCAUAUUCAAUCCACCCUAGAGGAACCAAAAUGUACAAGGACAUUCAGGAAAAAAUUUGGUGGCACGGUAUGAAGAGGGAUAUAGCCACAUUCAUUGCAUGUUGUGAUUCAUGUCAGUGCAUUAAAGCCAAACACCAAAAACCAGCACGAAUAUUAUAGCCAAACAGGAUACCUGAGUGGAAAUGGGCCAAAUUUGGAAUGGAUUUUAUUGUCGGACUACCUCGGUCACGACACGGAAAUGAUGCCAUAUGGGUCAUCACAGUUAGAUUAACUAAGGUGUCACAUUUCAUCCCAACAAAGACAACCCACACCACUUAGAAGCUUGCCAAACUUUAUCUCUCCCGUAUAGUUUGUCUGCAUGGAAUUCCAAAGACUAUAAUAUCCGACAGAAGCACUCAAUUCGUCUCUAGAUUUUGGGAUCAUUUACAACAAGCUCUGGGAACUCAACUAGUAUUCACCACAGCAUUGAAGGAAAUAUGCCCUAGAGGCAAUAAUAAAGUUAUUAUUUAUUUCCUUAUAUCAUGAUAAAUGUUUAUUAUUCAUGCUAGAAUUGUAUUAACCGGAAACAUAAUACAUGUGUGAAUAUAUAGACAAACAGAGUGUCACUAGUAUGCCUCUACUUGACUAGCUCGUUGAUUAAAGAUGGUUAUGUUUCCUAACCAUAGACAUGAGUUGUCAUUUGAUUAACAGGAUCACAUCAUUAGGAGAAUGAUGUGAUUGACUUGACCCAUUCCGUUAGCAUAGCACUAGAUCGUUUAGUUUGUUGCUAUUGCUUUCUUCAUGACUUAUACAUGUUCAUAUGACUAUGAGAUUAUGCAACUCCCGUUUACCGAAGGAACACUUUGUGUGCUACCAAAAAUCACAAUGUAACUGGGUGAUUAUAAAGGUGCUCUACAGGUGUCUCCAAAGGUACUUGUUGGGUUGGCGUAUUUCGAGAUUAGGAUUUGUCACUCCGAUUGUUGGAGAGGUAUCUCUGGGCCCUCUCGGUAAUGCACAUCACUUAAAGCCUUGCAAGCAUUGCAACUAAUGAGUUAGUUGCGGGAUGAUGUAUUACGGAACGAGUAAAAAGACUUGUCGGUAACGAGAUUGAACUAGGUAUUGAGAUACCGACGAUCGAAUCUCGGGCAAGUAACAUACCGAUGACAAAGGGAACAACGUAUGUUGUUAUGCGGUUUGACCAAUAAAAAUCUUCGUAGAAUAUGUGGGAGCCAAUAUGAGCAUCUAGGUUCCGCUAUUGGUUAUUGGCCGGAGACGUGUCUCGGUCAUGUCUACAUAGUUCUCGAACCCGUAGGGUCCGCACGCUUAGAGUUUCGGUGAUGAUUGUAUUAUGAGUUUAUGUGAUUUGAUGUACCGAAGGUAGUUCAGAGUCCCGGAUGAGAUUGGGGACAUGACGAGGAGUCUCGAAAUGGUCGAGACGUAAAGAUCGUUAUAUUGGACGACUAUAUUCGGACAUUGGAAAGGUUUCGAGUGAUUCGGGUAUUUUCGGGGCUACCGGGAGUUACGAGAAUACGAGGAAGAAGUAAUGGGCCUCAUGGGCCAAGUGGUGGAAGAGAGGAGGCAGCACGCAUGGCCCCCCUAGCCCAAACCGAAUUGGACUAGGGGGGCGGCCCCCCUUUCCUCCUUUUCCUCCCUCUCCUUCCUUCUCCUUCUCCUCCUUCCUUUCCUCCUCCUAGUAGGAGUAGGAAAGGGGAGUCCUACUCCUACUAGGAGGAGGACUCCUCCUCCUGGUGCGCCCAUAGAGGGCCGGCCGGCCUUCCCCCUUGCUCCUUUAUAUACGGGGGCAGGGGGCACAUCUAGACACACAAGUUGAUCUCUCCCAGCCGUGUGCGGUGCCCCCCUCCACCAUAUUCCACCUCGGUCAUAUCGUAGCGGUGCUUAGGCGAAGCCCUGCGUCGGUAGCAACAUCAUCACCGUCAUUACGCCGUCGUGCUGACAGAACUCUCCCAUGACGCUCUGCUGGAUCGGAGUUCGCGGGACAUCAUCGAGUUGAACGUGUGCUGAACUCGGAGGUGUCGUGCGUUCGGUACUUGGAUUGGUCGGAUCGUGAAGACGUACGACUACAUCAACCGCGUUGUGCUAAUGCUUCCGCUUUCGGUCUACGAGGGUACGUGGACACACUCUCCCCUCUCGUUGCUAUGCAUCACCAUGAUCUUGAGUGUGCGUAGGAAUUUUUUUGAAAUUAAUACGUUCCCCAGUAGUGGCAUCCGAGCCAGGUUUUAUGCGUUGAUGUAAUAUGCACGAGUAGAACACAAGUGAGUUUUGGGCAAUAUAAGUCAUACUGCUUACUAGCAUGUCACACUUUGGUUCGGCGGUAUUGUUGAAUGAAGUGGCCCUGACCGACAUUACGCGUACGCUUACGCGAGACUGGUUUUACCGCCGUGCUAUGCACACAGGUGACUAGCGGGUGUCAGUUUCUCCAAUUUUAGUUGAAUCGAGUGUGGCUACGCCCGGUCCUUGAGAAGGUUAAAACAGCACUAACUUGACAAACUAUCAUUGUGGUUUUGAUGCGUAGGUGAGAACGGUUCUUGCUCGGCCCGUAGCAGCCACGUAAAACUUGCAACAACAAAGUAGAGGACAUCUAACUUGUUUUUGCAGGGCAUGUUGUGAUGUGAUAUGGUCAAGACGUGAGGAGAUAUAAUUUUUUGUAUAAGAUGAUCAUGUUUUGUUGAAGUUAUCGGCAACUGGCAGAAGCCUUAUGGUUGUUUCUUUAUUGCAUAAGAUGCGAGAGCCAAAUAAUUGCUUUACUUUAUCGCUAUGCGAUAGCAAUAGUUGCAAGAGCAAUAGUUGGUGAGGGAGUUCUGGAUUAAGGGGUCUCCGGACAGCCGGACUAUCUCCAUUGGCCGGAUUGUUAGAGUAUGAAGAUACAAGAUUGAAGACUUCGUCUCGUGUCCGGAUGGGACUCUACUUGGUGUGGAAGGAAAGCUAGGCAAUACGGAUAUGGAUAUCUCCUCCUUUGUAACCGACCUUGUGUAACCGUAACCCUCUCCGGUGUCUAUAUAAACCGAAGGGUUUUAGUCCGUAGGACAACAACCAUAACAUACAAUCAUACCAUAGGCUAGCUUCUAGGGUUUAGCCUCUCCGAUCUCAUGGUAGAUCUACUCUUGUACUACCCAUAUCAUCAAUAUCAAUCAAGCAUGACUUAGGGUUUUACCUCCAUCAAGAGGGCCCGAACCUGGGUAAAACAUUGUGUCCCAUGCCUCCUAUUACCAUCCGGCCUAGACGCACAGUUUGGGACCCCCUACCCGAGAUCCGCCUGUUUUGACACCGACAUUGGUGCUUUCAUUGAGAGUUCCUCUGUGUCGUCGCCAUUAGGCUUGAUGGCUCCUACUAUCAUCGAUAGUGAUGCGGUCCAGGGUGAGACUUUUCUCCCCGGACAGAUCUUCGUAUUCGGCAGCUUUGCACUGCAGGCUAAUUCGCUUGGCCAUCUGGAGCAGAUUGAAAGCUACGCCCCUGGCCGUCAGGUCAGAUUUGGAAGUUUGAACUACAUGGCCGACAUCCGCGGAGACUUGAUCUUCGACGAAUUCGAGCCACAGUCGGGCGCGCUGCACUGUCACGAUGGGUAUGACCUAGCGCUGCCGCCGAACAGUACCCCAGAGGCCGCGCCCGCAUCGGCUCCAACCCUUAGCUCGGAGCCAACUGCACCAAUCGAGGACGGGUGGUUAGACACCGCCUCAGGGGCUGCAGUCUCAAUGGCGAUCAAGCCGAACACCAGCCUAACCCUCUGCGCAGCCCGUGACUCCAAGGUGCCGGACUCUUUUCCGGACUCUGAACCAUCCGCGCCCCUGCCAAUCGAAUCCGAUUGGGCGCCGAUCAUGGAAUUCACCGCCGCAGAUAUCUUUCAGCACUCGCCCUUCAGCGACAUUCUGAAUUCACUAAGGUCUCUCUCUUUGUCAGGAGAGCCCUGGCCGGACUAUGGCCAACAGGAUUGGGAUGCGGACGACGAAGAAAUUUGACGCCCACCCACCACCCACUUCGUAGCCACUAUCGAUGAUUUAACCGACAUGCUCGACUUCGACUCCGAAGACAUCGACGGUAUGGACGACGAUGUAGGAGACGAACAUGAACCAGCGCCUAUAGGGCACUGGAAAGCCACCUCAUCAUAUGACAUAUACAUGGUGGAUACACCCAAUGAAGGAAAUGGCGACGAGAUAGCGGAGGAUGACCCCUCCAAGAAGCAACCCAAGCGCCAACGUCAGCGGCGCCGCUCUAAGUCCCGCCAAAGCAAAAGUGGUGAUACUGGCACAGGAGAUAAUAACACUCUGGAUAGUGCCGAAGACGACAACAGUCCCCUCCAGCAAGAUUUAGAGCAGGAGGAUGAAGGAGCCAGCUCUCCUGAGAGAGCGGCAGACGGAGAGGAGGAGGAUGACAAUUACAUCCCCCCCCCUCCGAUGACGAGGCAAGAGCUUACGGCCACGGCAAAUAGCCUGAAGAAAAAGCAGCAGCAGCUUCAAGCUGAUCAAGAUCUGCUAGCUGACAGAUAGACUGAAGUCCUCAUGGCCGAGGAAUAUAAACUCGAGUACCCCUCCAAGAAUUACCCAAAGUGCAGGCUACUACCCCGACUGGAGGAAGAAGCGUAUGAUACGGCUGAUCGGCCACCUCGUGGCCGCGAUAGAGAGGCAUUCCAGCCAAAAGCUCAGCCUCCACCCCAACGCCAUUCAAAUAAAAAGGCAUGGGGAGAUACGCCAGACCUGCGAGACAUAUUGGAGGACAAAGCAAAGCAUGCAAGAUCGAUCUACGGAUCACGACGGCGCACCACUCUGCGAGACGAUAAACGUCACGCCGGAUACAGUAAAAGCAAAUCCGGCCGGGCCGAACACAGCGGGCAAGACCCAUUUGAGCUGCGUUGUGAUAUAGCCCAAUACAGAGGCGCCACACACCCCUUAUGCUUCACAGACGAAGUAAUGGAACAUCAAUUCCCAGAAGGUUUCAAACCUGUAAAUAUUGAAUCAUACGACGGCACAAUAGAUCCUGCAGUAUGGAUUGAGGAUUUCCUCCUCCACAUCCACAUGGCCUGCAGUGAUGACUUACACGCCAUCAAAUACCUCCCACUAAAGCUCAAAGGACCAGCGCGGCAUUGGCUUAACAGCUUGCCAGCGGACUCCAUUAGCUGUUGGGAAGAUCUGGAAGCCGUAUUCCUCGACAACUUUCAGGGCACUUAUGUGCGACCACCAGACGCCGAUGAUAUGAGCCACAUAACUCAGCAGCCAGAAGAGUCGGCCAGACAAUUCUGGGCUCGGUUCCUUACAAAGAAAAAUCAAAUCGUCGACUGUCCGGAUGCGGAGGCCUUAGCGGCUUUCAAGCACAACAUCCGAGACAAGUGGCUAGCCCGGCACCUUGGUCAGGAAAAGAUGAAAUCUAUGGCAGCUCUCACGACGCUCAUGACCCGCUUUUGUGCGGGAGAAGACAGCUGGCUGGCUCACAGUAAUAACAUAUCAAAGAACCAUGGUACCUCAAAUACCAAGGAUGGCAAUAGCAGGUCACGUCGCAACAAACAUAAGCGCCGCAUUAACAGCGAAAAUACUAAGGAUACGGCAGUCAAUGCCGGAUUCAAAGGCUCUAAACCCGGUCAGCGGAAAAAGCCAUUCAAACAAAGUACGCCGGGUCCGUCCAGCUUGGACCGUAUACUCGAUCGCUCGUGCCAAAUAAACGGCACCCCAGACAAGCCAGCCAAUCACACCAACAGGGAUUGUUGGGUGUUCAAGCAGGCCGACAAGUUAAUUGCCGAAAACAAGGACAAGGGGCCGCAUAGCGAUGACGAGGAGGAGCCCCGGCAGCCGCACACUGGAGGACAGAAGAGGUUUCCCCCGCAAGUGCGGAUGGUGAACAUGAUAUACGCAACCCACAUCCCCAAGAGGGAGCGGAAGCAUGUGCUCAGGGACGUAUAUGCGUUGGAGCCAGUCGCCCCAAAGUUCAACCCUUGGUCCUCCUGUCCGAUCACCUUCGAUCGCAGGGACCACCCCACUAGUAUCCGUCAUGGAGGAUUCACCGCACUGGUCCUAGACCCAAUCAUUGACAGAUUUCACCUCACUCGAGUCCUUAUGGAUGGCGGCAGCAGCCUGAACCUGCUUUAUCAGGACACAGUGUGCAAAAUGGGUAUAGACCCCUCAAGGAUCAAACCCACAAAAACGACCUUUAAGGGCGUCAUUCCAGGUGUAGAGGCCCAUUGCACAGGCUCAAUUACACUGGAAGUGGUCUUCGGAUCCCCGGAUAACUUCCGAAGCGAAGAGUUAAUCUUCGAUAUAGUCCCGUUCCACAGUGGUUAUCAUGCGCUGCUCGGGCGAACCGCAUUUGCUAGAUUCAAUGUGGUACCGUAUUAUGCAUACCUCAAGCUCAAGAUGCCAGGACCUUGCGGAGUUAUUACAGUCAAUGGAAACACAAAGCGCUCUCUCGAACAGAGGAGCACACCGUAGCCCUCGCAGUAGAAACGCAAAGCAGCCUCUCAAGGCAAUCAACCAGUUCGGCACUUCACAGCCCGGACACCUUCAAGCGCGCUCGGGGCAAUCAGCAAAUAGACCGCCUGGCGCGAUCUGAGCUCGCGUAGCAAUACGGCGGCCACCCCAAUCCCAGCCCAGCGGUGAAACUCGUGCCGCGCGUACAUAAUUACGCAUUAAAAAUACCAUGGGCACAGGUGGGGAGGGGGCACAACUGCGGCACGCCCCAAAACGUGGCCUAAACCACGCUAGGGGCUUCCCAUUUGGUUAUUUUUUCUUUUUCUUUCAGGACCUUAAUAUCUGGAAACACUGUCUGGCAGCACUAUUGCCGAACACAUGAUGCAGCAACCAAGGAGGAAGACAGCUACGUUAUACCACGGAAUUCCCAGGUUGAUUAUAGUAAUGAGUGAAAUAUUCAAUUUAAUAUCAUUCCUCAGCUUGCCCUUGGAAGGAACAUAGUCCUAAUCUUUGCUUAUCGCAUUAUCUGUAUCACUCUGCUUUAACGCAAUUUUUUAAUAAACAAUGCAUGACAUUACGACUAUUAUUGCAUUCUUGUUAUAUAUAUAUAUAUAUAUAUGUGUGUGUGUGUGUGUGUGUGUGUGUGUGUGUGUGUUCAUUAAUGACACCUUGCAACCGUACACUAUGGUACGGCCAAUACACCAGGGGCUUACAUGCCCCACAAUGCGGUGUGAAAAGUCCGAACACUUUCACAAGUGCGGCACCCCGAACUUAUAGCAUUAUAUGCAUCAGCUCUGAAUCAUGUCUUUGGUCAAAUGUUGGGUUUUCCCGGCUCCUAUGUUUUGGUACCCUACGUUCCGCUCUAUCGGCUAAGGUAGCGCUAGGAGAACUACUGCGAUUGUGCCCCGGUUCUGCUGGGUUCAGCACAUCAGUAGAGAAAGCUAAAACUGACUGUCAUGAUAAGGCGAGAGACUGGUCACUGUUCGGCGAGGUUUCCGAGUCCCUAAAGACUUAUGCCGCUUAGAGCGAGGGCCGGCCCUGUCCGGCUUAAAGGCGUGUAUCGCGCCCCGAACUCGGCCUUCCGAAUACCAGGGGCUUCGCUGAAAUUUAAAAUUAUAGAAUUUUGUGUCUAAGUGAGAGUGAUAAAGCAUUAUUAGUCCGGUUGCCUUGUUCGCUGUGCUGAGCACCUCCCUUGAAGGACCCAAACAUGGGAACAAGAGUGCUCAAGUUUAUCUCGAACACCCCAGCACUCGUGGCAUGGGGGCAGAAGCCGAGGACUAGCCAUCUCUCAGAUUGGAUAAACAGCCAAACAGAAGGUAAUAUUUCAAAUUCCAACAAGCAUUGCAUAGCGCAUAUGAAACAAGUUUUCAUACAUACAGGAUCAAACGAGCAAGUCUCAUUCAAAUAUUACAUCUUUUGAACACUCGUCCGUGAUGAGACGGGCACUCGGUGCGCUCCUUGGCCGCUUUGUCUUCGGCCUUGGUUAGCGCUUGCUUCAGGGUCGCCACCUCGGUUGUGGCCCCUGGCAAACAUACGAUGAUCCUGUCAUUUUGCAAUCGCGUCCUCUUUUAUAUAUACAUAUCUAUAGACAGGGUAUUACUUACCCUUGUUCUCCUCGAGCUGCCUAUUGGCAAGGCCGAGCUCUUUCUUGGACCCCUCGAGGUCCUGCUUCAGUACGGCGACCUCCGUAGUCAGUGCGGCGGAUGCCAGCUACGAAGUCUGCAUAUGCAUAUUGACACACUUAUGUUAGACUCCUGCGAUAUUAUUUGAUCCUCUGUUCGGCUUUUCUUUGUGAACACCGAACAAAGCAUCAGGGGCUACUGUCUAUGCGGUAAUAUUUCUACCACAUUUUAAAACGCUUACCUCGAAGCCUGUUAGAAGGCUGGCACAGGCUUCAGUCAAUCCGCUCUUGGCGGACUAAACCUUCUGGAUCACCGCACUCAUGAUAGUGCGGUGCUCCUCGUCGAUGGAAGCGCCGCGAAGCGCUUCCAGCAUGUUGUCCGGCGCCUCUGGAUAGAUAGAGGUCACCGGCAUAGGCGUCUUGCCCCUCUUAGAAGGAGGCCGCCUGCCCGAGCCUGGAACCGCUGGAGGUUCCGGCGCGGUGUUCAGCUGAGGGCCGAACUCGGAGCUCUCAGGGGCCCCGUCCCCUCGGCUCCCGGAGUCCGGAAGGUCGCCUUGAGGCGCCUCCGGGACUGUCUUCCCUCGAUCCGGUGCCUCUUGAGACAACACCUCGGCGUCGUCGGCAGGAUGAGGGGAGGUUGUGGUCGGGACAGGAUCGUUGUCCAUGUCCGACGAGCCCAGGGAGCCGUCCGAUGAUACCUCGAUAUUGGCUCGUGGCAGCCUGCAUAAUUAUGUUCGGCGUUAGGGAAAGCAGUGCGACAAAGGAAUCCUAUGGGUUACUCUAGUAUCCGAAUACUUACGAUCUCCCCUGGGGCUUGGCCCUGGGCAACCACUCGUCUUCGCCUUCGUCGGCGACGGUGGAGCUGUCCGGAAGGAGGGUCCUUCCCUUCUUGGACCCUUCGCCCCCCUAGUUUGGGCGGCCUUCCUUUUCCUGUCUCCCCCAGUCAGUGGGGGAGCAUCUUCUUCUUCUUCUUCCUCGUCUUCGAGGGAAGAGUGCGCCGCAGAGUCAUCGAACGGUGAGUCCGCGACGCCUGGCGUCGGGAACUCUUUCGGGUUCCCUUGGCCUUCUUGGUCUUCUCCGGCACCGUAUAAGGGGCCCAAGUCAACAUCUUCGCCAGAAGAGCGUCUGCGGGGCCUUCAGGCAAAGGAGCCGGACAGUCGAUCUGUCCGGCCAUCUUCUGCCAGUCCUGUCAAAGGUACGGGAGUUUAGAUCCUGCAUAGAGUCAAUCUAUAAAAAAAUAAGUAUCCUGUGAAAGGUAAAGCAGCUUACCGCACUGGCUUGGCGCUUCGCGCGGAAUCCGCGAUCCUCGGUAAUAGGAGGGGGGACCUCGGCACUUUUGAACAGCACCCUCUAGGCAUCUUUAUGAGUCGUGUCGGAGAACCUGUUCAGAGUUCGGUGCUGCACCGGGUCGAACUCCCACGAAUUGAACUCCCGUUGUUGGCACGGGAGGAUCCGGCGGAUGAGCAUAACUUGGACUAUGUUGACAAGUUUGAGCUUCUUGUUCACCAUGUUUUGAAUACAUGUUUGGAGUCCGGUCAGCUCUUCCGAACUACCCCAGGACAGGCCCUUCUCUUUCCAGGAGGUGAGCCGUGUAGGGAUGCCAGAUCGGAACUCAGGGGCCGCUGCCCAUACAGGGUCGUGCGGCUCAGUGAUGUAGAACCACCCCGAUUGCCACCCCUUUAUGAUUUCCACAAAGGAGCCCUCGAGCCAUGUUACGUUGGGCAUCUUACCCACCAUGGCGCCUCCGCACUCCGCCUGGCGGCCUCCCACCACCUUCGGCUUGACAUUGAAGGUCUUCAGCCAUAGGCCGAAGUGGGGCUUGAUGCGGAGGAAGGCCUCGCACACGACGAUAAACGCUGAGAUGUUGAGGAUGAAGUUCGGGGCCAGAUUACAGAAAUCCAGUCCAUAAUAGAAGAUGAGCCCCCGGACAAAUGGAUGGAGAGGGAAUCUCGAUCCGUGGAGGAAAUGGGUGAGGAAUACUACCCUCUCAUGGGGCCUGGGGGUGGGGAUGAGCUGCCCCUCAUCUGGAAGCCGGUGCGCGAUGUUGUCAGGCAGGUAUCUGGCUCUCCUCAGUUUCUUGAUGUCUCCCUCCGUGACGGAGGAGACCAUCCACCUGCCUCCUGCUCCGGACAUGGUUGGAGAAGGUUCGGGUGGGAAGUGUGGACUUGGGCGCUAGAGCUCGAGCAUGCGAAAACGGAUGAGAAAAGGAGGAAGAAGGCGUGGAUAGAAAGGUGAAUCCUUAUCCCUUUAUAUGGGCGGACGAAGCUAAGCGUCCCCACUUGCCUGGUAAAACUCACUUAUCCCCCAGGCGCCGCAAUUGAUGGUGCGGUUGGGUUACCCAAGACCAUAUUGAUGAGAAUCCCGUAAUAAGGGGACACGAUCUCUGCUUUGACAUGACGUGUCGAAAAACUGCCUCGCGUUAUGUGCGGGGCUGGUUAAAGGAAACGGUUCGAAUAAUCACCGGGCCAUGACAUAACGUUAUGCUGCCAAAACAAGUCAGUGAAUUGGAUUUGCGAAAAUAUUAUUCUCUCUACGGCGGUAUGUGGAACUUAGUUUGCAGGGUCGGACACUAUCGUCGUAUUCAAAUUCUUCUAUGAUGUAUUCGGAGAAGGAACCCGCCUUGCAAUGCCGAAGACAAUACUGCGCGCCGGACUCAUCGUCAUUGAAGCCUGGUUCAGGGGCUACUGAGGGAGUCCUGGAUUAGGGGGGACAGCCAGACUAUCUCCAUUGGCCGGACUGUUAGACUAUGAAGAUACAAGAUUGAAGACUUCGUCUCGUGUCCGGAUGGGACUCUACUUGGCGUGGAAGGCAAGCUAGGCAAUACGGAUAUGGAUAUCUCCUCCUUUGUAACCGACCUUGUGUAACCCUAACCCUCUCCGAUGUCUAUAUAAACUGAAGGGUUUUAGUCCGUAGGACAACAACCAUAACAUACAAUCAUACCAUAGGCUAGCUUCUAGGGUUUAGCCUCUCCGAUCUCGUGGUAGAUCUACUCUUAUACUACCCAUAUCAUCAAUAUCAAUCAAGCAGGACGUAGGGUUUUACCUCCAUCAAGAGGGCCCGAACCUGGGUAAAACAUUGUGUCCCCUGCCUCCUGUUACCAUCUGGCCUAGACGCAUAGUUCGGGACCCCCUACCCGAGAUCUGCCGUUUUUGACACCGACAGUUGGCGAGACGACCAUGUGACGACACAUUGAUAUAGAUCAAGAUGAUGGAGAUCAUGGUGUCAUGCCGGUGACGAUGGAAAUCAUGACGAUGCUUUGGAGAUGGAAAUCAAAGGCACAAGAUGAUGAUGGCCAUAUCAUGUCACAUAUUUUGAUUGCAUGUGAUAUACAUCUUAUUUUGCUUAGUUCGGCGGUAGCAUUAUAAGAUGAUCUCUCACUAAAUUUCAAGAUAAAAGUGUUCUCCCUGAGUAUGCACCGUUGCCAAAGUUCAUCGUGCCCAGACACCACAUGAUGAUCGGGUGUGAUAAGCUCUACGUCCAUCUACAACGGGUGCAAGCCAGUUUUGCAGAUGCAGAAUACUCAGGUUAAACUUGACGUGCCUAGCAUAUGCAGAUAUGGCCUCAGAACACUGAGACCGAAAGGUCGAGCGUGAAUCAUAUAGUAGAUAUGAUCAACAUAAUGAUGUUCACCAUUGAAAGCUACUCCAUUUCACGUGAUGAUCGGUUAUGGUUUAGUUGAUUUGGAUCACGUGAUCACUUAGAUGAGUAGAGGGAUGUCUAUCUAAGUGGGAGUUCUUAAGUAAUAUGAUUAAUUGAACUUUAAUUUAUCAUGAACUUAGUCCUGAUAGUAUUUGCAUAUCUAUGUUGUAGAUCAAUAGCUCGCGUUAUUGCUUCCCUAUGUUUUAUAUGUGUUCCUAGAGAAAACUAAGUUGAAAGAUGAUAGUAGCAAUGAUGCGGACUGGGUCCAUGAUCUGAGGUUUAUCCUCAUUGCUGCACAAAAGAAUGAUGUCCUUGAUGCACCGCUAGGUGACUGACCUAUUGCAGGAGCAGAUGCAGACGUUUUGAACAUUUGACUAGCUCAAUAUGAUGACUACUUGAUAUUUUAGUGCACCAAGCUUAACAGCUUAGAAUCGGGAUUUCAAAGACGUAUUGAACGUCAUGGACCAUAUGAGAUGUUCCAGGAGUUGAAAUUAAUAUUUCAAGCAAAUACCCGAGUUGAGAGAUAUGAAGUCUCCAACAAGUUCUAUAGCUAAAAGAUGGAGGAGAAUAGCUCAAGCAGUAAGCAUGUGCUCAGAUUGUCUAGGUACUACAAUCGCUUGGAUCAAGUGGGGCUUAAUCUUCCAGAUAAAAUAGUAAUUGACAGAAUUCUCUAGUCACCGUCACCAAGUUAGUAGAACUUAGUGAUGAACUGUAAUAUGCAAGGGAUGGCGAAAACAAUUCCCAAGCUCUUCGCGAUGCAAAAAUCGGCGAAGGUAGAAAUCAAGAAAAACAUCAAGUGUUGAUGGUUGACAAGACCACUAGUUUCAAGAGAAAGGGCAAAGGGAAGAAGGGGAACUUCAAGAAGAACGGCAAACAAGUUGCUGCUCAAGUGAACAAACCCAAGUCUGGACCUAAGCCUGAGACUAAGUGCUUCUACUGCAAAGGGACUAGUCACUAGAAGCGGAACUACCCCAAGUAUUUGGUGGAUAAGAAGGAUGGCAAAGUGAACAAAGCUAUAUUUGACAUACAUGUUAUUGAUUUGUACUUUACUACUGUUUAUAGCAACCCCUCGGUAUUUGAUACUGGUUCAGUUGCUAAGAGUAGUAACUCGAAAUGGGAGUUGCAAAAUAAACAGAGACUAGUUAAGGGUGAAGUGACGAUGUGUGUUGGAAGUGGUUCCAAGAUUGAUAUGAUCAUCAUCGCACACUCCCUAUACUUUCGGGAUUAGUGUUGAAGCUAAAUAUAUGUUAUUUGGUGUUUGCGUUGAGCAUAAAUAUGAUUGGAUCAUGUUUAUUGCAAUACGGUUAUUCAUGUAAGUUAGAGAAUAAUUGUUGUUCUGUUUACAUGAAUAAAACCUUCUAUGGUCAUACACCCAAUGAAAAUGGUUUGUUGGAUCUCGAUCGUGGUGAUACACAUUUUCAUAAUAUUGAAGCCAAAAGAUGCAAAGUUAAUAAUGAUAGUGCAACUUAUUUGUGGCACUGCCGUUUAGGUCAUAUUGGUGUAAAGCGCAUGAAGAAAAUCCAUGCUGAUGGGCUUUUGGAAUCACUUGAUUAUGAAUCAGUUGAUGCUUGCGAACCAUGCCUCAUGGGCAAGAUGACUAAGACUCCGUUCUCCGGAACAAUGGAGCAAGCAACAAAUUUGUUGGAAAUCAUACAUACUGAUGUAUGUGGUCCGAUGAAUAUUGAGGCUCGCGGCAGGUAUCAUUAUUUUCUGAUCUUCACAGAUGAUUUGAGCAGAUAUGAGUAUAUCUACUUGAUGAAACACAAGUCUGAAAUAUUUGAAAAGUUCAAAGAAUUUCAGAGUGAAGUGGAGAAUCAUUGUAACAAAAAUAAAAGUUUCUACGAUAUGAUCGCAGAAGUAAAAUAUUUGAGUUACGAGUUUGGCCUUCAGUUAAAACAAUGUGAAAUAGUUUCACUACUCAUGCCACCUGGAACACCACAGUGUAAUGGUGUGUCCGAACGUCGUAACCGUGCUUUAUUAGAUAUGGUGCGAUUUAUGAUGUAUCUUACCGAUUACCACUAUCGUUUUGGGGCUAUGCAUUAGAGACAGCUACAUUCACGUUAAAUAGGGCACCAUCUAAAUUUGUUGAGAUGACACCGUAUGAACUGUGGUUUGGCGAGAAACCUAAGCUGUCGUUUCUUAAAGUUCGGGACUGUGAUGCUUAUGUGAAAAAGUUUCAACAUGAUAAGCUCAAACCCAAAUCGGAGAAGUAAAUCUUCAUAUGAUACCCAAAAGAAAAUGUUGGGUACACCUUCUAUCACAGAUCUGAAGGCAAGAUAUUCAUUGCUGAGAAUGGAUCCUUUCUAGAGAAGGAGUUUCUCUCGAAAGAUGUGAGUGGAAGGAAAGUAGAACUUGAUGAGGUAACUGUACCUGCUCCCUUAUUGGAAAGUAGUUCAGCACAGAAAUCUGUUCCUGUGACUACUACACCAAUUAGUGAGGAAGCUAAUGAUGAUGAUCAUGUAACUUCAGAUCAAGUUACUACUGAACCUCGUAGGUAAACCAGAGUGAGAUCCGCACCAGAGUGGUACCGUAAUCCUGUUCUGGAGGUCAUGUUACUUGACCAUGACGAACCUACGAACUAUGAGGAAGCGAUGAUGAGCCCAGAUUCUGCGAAAUGGCUUAAGGCCAUGAAAUCUGAGAUGAGAUCCAUGUAUGAGAGCAAAGUAUGGACUUUGAUUGACUUGCCCAAUGAUCGGCGAACCAUUGAGAUUAAAUGGAUCUUCAAGAGGAAGACAGACGCUGAUAGUAGUGUUACCAUCUACAAAGCUAGAAUUGUCGCAAAAAGGUUUUCGACAAGUUCAAGGUGUUGACUACGAUGAGAGUUUCUCACUCGUAUCUAUGCUUAAGUCUGUCCGAAUCAUGUUAGCAAUUGCCGCAUUUUAUGAAAUCUAGCAAAUGGAUAAACAAAACUGCAUUCCUUAAUGGAAUUAUUAAAGAAGAGUUGUAUAUGAUGCAACCAGAAGGUUUUGUUAAUCCUAAAGGUGCUAACAAAAUAUGCAAGCUCCAGCGAUCCAUCUAUGGACUGGUGCAAGCAUCUCGGAGUUGGAAUAUACGCUUUGAUAAGUUGAUCAAAGCAUAUAGUUUUAUACAGACUUGCGGUGAAGCCUGUAUUUACAAGAAAGUGAGUGGGAGCACUACAACAUUUCUGAUAAGUAUAUGUGAAUGACAUAUUGUUGAUCGGAGAUAAUGUAGAAUUAUUCUACAAAGCAUAAAGGAGUGUUUGAAAGGAGUUUUUCAAAGAAAGACCUCAGUGAAGCUGCUUACAUAUUGAGCAUCAAGAUCUAUAGAGAUAGAUCAAGACGCUUGAUAAGUUUUUUCAAUGAGUACAUACCUUGACAAGAUUUUGAAGUAGUUCAAAAUGAAUAGUCAAAGAAAGAGUUCUUGCCUGUGUUACAAGGUGUGAAAUUGAGUAAGACUCAAAGCCCGACCACGGCAGAAGAUAGAAAGAGAAUGAAAGUCAUUCCCUAUGCUGAAAAUAUGCCAUGCUUUGUACCGGAUCUAUUGUAUACCCUACAUUGUUUUUGGCAAGGGAGUACAAUAGUGAUCUAGGAUUAGAUCACUGUACAGCGGUCAAAAUUAUCCUUAGUGGAAUAAAGAUAUGUUUCUCGAUUAUGGAGGUGACAAAAAGGUUCGUCGUAAAGGGUUACGUCGAUGCAAAUUUUGACACUGAUCCAGAUGACUCUAAAUCUCAAUCUGGAUACAUAUUGAAUGUGGGAGCAAUUAGCUAGAGUAGCUCCGCACAGAGCAUUGUUGACAUAGAAAUUCGCAAAAUAUACGGGUCUGAAUGUGGCAGACCCGUUGACUAAACUUCUCUCACAAGCAAAACAUGAUCACACCUUAGUACUCUUUGGGUGUUAAUCACAUAGCGAUGUGAACUAGAUUAUUGACUCUAGUAAACCCUUUGGGUGUUGGUCAUAUGUCAAUGUGAACUAUGGGUGUUAAUCACAUGGUGAUGUGAACUAUUGGUAUUAAAUCACAUGGCGAUGUGAACUAGAUUAUUGACUCUAGUGCAAGUGGGAGAUUGAAGGAAAUAUGCCCUAGAGGCAAUAAUAAAGUUAAUAUUUAUUUCCUUAUAUCAUGAUAAAUAUUUAUUAUUCAUGCUAGAAUUGUAUUGACCGGAAACAUAAGACAUGUGUGAAUACAUAGACAAACAGAGUGCCACUAGUAUGCCUCUACUUGACUAGCUCGUUGAUCAAAGAUGGUUAUGUUUCCUAACCAUAGACAUGAGUUCUCAUUUUAUUAACGGGAUCACAUCAUUAGGAGAAUGAUGUGAUUGACUUGACCCAUUCCGUUAGCAUAGCACUUGAUCGUUUAGUUUGUUGCUAUUCCUUUCUUCAUGACUUAUACAUGUUCCUAUGACUAUGAGAUUAUGCAACUCCCGUUUACCGGAGGAACACUUUGUGUACUACCAAACAUCACAAUGUAACUGGGUGAUUAUAAAGGUGCUCUACAGGUGUCUCCAAAGGUACUUGUUGGGUUGGCGUAUUUUGAGAUUAGGAUUUGUCACUCCGAUUGUCGGAGAGGUAUCUCUGGGCCCUCUUGGUAAUGCACAUCACUUAAAGCCUUGCAAGCAUUGCAACUAAUGAGUUAGUUGCGGGAUGAUGUAUUAUAGAACGAGUAAAGAGACUUGCCGGUAACGAGAUUGAACUAGGUAUUGAGAUACCGACGAUCGAAUCUCGGGCAAGUAACAUACCGAUGACAAAGGGAACAACGUAUGUUGUUAUGCGGUUUGACAGAUAAAGAUCUUCGUAGAAUAUGUGGGAGCCAAUAUGAGCAUCCAGGUUCCGCUAUUGGUUAUUGGCCGGAGACGUGUCUCGGUCAUGUCUACAUAGUUCUCGAACCUGUAGGGUCCGCACGCUUAAAGUUUCGGUGACGAUUGUAUUAUGAGUUUAUGUGAUUUGAUGUACCGAAGGUAGUUCGGAGUCCUGAAUGAGAUCGGGUACAUGACGAGGAGUCUCGAAAUGGUCGAGACGUAAAGAUCGAUAUAUUGGACGACUAUAUUCGGACAUCGGAAAGGUUCCAAGUGAUUCAGGUAUUUUCGGGGGUACCGGGGAGUUACGGGAAUACGAGGAAGAAGUAAUGGGCCUCAUGGGCCAAGUGGUGGAAGAGAGGAGGCAGGACGCGUGGCCCCCCUAGCCCAAACCGAAUUGGACUAGGGGGCUGGCCCCCCUUUCCUCCUUUUCCUCCCUCUCCUUCCUUCUCCUUCUCCUCCUUCCUUUCCUCCUCCUAGUAGGAGUAGGAAAGGGGAGUCCUACUCCUACUAGGAGGAGGACUCCUCCUCCUGGCGCGCCCAUAGAGGGCCGGCCGGCCUCCCCCUUGCUCCUUUAUAUACAGGGGCAGGGGGCACAUCUAGACACACAAGUUGAUAUGUUGAUCUCUCCCAGCCGUGUGCGGUGCCCCCCUCCACCAUAUUCCACCUCGGUCAUAUCAUAGCGGUGCUUAGGCGAAGCCCUGCAUCGGUAGCAACAUCAUCACCGUCAUUACGCAGUCGUGCUGAUAGAACUCUCCCGUGAAGCUAUGCUGGAUUGGAGUUCGCGGGACGUCAUCGAGCUGAACGUGUGCUAAACUCGGAGGUGUCGUGCGUUCGGUACUUGGAUCGGUCGGAUCUGAAGACGUACGACUACAUCAACUGUGUUGUGCUAACGCUUCCGCUUUCGGUCUACAAGGGUACGUGGACACACUCUCCCCUCUCGUUGCUAUGCACCACCAUGAUCUUGAGUGUGCGUAGGAAUUUUUUUGAAAUUACUACGUUCCCCAACAAGCAUACCACCGCCAGACUGGAGGACAAACUGAACGUGUGAACCAAAUUCUAGAGGACAUGCUGAGAGCAUGUGUUCUCACCUAUGGAACUAAUUGGGAAGAAAGCUUGUCGUAUGCCGAGUUCGCAUACAACAACAGUUACCAAGCCAGUCUACAAAUGGCACCUUUUGAAGCCUUGUGCGGGCGAAGAUGCCGUACCUCAUUAAAUUGGUCAGAAACAGGAGACAGUCGUAUCUUCGGCCCAGACAUGCUCAAGGAAGCUGAGGAGAAAGUUAGACUAAUCAGGGAUCGACUCAAGAUAGCCCAGAGCCGACAAAAGAGUUAUUACGAUCAAAAACAUCGUGAAGUCUUCUUUGAACCCGGUGAAUAUGUGUAUCUACGAGUAUCUCCUAUGAGGGGCCUGCAACGAUUCAAAGUUAAAGGAAAGCUAGCACCACGGUUUAUUGGACCCUUUUGUGUGAUUGCACGAAGAGGCACAGUGGCCUACCAGCUAGACCUACCCGAAGAACUGUCAGGCGUCCACGACGUCUUCCACGUCUCACAGUUGAGGAAAUGUGUAAGCAACCCCGAAAAGCAUGUAUCUCACGAGAACAUUGACAUGCAACCAGACCUCACCUACACGGAACGUCCAAUAAAAAUAUUGGAGGAGUCUGAAAGAAGGACCCAUCAGAAAACAAUUAAGUUUUUCAAGGUCCAGUGGAGUAAUCACACCGAGGAUGAAGCAACAUGGGAAGGAGAGGAUUUCCUUCGGGUAGAGUACCCACACCUAUUUGAGGAUCAGCUGAAAUCUCGGGGACGAGAUUUUUCCUAAGGGGGUAGGUGUUGUAACACUCCAAAAAUUUUGAUUUUGGUUUUUAUCAAAUUCUUUAAUUAAUUGGAAGGAGGUUAUUUAAAAAAAAUUCUAAAAGACUCUCGUUCUCAAAAAAAAUCUUUUAUGACAAGUAUUUUUAUGGGUUCUUCCCAACCUUGAUUGUUGGUCUUGAAGAUUUUUCAUCUUGUGUUGGCUCAACACAAAUAAUUUUGGAAGGUUUUUACAAUUCCUUUUUAUUAAAAAGAACUCCUAUAAAUUAUGAAUUUUAUUUUUCCCCAUUCAAAAAGUACUCUCUUGCCAUGGCCUAUGUAGAAAACUUUCUUCCAAAACCCACCUCCCUACUUUGGGUCAAGCCAAGCAUCCAAUUCCAGCAAGUUUCAACCUCUUUUAGAUUAUAUUUCUAUUUAUUUUAUCCUCAAACCUUUUUCUAUAUUUUAUUUUGGACUCCUGGGAUUUACAAAGGAGGUACCAGAUUUCUUAAGUUUCUAAGCCCAAGUAACUUACACUAGCUACUCCUUAGUACCCUCAACCUAGAUCCAUCAAGAUCUGCUAGUCCACAGUUCAAAUUUUUCAAAUUUUACUUGCUGCAAGUUUGGACCAGAUUUGCCAUUUUUGGUGAAAUUCAUUCUUUUCCUUUUCCAAAAAUUCUGAGAAAAUUCAGGCAGUCUCUGGAUGCAUCAAGAGGCCAUCUCACCAAAUUUCAGCUCAAGAAAAAAUUUCCACGUGCGCCAAACAUUUUGUCGAACAGCUGGUGUGCACUGUUCCUAUUCAAAUUCAGAGUUUCAGUGUUAAGCUUCAGUCGUCAGUGUUGUUUUCUUCACAGCUUGGCGUCAAUCUCGCCAGUGCUCGCCCUGGCCUCUUGCUCCCUGUUCCCCCUCCUUAUCCAGUGCGCCGCAUGGUUGUUUGGCCGGUCGCAAGCGUCGGUGGCGAUGUGUCACGUCAACUCUGGCGCCUCCCGCGGUGGCAGAACCGCCCGUGGCGGCCAGCAGGGGCCAGCCCUGCAGUAUGGCGUCGUCCAGCACCGCCCACACCACCAGGAGCCUCCGCGUGGCCGUCAUCUUCUCUGUGCGCGCUGCAGAACCAUCAUCGUGGCCUGAGAGGUGCAGAGCGCGCUCUCUGCCGCCGACGAGCCCGUGAGCUCCGUUCCAUCGAAGCCACGGGAGCAGGCCAGAUCCGAUCAAGCUUAGCUGUUGAAUGGAGCCAGUGGACCAAUCCGAAGAUGCCCAGUCACCUAAACCUCCAGCCCGACCACUGCCUCGCCGUAAUCGCUCGCCGGAGUGAUCCCGUUCUCGGCAACCGCCUCGGGCCGGCUAUAAAUGGAGGCCCCGAGCUCGCCUUCGACCCAGCACCACCUGCACCUCACCAGAACCGCGCCCAGCCGCUAGGAGGACCUCGAGGAGGCCUUCUUCCCCGACUCCGGCCGCCCCGAUCCGCUUCGGGCUCCGGCAAGAUUCUCUCUAGUGAGUGCACCCCCGCUCCCCAACCUCUGCCAGUAGCAUCCUAGUGCACCCGCUUGCCUGACCCGCGCUUCAAUUUGGAGUUUGCAGCUCCCUUCGGAGAGAAUCAUCCUCGAUCGAACCACCAUCCGCCAGAGUGGAGGCCGCCGUCGACGUGGUGCUCGCCGAUGACCAACUCGACCACCCACAGACGCGAGAGAACUCUGUGAGUCUAUAGGUACCUUCCACUCCCCCUACCUCGCCGUGGAUCGAUGCCGGCGACCACUGUGAGCCUCGGGUGCCGGUGGGACUCUGUUCUGAAUUUCAAACCUGACGGGUGGGACCCCCUCGUCAGCCUCACCCUUCCCCUUCGAACCAUUUUCCGUUAGCACCUUCGGCCCGGAUACGUUUUCCCCUCUGGAAGGCGUAUUCCAACUGAAGUGUUUUCUGUUUUUCUAAGCUAGCCCCUGGAAAGUUUCUGUUUCAUCACAGAUUAGUCCCUGGACUAAAACCUUUAUAACUUUUAAACAAAAGAUGAUUUUGAGCUGAUUCUUUUUCUGUCAUCUUUAUUUUUCUAUCUAGUUUUUUUAUCAUAUUUAUUUGAAUAUGGUUUAGUAAGUUGCAAACCUCUUUCCUUGUACACACCAAAUAGAGGGGUCGUGAUGAGGGUUCCAUGGCCCUGGAUUAAAGCCCGUCAUCCGGUCAGGGGCAUGGGUGUUUCAGGUUGGGACCGAGAGGGGGGCACCCCUUAGAGCGCGUGAUAUAAAUUUGAUCCCAUGCUAUUCGAGGUUGUAGCCUCCCCGUCUUAGAGUUUUUCUUGAACGUUGCCUAGGGUGAUUCCUGGCAGCGGAAUGUGGAAUGGGUGUGUACUGGUUAGAUGUGUUUCUCCUAAAAUACUGUAAACGGAACUAGUCCUUUGUGACUACUGAAAUUCGUUGGCUGUGGUUAAAGAGUACAAACUCUGCAGAGUCAUAACCAUUCGAGUAACCAUGUCCAUGGUCAAGGACUUGAACAACAUCUCAGUGUCAGUGUCAGUCUCAGUGUCAAUCUCAGUGUCAGCCUCAGUGACAGUCUCCGGAGAAUAAGCACGAAACUGAGAGUGGUAAACCCGGCUGAAUGUUAUUCCUGUGGAUGGACUAACCAGUUUAUUAUCAUGUACCGAGUAUUCCGUUGAAUGAUGUUACCUUCAUGAGCUACUUGAAUUCGAAUGAUGAGAUAUAAGCCCUUUAUGUGAUGUCGCUCAAACGUUCGACUGUGGCAUUCUUGUUAUUUACUUUUGAUAUAAGCCCUUUAUGUGAUGUCGCUUAGACGUCUGACUGUGGCAUUCUUGUUAUUUACUUUUGAUAUAAGCCCUUUAUGUGAUGUCACUCAGACAUCCGACUGUGGCAUUCUUGUUAUUUACUUUUGAUAUAAGCCCUUUAUGUGAUGUCGCUCAGACGUCCGACUGUGGCAUCGGAGUUAUUUACUUUCAUUAUAAGCCCUUUUCGAGAUGUCGCUUAGACGUCCGACUGUGGCACAUACUGUCAUUUACGUUUCAAUAUAAGCCCUUUAUGUGGUGUCGCCCCGACGCCCGACUGCGGCAUGUUAAUUUAUUUUACCUUUCGAGGCGUCGCUUCAGACACCCGAUUGGUCUUCAGCUAUUUUAUUGGGAUUUCGGGAGGACUACCGCCUGACUUCCUUUUUAUUUAACAUGCAUUGCAAAUUUAUUAUCUGAGUGCACAUUACUAGUCUGCUCAUGUGCAUCAUGUUUGCAUUUGUUAUAUCUUAUGUCCAAACUGUCUUGCGAGUACAUUCAAAGUACUCACCUGGCUUGCUGAUUUGGCCAGAUGUUGACGAAGGCGAUCUUAUGGAUGAAGAGUAUGAUAGCGAGUCCAACGCCUAGAGGAGUCCCAGUUAGUCUCGUGCGAUCCUGGAGUUGGUCACUUGUAUUAUAUACGCUUCCGCUACCCUAAUAAAAUCAUCAAACCUCACUCCGGCGCUUGAUGAGCUGUAAGAUUUUGGAGUCAUGUCACCCACUUCUCUGUGACAUAUGCACCACCACUUUUAUUACGAGUUAGUAGUUAUGCCACCAUACCCAUUGUGUUGUUUUUUUCCUUUAUGUGUAAUAUCGGCGUGCUUGUAAUAAAUUGUUGAGCAGCCUUAGCUCAACCCUGUAUAAUAUUCAGUACUUCUGGAUUUUUGUAUCAAGGAUUUGUCUACCAGUAAGGAGGAUAUUUUCUAUACUGGUCUGAUAAUGGUCGAUUUUUCAAUAAAUAUUUUAUUAGAAAACCGGUCUUGACAAUUGCUAAAUUUAUUGCCAGCAUGGUGGAUACCCAGGAUAACGUUUCUUGAGCUAUUCUGAAGUUGUUUCAGUUAUGGACUUGUUUUGCUGUCACGUUUAUUUGCAAUGGUGGCCAAUUUAGACGGCCAGAGUAUGUAAUAUGCUGCUUUGUUCCCUAUAUUUGCACUGGUGGUGAACUUUGAUGCCCAGUGGAUGUAAUAUGUGUAAUAGUCAUAAUGGCCUAGUGUUAGUUGCUUGCUUAUUUAUUCCUUAUUGUCUUGUUUAGUUAUUUGGUUGUAGUCAUUGUAGUUCUUUUUCCGCGUUUUUCUAGUGGCCACGAUAAACUAGGCCACAAUAACCAUGGCAACACACGAACUGUUGUGACCAUGGUCCUGCUACUUGUUGUAGUGACCAUGGCCCUCCAAGGGGUGUAUGGUCCAUGGGCCUUCCACGGGCCGUAGGAUCCAUGGGCCUUCUACGGGCCGUAUAAUCGUUUCGCCAAACAUGGGCCGUACUAUUCAUGGACCAAUGAAGGACCGUAAAAUGGGCUGUAAACGGGCUAGAGUGGAAAUCAUCUAUUUUAUGGCCCAACCAUAACGGGCCGUGAAUAGGCCGUAAUUGAUGACGCUACGAAAACAACCAAUGUGUUAACGGGCCACCAACAGGCCGGUUGUAAGCACGGGUUGAAUUUGGCCCACAAGCUAAACAUGCCAGUAACGGACCGUAAGUAAUCGAAUUCUAGAAAUGAGCCCAAGAAUAAAUGGGCCCUUAGAAGGCCGAAAGUUAACACAGGCUAGAAACGGCCGACGGACUAAUGGGCCGUUAAUGGGUAUAAAGUGAUACACUGUUCAUUACGGGCCAGUUUCACCACGGGCCGUUAAUGGUCCAAGAGUUACAAAGGGCCUCAUAUGGGCUGAAAGACGCCAUGGGCCAUACAUGGGUCGGAAGUUACAGCUGGCUGGAAUCAUACUAGACGGCCCAGAUGACUCUACUGGGCCUAAUUCGGAUAAGUCGUAAUGGGUCGUGACCUAGCGGGCUGUAAAUGGGCUAUAUGCUAACACGCCUUUAACAGGCUUUCCAUGGGCCGGCCCGCUACCUCUUUUACCAAGUCAAACGGGUCGGCGUUUUCACCAGAAUGGGCCUCUGUUGGGCCGUGCCACGUGUCGACGUAUCAUAGGCGCCUCCUGUCCAAUGAGUGGAUGACAUCUCUCCCAACGGUGAGUCAACACGUGUUUCCUUCGUCCAAUGAAAAUUUGCAUGUGGAAAAUCCUCAUUGGUCCGGGCUGUUAACGGGUUAUCGGAUCCAAAACCGGACCCGAUAGCUUAACAACGACCUGUUACAGUGGAUGCCGCGUGUCGGUUACCCUUGAUGAAAACACUUCCAUGACGCACCAUUUAUCGUCAUGGAAGUGGACACUUCCGUGAUGAUAAUUUUGGUAAUGUCAUGGAACACUUCUACGACAGCACAGGUAUGACUAUCUUGAUUCUGUCAUAAAAUCGUCAUGGAUGUACAUGCAUGACAGAAAACGUGACCUACAGUGACAAACACGUAUCAUCAUAGAAGUGUAUUUUUUUGUAGUGCAUUGAUCUACAACAUAGAUAUGCAAAUACUAUCAGGACUAAGUUCAUGAUAAAUUAAGUUUAAUUAAUCAUAUUACUUAAGAACUCCCAGUUAGAUAGACAUCCCUCAAGUCAUCUAAAUGAUAUGUGAUCCAAAUCAACUAAACCAUGUCCGAUCAUCACGUGAGAUGGAGUAGUCAUCAAUGGUGAACAUCUAAUGUUGAUCAUAUCUACUAUAUGAUUCACGUUCGACCUUUCGAUCUCCGGCGUUUCGAGGCCAUGUCUGUACAUGCUAGGCUCGUCAAGUUUAACCCCGAGUAUUCCGCAUGUGCAAAACUUUCUUGCACACGUUGUAUGUGAACGUAGAGCUUAUCACACCCGAUCAUCACGUGGUGUCUCGGCACGACAAACAGUCGCAAUGGUGCAUACUCAGGGAGAACACUUAUACCUUGAAAUUUUAGUAAGGGAUCAUUUUUUAAUGCUACCGCCGUACUAACCAAAAUAAGAUGCAUAAAAGAUAAACAUCGCAUGCAAUCAAAAUAUGUGACAUGAUAUGGCCAUUAUCAUCUUGUGCCUUUGAUAUCCAUCUCCAAAGCACCGUCAUGAUCCCCAUCAUCACCGGCUUGACACCUUGAUCUCCAUCGUAGCAUCGUGGUCGUCUCGCCAACUAUUGCUUCUACAACUAUCGCUAACGCAUAGUGAUAAAGCAAAGCAAUUACAUGGUGUUUGCAUUUCAUACAAUAAACUGACAGCCAUAAGGCUCCUGCCAAUUGCCGAUAACUUUGAAAAAACAUGAUCAUCUCAUACAACAAUGUAUAUCACAUCAUGUCUUGACCAUAUCACAUCACAACAUGCCCUGCAAAAACAAGUUAGACAUCCUCUACUUUGUUGUUGCAAGUUUUACAUGGCUGCUAGGGGCUUCUAGUAAGAACCAUUCUUACCUACGCAUCAAAACCACAACUGUGUUUCGUCAAGUUUGUUGUUUUAACCUUCAACAAGGACCGGUCGUAGUCAAAUUCGAUUCAACGAAAGUUGGAGAAACAGCACCCGCCAGCCACCUUUAUGCAAAACUAGUUGCAUGUCUGUCGGUGGAACCGGUCUCAUGAACAUGGUCAUGUAAGGUUGGUCCGGGCCGCUUCAUCCAACAACAACGCCGAAUGAAAAUAAGACGUUGGUGGUAAGCAGUAUGACUAUCACCGCCCACAACUCUUUUGUUAUACUCAUGCAUAUCAUCUACGCAUAGACCUGACUCGGAUGCCACUGUUGGGGAACGUAGCAUGCAAUUUCAAAAAAAUUCCUACGCUCACGCAAGAUCUAUCUAUGAGAUGCAUAGCAACGAGAGGGGGAGAGUGUGUCCACGUACCCUCGUAGACUGAAAGCGGAAGAGUUUGACAACACGGUUGAUGUAGUCGAACUUCUUCUCGUUCCGAUCGAUCAACCACCGAACGUACGGCACCUCCGAGUUUUGCACAUGUUCAGCUCGAUGACGUCCAUCCUCUUGAUCCAGCAAAGUGCCGAGGGAGAGUUCUGUCAGCACAACGGCAUGGUGACGGUGAUGGUGAAGUGAUCCGCGCAGGGCUUCGCCUAAGCACUACAUGAAUAUGACCUGAGGCGUAAACUAUGGAGGGGGGCGGCGCACACGGCUAACAAUCUUUGUUGUGUGUUCUAGCGGUGCCCCCCUCAUAUAUAUAAGUUGGAGGGGAGGAGAGGCAGCCAAGGGGGCGCCCCAAGUAGGAGGAAUCAUACUUGGGCACCUCCUAAUUCGGCCUCCCCCCUUUCCUAUUCCUAUUCGGAGUAGGAAGGGAAGAGGGGGAAGGGGGAAUCCUAUUCCCUUUUUCCUUUCCUCCUUACCCUUUCCUUCUCCAAUUUGUCUAGCCCAUAUGGGGGGGCACCAGCCCCUUUGUGGAUGGUGUGUUUCCCCUCUUGGCCCAUAAGGCCCAUAUAGCUUGCUGGGGGUUGCCCGUAACCCCUUCCGGCGACCUGAUACGUACCCGGUACCCCCAGAACACUUCCGGUGUCCAAAUACUAUCGUCCUAUAUAUGAAUCUUUACCUCUUGAUCAUUUCGAGACUUCUCGUCAUGUCUGUGAUCUCAUCCGGGACUCCGAACAACAUUCGGUCUCCAAAUCAUAUAACUCAUAUAAUACAAAUCGUCAUCGAAUGUUAAGCGUGCGGACCCUACAGGUUCGAGAACUAUGUAGACAUGACCAAGACACCUCUCAAGUCAAUAACCAAUAGCGGAACCUAGAUGCUCAUACUGGUUCCCACAUAUUCUGCGAAGAUCUUUAUCGGUCGUACCGUAAUGACAACAUACGUAAUUCGCUUUGUCAUCGAUAUGUUACUUUCCCAAGAUUCGAUCAUCGGUAUCUUCAUACCUAAUUCAAUCUCGUUACCGGCAAGUCUCUUUACUCGUUCCGUAAUGCAUCAUCCCGCGACUAACUCAUUAGUCACAUUGCUUGCAAAGCUUAUUAUGAUGUGCAUUAUCGAGAGGGCCCAGAGAUACCUCUCUGAUACUCAGAGUGACAAAUCCUAAUCUCGAUCUAUGCCAACCCAAAAAAUACCUUCGGGGAUACCUGUAGAGCACCUUGAUAAUCACCUAGUUACGGUGCGACGUUUGAUAGCACACUAAGUUUUCCUCCGGUAUUUGGGAGUUGCAUAAUCUCAUAGUUAGAGGAAUAUGUAUAUGACAUGAAGAAAGCUAUAGCAAUAAAACUGAACGAUCAUUAUGCUAAGCUAACGGAUGGGUCUUCUCCGUCACAUCAUUCUCCUAAUGAUGUGAUCCCAUUCAUCAAAUGAAAACACAUGUCUAUGGUUAGGAAACUUAACCAUCUUUGAUUAACGAGCUAGUCUAGUAGAGGUUUACUAGGGACACUGUGCUUUAUCUAUGUAUCUACACAUGUAGCAAGUUUCCAGUUAAUACAAUUCUAGCAUGAAUAAUAAACAUUUAUCAUGAUAUAAGGAAAUAUAAAAUAACAACUUUAUUAUUGCCUCUAGGGCAUAUUUCCUUCAUCUUGCCCCACAUCGAGCCCCUGUGAAUUUUUACCGAUUCGAGAGUAUUUUUGCCAUAAAAAUCUUCAAAUAGCACCGUGAGACCAUCGAAGAUACAUGGCCCCUAAAACAUCACCCUUUUUCCAAUCCCCAAGACAAAACAUCUAGACCACAAAAAGGUUGCCAUCCAUCUCUCGAGCUGAUGGGCUAGGUUGUAGAUGAAUUUCAUUGUUUCCUUGAAUGCCACACUACUAAAGUUCUUGGUGGUGUGUACCGUAGCCACCGCAAGCCAACAAGCCAAUUUAGCCUACUCAUCGAUCUUCUCAAGCCCUACAUAAACGUCAUCUUCCUCAUAGCAUCCUCGAGAGCCCCCUCGGAUUGCGUCUCAUUUCCUUUGUCUGUCCCUCCGGAACUCGAACUUGGAGCCACCGUGACAACAUAUUUGAAAAGCUUCGACGGAAAAAAAAUGUGUAUGUGAUCACCCUGAGUUCUCUCCGUAGAGACCAAGGUCGGGCGAACGGGCCAACCGUCCUCAUAGUCAGCCCAAGAAUCUAUGCGGUGAACACCGACAGUGGAGAGCGAAAGGUGGGAAGAACUUGACACUAGCAGAAGGCUUCGGUUGAGAAGGCUAAACCCUAAUCGUCUUGAUAGUGUAAGUCGCGUCCGUGGACAUUUUUCUUCUUCUUUUGAAUAAAGACAUCAAAGGGCAUAUUAGAUUAGCUUAAUAUCGGGAAAAAUACUGCCCUUCGAAAAUUAGAUUAGCUUAUGUCCAGUUGUCCAGGGCAUUUGAAUGUCUGAAUAGACAACGGGAUCUCCGGGCAUUCUGAGGCCCUGGACCAUGAAUAGCACGACCCAGCUGGUGCCCUACCAGCAACUAGCAUCCACUAGAAGGCUCGGCCCAUAUUUUGCACCCUGAUACCGAUGCACAUGCCUUCCACGCGGGACCUCCUAUUGGACGCUCAUUGUGUCUAAUAGCAUGUGGUACGCACAUGUGAUAGUGACUGGGCCGACCCACUGGCAAGUGCCGAACGCAGGAAAUCCUAAAAAGCAACACUAUCGGUAGGAAUCAAACCCAUGAGCUCCUACUCAACUACACGUGUUACUAGCCACCAUGGCUGAUGGUUGUUGACUGGUUGGAGCGCGGAAGUUUUAAGAACUCACAUGCACAUUUUUUAUUUACUUUGAAUUCAUUUUGGAAAGCACAAACACUUCAAAAAAACGUGAAAUUCCAAAAUACUUUUUGAAAAACACAAACAAAAUUUGACUGCUGAGCAUUUUUUUGGAAAAAAUGUGAAUAUUCUUUAAAAAAUAAGAACAAAAUUUGCAAGCGUGAUUUUUUUAUUUCCACACAUCUUUUAAAAUGAUCCGAACAAUUUCUGAAAAUCCUAACAAUGUUCCUUCAAUUUCAAUUUGGCAGCAUAUUCGUACAAGUCUAUCUUAGUAGUGCCAUUUCGUUGUUGUCUUGUUUCGUUGGGGUUUAGACUAUCUUAAAGCAUCUUUAGCAGACCCCGUAUAAGUGGUCAAACCCUUCCGUUGGGUUUUACAGUUUAGCUGAAGCCUUGAUAGUGCGAAUGCAGGCCGUGGCAUGUGCAAUCUCAGUCCCCCAGCUGCAGGUGGUAUAACUGGCCACAUCGUCUGACCUUUUCUUUAACCACUUCGUAUCAGUUCCUUUCGACAGUAGCCUAUACUACUUCCUACUUCUGUCGAUAAACCCUGGUGAAUCUUUUCGUCUGCCUCAUGCAACCCCUACGCUUUUAUACCAUACCAAACCACUAGUUUGCCGAGCUUCAGAAAAGAAAAGAGAAAAAGGAGAUGGCUCAGAAAGGUAAACUGGAAACUGAAAAAGCUGUCAUGAUCCUACCCUCCUCCGCUGGAAACCACGGACACGGAGCAUCUCCACAACUUCCACCAUGACACCUCCUCCACUGCGUGAUUGUUGCUGCCUCCAGACUGAAAAUGCAGCCACGGCUCCCCCGCCCGCCCACCACGGCGAUGCUCGCCGCGUCCCCGCCAACAACGCCGCCGCACUUCCCACCACUCCAUCGUGCAUGCUCUAGCGUCGGCGCGCCGAGAUCCGCUAGGUUCCACCCACGUUGCUCCAUCUCGCCACCAUCGUUGUUUCGUGACUCAGAAGCAGGGAGGGGAUCUGCGCAGCGGAUCUCUGCAGGGCGGAGGUCCGCAUCCACGACUGCCUGCAACGCGAAUGGAGCCUGGUGGCGAAGGGAGCAGGGCAUCAGACCGGAAGAUCGUUGGUUUGAUCUCGGAUUUGGGGAGAAAACAGCAUGCAGCGGCGAGGGCCGCGCGGGAUGUGGAGAUCGCGGCAGGUCGGGUACGAGAUGUGAAGAUGCUGCUCGCGCUUCGUACCAUGUCACGGACAAACCAAGAGGAGAGGGAUCAGAUUUUCGCGCUGGGUCAGUCCCUCACUGUCACAUCCCUAGUUCUGGUAUGACCUAGGCUAGCUAGUCAUGUGUGCAUCAUGUUUAAAUUCCAUUUAACUUUGAAAUGGGGAUUUGUAAAACCCUCAGAAAUCAUUUCUGGAAAUGACCCAAAUAAAAAUUGCUCUAAAAGGGUCCAAGAAAAUGUUCAUGUCUCUCUCUGAAAAUAUUGGGCACAGGUAAAAUUCAAACCAAUAUUUUUAGGAGCUCAUAAAUAUUUAUUUUGGCCAUUUGGAAUUAAUCCAGUAAUUAUUUGCGUUGGAUAAAUAUUUAUAUAUAUAUAUAUAUAUAAUAUUGUCCAAUAAUUCUGAAUUUUGGUGAGGGGCUUUGGAAUAAUCCUUUAGGCCCCUGCAAAAAUUGUCAGAAGAAAAUAAAUUGAUUUAGUAUUUUUAUUAAAUCAAAACAAAGGUCAGAAAAUAGAAAAGAAAACAAAAUGGAAAAAUGCUUACCUGGGCCACCUGCGGCCUGGCACUGUGCCGGCCCAACUGUGCUGGCCCAGCCCACUGGCCACCGCACCGUCCUCCACCUCGCGCCAGUAGGCGAGGCGUGUGCCCGGCGCGCGCGCGCGCUCCGCGCGCCACGGCACCUGCCUGCCUGUCCUCCUCCUCAUCGCCUGGAUGCCCCGCGCGACGCCACGCACCGCCCCGCACCUCUCACUCUCUCUCACUCUCCCUCCUCCCCUGGAUCCCUCUCUCUCGACCAGCCCGAGCGCUAUCGUCGCCGCCGCUCGCCGUAGUCGUAGCCACUGACUCCCCCUAGCCCUCUCUCCGUGUCUGCAAGCUCCGCCAUGUCAUUUUGCGAUAUGCCAACUCCACUUGAAAUCCAAACUCCAGGGUCUAGAUGGCAAACUACCAGAAUAAGCCAUGGUAAUGAAAUCCUUGUUGACAGACUUGUAUUCCUUGCAUCACUUAUAGCCCUCAAGUCUACAGAUAUUAACAUCAUCUUGGGUAUGGACUGGAUGAAGCUCAUCAUGCCAAGAUUGAUUGUUACACAAGGUCUGUUCAGCUUACACACCCAUCUGGCAAGAUAGUCACCGUCUCCACUAGAGUUGCAAAGCGUCAACUCUAUUCUCUUAAUGCCAACCCUCUUCCAGACCUUGAAGAUAUCCCGGUAGUCCGUGACUUUCCGAAUGUCUUUCCAGAGGAACUGCCAGGUAUUCCACCUGACAGAGAUGUAGAGUUUGUCAUAGAUCUUAUCCCAGGAACCGCUCCAAUCUCUAGGAGACCUUACAAGAUGGCACCCUUAGCACUAGCUGAGCUUAAGAUACAACUCGAUGAAUCCUUGCAAAAGGGUUUCAUCCGUCCUAGUUCUUCUCCCUAGGCUUGCCCCGUCCUCUUCGUCAAGAAGAAGGAUGGAACGGACCGGAUGGUUGUAGAUUAUCCUCCCGUUAAUUUGGUCACGAUAAAGAACAAGUAUCCGCUCCCCAGGAUCAACGACUUGUAUGAUCAGCUUGCUGGAUCCUCAGUCUUUUCCAAGAUGGAUUUGAGGUUAGGCUACCACCAAAUCAAGAUCAGAAAUGGGGAUAUUCCUAAGACGGCUUUUGUCACUCGUUAUAGUUAGUACGAGUACACCGUCAUGUCCUUUGGUCUAACCAACGCUCCAGCUACUUUCUCUCGCUUGAUGAACUCGAUCUUCAUGGAGUACUUAGAUAAGUUCGUCGUGGUUUACCUCGAUGAUAUUCUUAUUUACUCGAAGAACGAGGAAGAUCAUGCCGAACAUCUUAGACUUGUGCUAGAAAAACUCAGAGAGCGCCGCCUUUAUGCCAAGUUCUCCAAGUGCGAAUUUUGGUUGCCAGAAGUGACCUAUCUUGGCCACGUAAUCUCUGGUAAGGGCAUUGCUGUCAAUCCCGAAAGAGUUCAGGCCGUUCCUGAUUGGACUCCGCCUGAAACAGUUAAGCAAGUUAGGAGUUUCCUUGGUCUAGCCAGUUAUUGUCGCCGAUUCGUUGAGAACUUCUCCAAAGUGGCCAAACCUCUCACGGAACUUCUCAAGAAAGAUAAAAAGUUUGAGUGGUCCCCACAGUGUGAGCACAGUUUUCAGGAACUAAAAAGACGCCUGACUUCUGCUCACAUACUUGUGCCACCGGACUUCACUAAGGACUUUGUUAUCUAUUGUGAUGCCUCACGACAGGGACUAGGUUGCAUUCUUAUGCAAGAUCGCCAUAUGAUUGCCUAUGCAUAUCGACAAUUGCAUCCACAUGAGGAGAAUUAUCCUACACAUGAUCUAGAGCUUGCAGCCGUAGUCUAUGCACUUAAGACCUGGCGACAUUACCUUCUUGGUAAACGUUGCGAGAUUUACAUCGAUCAUCAGAGUCUCAAGUAUAUCUUCACCCAACCAGAUUUGAACCUUAGGCAAAGACGUUGGUUGGAGUUGAUCUCAGAUUACAACUUGGCGAUUACCUACACCCCAGGCAAGGGGAAUGUCAUGGCUGAUGCACUAAGUCGUAAGUCCUAUUGCAACAAUCUCAUGUUGCAACAGGGCCAACCACUUCUCCAUGAGGAAUUAUGUAAGCUAAACCUUCACAUCGCUCCUCAUGGAUUCCUUUCUACCUUGGUGGCGAAACCUACUCUUGUGGAUCAGAUCAUCUCUGCUCAGAAGCAGGAUACGGGAAUUUCCCGGAUCAAGAGAAACAUUAACAAGGGAGUUGGUGGUAGUUUCUCUAUAGAUGAUCGUGGUGUUGUUUUCUUUGAGAGUCGCUUGGUGGUUCCCAAGAAUCAACAUCUUCCACAAUUAAUCCUUAAGGAGGCGCAUGAAUCUCCUCUCACGAUUCAUCCCGGUAGUACUAAGAUGUAUCAGGACCUACGCCAGAGGUUCUGGUGGACUAGGAUGAAGAGAGAAAUCGCUCAGUUUAUUGCUAACUGUGACGUUUGUCGUCGCGUGAAGGCAGAGCAUCAGAGACCUGCUGGCACCCUUCAACCUUUAGCUAUUCCUGAGUGGAAAUGGGAUAAAGUUGGUAUGGACUUCAUCACCGGCUUUCCCAGGACCAAGAAAGGGAAUAAUGCUAUCUUCGUAGUCAUUGAUCGUCUUUCCAAAGUGGCUCACUUCCUACCUGUUCGAGAGAAUAUCACUGCUAGUCAGCUCGCUGACUUAUAUAUUUCUUGAAUAGUGUCACUUCAUGGUGUUCCACUAGAGAUCAAUUCAGACCGUGGUAGUCUUUUCACUUCUCAUUUCUGGGAGAGUUUCCAAACUGCCAUGGGCACCCAUCUUUCCUUCAGUACGGCUUUCCACCCUCAAUCAAGUGGUCAGGUGGAAAGGGUCAAUCAAAUUCUUGAAGACAUGCUUAGAGCUUGUGUUAUCUCAUUCGGUAUGGAUUGGGAGAAGUGUCUUCCCUUCGCUGAGUUUGCUUAUAACAAUAGUUACCAAUCCAACCUCAAGAAAGCUCCUUUUGAGGUUCUGUAUGGACGAAGAUGUCGAACACCUUUGAACUGGUCAGAACCCGGUGAAAGACAAUUCUUUGGACCGGAUAUGAUCCAGGAGGUGGAAGAGCAAGUUCGCAUCGUUCAUGAGAAUUUGAAAACAGCCCAAUCUCAUCAUAAGAGCCAGUAUGACCGUAGUCAUAAGGAAGUGGCUUAUGAAGUUGGCGACAAAGCUUACCUUCGGGUUACCCCUUUGAAGGGUACCCAUCGAUUCGGUAUCAAGGGCAAGUCGGCUCCCCGUUACAUUGGUCCCUUUCUUAUUCUCGCUAAACGAGGAGAGGUUGCCUACCAGUUGGAACUACCCCCACAUCUUUCUCGAGUUCAUGAUGUUUUCCACGUCUCUCAACUCAGGAGUUGCUUCUCGGAUCCCAUCCGCGGAGUGGACCACGAAACGCUUGAUCUCCAAGAUAACCUCACAUAUCGAGAGUACCCUGUUCGCAUCCUUGAUCAAGCAGAGCGUGUCACUCGAUGUCAUAACAUCAAGUUUCUCAAGGUUCAGUGGUCUCAUCAUUCCGAGAUAGAAGCUACUUGGGAGCGUGAAGAUCGUCUUCGACUAGAGUACCCCGCUUUCUUCCCGCCGACUCCUGAAUCUCAGGAUGAGAUUUCUUCGAGUGGGGGCGAGUUGUCACAUCCCUAGUUCUGGUAUGACCUAGGCUAGCUAGUCAUGUGUGCAUCAUGUUUAAAUUCCAUUUAACUCUGAAAUGGGGAUUUGUAAAACCCUCAGAAAUCAUUUCUGGAAAUGACCCAGAUAAAAAUUGCUCCAAAAGGGUCCUAGAAAAUGUUCGUGUCUCUCUCUGAAAAUAUUGGGCAGAGGUAAAAUUCAAACCAAUAUUUUUAGGAGCUCAUAAAUAUUUAUUUUGGCCAUUUGGAAUUAAUCCAGUAAUUAUUUGCGUUGGAUAAAUAUUUAUAUAUAUAUAUAUAUAAUAUUGUCCAAUAAUUCUGAAUUUUGGUGAGGGGCUUUGGAAUAAUCCUUUAGGCCCCUGCAAAAAUUGUCAGAAGAAAAUAAAUUGAUUUAGUAUGUUUAUUAAAUCAAAAAGAGUCAGAAAAUAGAAAAGAAAAUAAAAUGGAAAAAUGCUUACCUGGGCCACCUGUGGCUUGGCACUGUGCCGGCCCAACUGUGUUGGCCCAGCCCACUGGCCACCGCACCGUCCUCCACCUCGUGCCAGUAGGCGAGGCGUGUGCCCGGCGCGCGCGCGCGCUCCGCGGGCCACGGCACCUGCCUGCCUGUCGUCCUCCUCGUCGCCUGGAUGCCCCGCGUGAUGCCACGCACCGCCCCGCACCGCUCUCACUCUCUCUCCCCCCUGGAUCCCUCUCUCUCGACCAGCCCGAGCGUUGUCGUCGCCGCCGCUCGCCGUUGCCGUAGCCACCGACUCCCCCUAGCCCUCUCUCCGUGUCUGCAAGCUCCGCCACGUCUGCGUCUACCUCUCCGUCGAGCCACGCACCUCGGGAGGCCCUGGAGCGCCUCCAUCGCCAUCGUCUUCAUCUCCGGCUGCCGUGGAUCCCCAUCACCGCACCAUCGACCUCAGCGCGUCCCCGAGCUCGCUGACGACGUCUACGAUCUCCCCGUGAGCUCUACUUCGUUCUCCCCUCCUCCCCGUGCUCGUUUGCCCCACCUAGCUAGCUCAGCUGCCGCGCCCGAGACCUCAUCUCCGCCGGCCAUGGCGCCACCGUGGCCAGAGGCCGAGCCAGCCGCUCCCGCGCGCGUCACCGUGCUCCUGGUGACGCCAGGAGGCCGUAGAGGGCCUCCGCAGUUCCUGCCGUGCCCCGCAGCCCGUUUUCGCCCGGAGCCGUGCUCCGGCCGCCGCCUCGAGCUCGUUUCCGGCGAGCUUAGGCACCCCCGCAGCCUCCCGCUUACUCCAAACGACACGGACGAGCUCCAGCUCCUCGUCCGUGAUCUCCGCCGCCUAAAUGGUCGCCGGAGGGCGUUUUCCGAGCCCUCCGCCGUGUUCGGCCUCGCCGGCGAUUAAACGUCAGUGGGGUUUGACCCCUUUGACCUCGCGGGCCCGUCAGGUGGGCCCCAUGGGUCAGGUGAUUACCUUAAGGCUAAUCACCAUUUGCUAACCCCCUGACACUGACAGUGGGCCCAACGCCACUAAUUUUAAUUAGAUUAGUAUAAUAACUCCCUGUUAACUAACCGGUCACUGACGUGUGGAUCCCACAUGUCAGGUUUGACCUGGUCAGCUCCAUUGACCUGCUGACGCAGGCAUGACGCAAUGCUGACGCAAUAUUUCAUUUUCUGGUUUAAAAUUAAUCAGGAAAUUCCAAAAAAUGUUCUAAACUUCAAAAAUUCAUAGAAAUUCAACCGUAGCUCAGAUUGAAAUAAUUUAUAUAUGAAAAAUUAUCACAAAAAUUCAGUCUAUCCAUCUGUACCACUUUCAUGCAUGUUCAACCAACUUAUACCCACUGUAUAAGUGAAAACAUGAUAAUGGCAUUUUAAAUGCUAAAUAUGGAGUUUGCAUAUGAAACCUUGGUCCAUAUGGACUUCAUUUAAAUUGUUGCUAGAUGCAUUAGUGCAAAUCAUAACAUUAUUACCAUGUUCAUGCAUCAUAAUGUUGCAUAUGUUUGUGUCUUGAUUUCCGACACCGUUCCUUCUCGACAGGUCCUGCUCCGGAAAGUGUUCGAGAGUACCUAUCAGUGGAGCAGUGCCCCCCUGUUGAUCUACCAGGCAAGCAACCCCCUUGUUCAUUCCGAUACAAUCCCACUAUCUCAUUCUUGCUCUCCUUUAUUGCAUUAGGACAACAAUGAUUCAACUGCUACUUUAUGCUGCGGUAGUUGAACCCAUUCCUCUGCAUGACCUGUCAUUGCCACAGUAAAUAGUUGAAACCCACUAGCGUGUGUAGGAGUUGAUUGAGCCAUGUGGUGUUCCUACCAUGCCAUGCCUGCUAUUGCUUAGAGUUGUGUUAGGUCUGAUUCAUCGGGAAUGAAUUGGAGUGUUAUGAUAUGUUCUAGUGCUGAGAGUUAAGCGUGUGAACACGAUUUGGUAAAGGUAGCGGUGAGAGGCCAUGUAGGAGUACAUGGUGGGUUGUCUCAUUGGGACCGUCCUUAAGAACUGAGUUCUGUGUAAGUCGUCCAAUGAGUAGCUACUACCACACAUUGGGCUCCGGGUGCUCCAAGCUCUCUCGGCUUAUUAACCGCCUUGAACUCUGUCCAGGAGUUGCAAAUAGUUUCUGGUGUUUGUAGGUAGUGCUAUUUUUCUACCGAGUGGCACCCGGCAGGGUGGACUUGGGACAGACUAGGCACAUGUGGCCCGGUGUACCGAGUGGCACCCGGAUGGUGGCCUCGGGAACCCUGUACACAUCGUUUGGGGCCGUGAGCGAAACCCCGGCCGGAUCUCCUUGCGGAUGGAACCCAAAUAGGCGAUAAACCUGGACUAGAGUCUUGUGUGGUUAGUUAGGUCGUGGCCGACACCCUCGCCAGGCUUCAGCUUGAAGGUUGCCGAGAUACAUGAAGUAUAUAUGGUGAUAAGUGGUGAGAGCGUGUGUGAAGAAGUACACCCCUGCAGGGUUAUCAUGAUCUAUUCGAAUAGCCGUGUCCUCGGUUAUGGACUUCUUGGAUGCUUACGUGGUACAUAGACAACUUUAAGUGGAUACUCUAAAAUGCUCAUGACAAGUGUGAGUGCUAUGGAUGGCCUUCUCGUAAGGAGACGAGGAUGGAUCCAUAGUAGUGUAUUGAUGUGGUGAUUAGUGGACUCGUGUGCGCUGCCUCAUCUCAAAGAAGUUUCUCGUUGUCGUAGAACAGGAUAGCCACUGAGUCAAAGCUGGCUUGCUGCAACUACACCCCACAUUACCUUCUUGAUACAAAUGCAUGUAUGAUAGGAUCUGAUGUAAGUCUUGCUGAGUACCUUUGUACUCACGUUUGCUUUAUUUAUGUUUUGCAGGUGAGACAUCUGUCUCACUAGUAGUACCACUUGGACUUCGACGAGUAGCUUGUUACCUCAGCUACGAUCUUGUACCUUGGAGGGACUUGUAGAUAGUCAGGUUUCUUAGCCUUUUUCUUUUGUAGUUGUCGGUACUUAGACAUGUAAUGCUUCCGUUGCUUGUAUGCUCUGAAUGAUGGGUCAUGUGACCCCUGUUUGUAUUAAUGUUAUGUGGCUCUUCUGAGCCUUUAUCUAUAUGAGUUUGCGUUAUGUUGUGAUGCCAUGUUGUACAGCACAUACUUGCAUGUUAUGCGUACGUGUGACGUGUAUUGCUAUGUGUGGGAUCCGACAAUCUAGUUGUUUAUCCUUGGCAGUCUCUCUUAUGGGGAAAUGUAGUCUAGUGCUUCCUUGAGCCAUAGUAGUCCGCUACAGCCCGGUUCACCGGAGUCCUGCUAGCCCAGCACUACUGCUCAGGACACUUGACUGGCCGGCAUGUGUAUCACUUCGUUCCUGUGUCUGUCCCUUCGGGGAAAUGUCACGCGGUGACAUCCGGAGUCCUGUUAGCCCAGUGCUACAGCCCGGAUUCACACGCUGCUGACCGACACGCUUGAUGUGAAUCAUGUAUGCCUGUUCCCAUAGGUUAGUGCCGCUUUGCGUUCAUGACUAGCCAUGUCGGCCCGGGUUCUCUGUCAUAUGGAUGCUAGCGACACAAUCAUAUACGCGAGCCAAAAGGCGCAAACGGUCCCGGGCCAGGGUAAGGCGACACCCGUGGGGAUACCGUGCGUGAGGCCGCAAAGUGAUAUGAGGUGUUACCGGCUAGAUCGAUGUGAUUUGGAAUCGGGGUCCCGACACUCACUCCAGGGGUAAUUUUGAAUUGGGCAUCGGAGGAGGCCUGUUCUUCCUCCCGGGCUCAGAGGGCGAAGUGGAAGAUCUUCAGAGAGCUACAAAUCUGACUGCAAGUAGAGGCAGCGCAUGGAGGAGGAGAAUAGGGUUGCGGCUGAAUCGGGUCCGUCUUGAGGUACGAUCGGGAUCUCCUUGUCUCUGUUGUGGGACUCAUACGGAGGAUGCGGGAGAUGGAGCAGUGGUGCCACCAUUGUUGGUCUUCGAGAACCUGGGUGGUUUCCAAUUCAAAAAUCUGCCUGAUCCAGGAGAUAGAAACCGAGAUGACCAAGUCAACAUGGCCACCAGGUCAGCACCUCAAACAGGGCCUAGUGUCAGUGAGUUGGGUAGAGAGAUUGGAGGUGACUUCUUCACCCAACUAUGGGCGGAUGAAGGGGAUAAAUCAGAUGCCUCCCCUAGGGUUUCUAACCAGAGAGUGGUGGUGGUGUGGAUCUGCAGAUCAUUGAUAGAGGCCAAAAAAUUCGGUGUUGAGGAUUGCCACCCCAUCCUGGAGAGCGAGAGUGUUAGCCAAGUAGCCACCCAAUUCAACAUCUCAAGAUAGGGGUGGUUCCAAGAUCCAAAGGCAGUGUUUGCUGCGUUCCUUGAGAAGGUGAAGAUGGGAGAAGGAGGCCGAGGAAGAGGCAAAGGUAGGGGGCAGGGCGAAACCAACAAAAUCCGGUACCCCAAGAUGAGUUUCAACACUCUAGGCUGUCGCCGGUGAUGUAUGGAUUUCCCCCACCACCACAGUUUGGGUUCCCAGGCACCCCUCCUUGGGGUUUCCCAGGUGCAUACCCCCCAUACCCACCUCCCCCAAAUUUCCCAGUGAAUAAUCAGUGGGUGCCGCCAGGGCAAUCUCAUGCACCCCCAGGAAAAGGCUAUCAGGGUGGAUUCCAACAACAACAAUAAGCAAGUGCAGGGGGCAGAAUAACCAGUCUGGAAGGGAUAAACAGAAGAAGAAUUUGAACAAGACUAGCUCUAGCAACAGUGCAGAAAGUAAAGAGAAGAUGGUCGUGGACUUCACUGAAUAUAGUCAAUCCAUGUGAUAUAACUGUGGUGAUCCAGGACAUCCACACACUGAGUGUGGAAAACCAAAGCUAUGUUUCAUCUGCAAGAGUGCCACCAUGCUGUAAGUGAGUGCCCUGUCAGGAAAAGGCCACAUCAGAUGGCUAAAUUUGUUGGUAGUGCGGCUGCAGGAUUGGGAUUCUAUCACAUAGAAGUGCCAGACAUGGGACAUAAUGCUAUUGUCAGCUUUAAAAACUGUGGGGUUGUGUAUACUGAAUCAGGAGAAAUCAACAAGGAGGACUUGGCCAAGGAGUUUGCGAUCAUCUAUAAAACAAAUUGGCCUUGGCAGAUUAGAACCUUUGGAAGGUGGUCUUACCUAGUGAAAUUCCCACCACAUAUCUCAGUCGACCAGGUGGCUGGAUAUCCUUGUUUUGGUCUUCCAGAGAAGACAUUACUAUUAAGGUGGUAGCUUGGAAAGAAAACUUAGAAAAAAGAGACAACUUCAUUGAAGUCUGGGUCCAAAUGAGAAAGCUUCUUCCCAAAUGGUGUGAGUGGUCUUCUCUUGACCAAAUCACAUCUGUGUUUGGACUGCUUGUGGAGGUAGAUUGGCAACAGAUGUUCAAAAGUAUGUUUGAAGUGGUCAGAGUCAAAAUCCAAUGUAGGGAUCCCAACAAAAUACCUAAUGAAAGACUGUUUUCUCUAGAGGGCAAACUGGUACAUGUUCAGAUCAUUGUAGAAGUACCUAACCCUGUAUCUGUAGAAAUGAUUCCUACAAGCUCUAGUGACAAGGAUAGAGGAGAGGAUACAGACAAGGACAACAACAGUGGCAUGGACACUGAUGGUAGGCUAGAGGAAGGAGGGAACAAUCAGAAAACUCUCAAUGGCAGUGGUGGAAUAGAAGACGGGAUUGGGAUGGGUGGAGGCAGCAAUAGUGGUCAGAGGACUCAUGCCUUGGCUGACACCGUGACUCCACUCAGUGAGAAAGCCAUUUGGGAGGGCUUUAGAAAGGAACAUGAGGUAGCAAUUGAAUCACACUCUGAGGGGUCUGAAGUAGUGCCUGCAGAAGAACCUGAAAGGGAAGUUACCAGAUUCUUGUUUGUUGAGAUGAAUGAAGAGCUUGAGAAAACUGAGGAGGAAAUUAGCCUGUCUGAAACAAAUCUUUAGGGGAGAGGUGAAGAGAUGGUGAAUGAUGGAGAAAAGGAUGAGGAGGAGGCCUAUCUUCCUCAUGAUAUCAUACCCACAUAUGAGGAGGAGGAGGCUAUGUUUGAACAUAAGUGCAGGAAGAACCCAAAGAAACAGAAAACAUGGAGCCUAGUUCAACCUGAAAGGAAGAGCACUAGAGUGAAAGGGAACAUACCUAUCAUGGUGAAGGCUGAAUUACUCAAGAUGAGGAAAAAUCUGGAGCUACCAAAAACAACUGUGAAAGGUAUAAUCCAUUCAAACCCUUUUAAUGUUCAACCUGUUGAGGAAAUACUAGAUAUGACUGAUGCUUUUGGUGUAGAGAUUAGAGAGGAUGUAGAUCUUAAACAAUCAUCUACUCCCCUGGGUGAUAGUAUUAUAAGUUGUAGAAAUUUGGUAGGAAAGAAUAAAGGUAAAGAUAGAGGGGGAAGUAUCAUCAGUAGGAAUAGACAGGGCAAGCACCCUGGUAAGAAAGGUUCCAAAUGAGAUACAUCUUCUGGAACGUUAGAGGGGUUGCGGCCCCUGGUAGACAAAGAUGUAAAGAGGAUACUAUUAUGCCUUUAAAUCCUGUUUACAUAGGUUUUCAAGAGACUAAAAACAUACUUUCUCUAAUUCCUUUCCUAAGAACCUAUUAGGCAAUAGAAAUUUUGAGUGGAACUGGCUUCCUACCUCUGGUUCUGCUGGUGGCAUUUUAGUAGGUGUAGAUUUAGACAGGUUUAAAGUGGUUAGUAGGGAGAUACUUGAAUUCUCUGUGAGUGUAGUGGUUUGUAAGAAAUACACUGAGGUGAUUUCUAGGAUUACCAUAGUGUAUGGCCCUGCUUACGAGGAGAGUAAACAGGAGUUUAUUUCUGAGUUACAUAGUAUUUUUCUUAACUAGAAUGGCCCUGCUAUUGUAGGGGGAGAUUUCAAUCUUGUUAGGAAUCAAACUGAUAAGAACAAUGGUAGAGUAGAUUUUAAGUGGAUUGACAGGUUCAACUCUUGGGUAGAUUUUUGAUCCUUGGUAGAAAUUAACAUGUCUGGUAGGAUGUACACUUGGGUAAAUAAUCAAGCAGACUUGAUUAUGUCCAAAAUUGAUAGAAUUUUCUGUACAACUGAGUUCGAAGCCAUUUUCCCUUUAGCUAAUGCUAGAGUCCUCCUUAGAAUUGGGAGUGACCAUACCCCUGUUAUUUGGGAAUCUGGUUGUGAUGAAACUCCUAAAAAGAAUAGUUUUAAGUUUGAAAAGUAGUGGUUAAUUGUUCCUAAAUUUAGAGAAAUAGUCUCUAAAGCUUGGAAUACUAAGUGUUUUAGUUCCAACCCUAUUUAUGUUUGGCAGAGUAAGGUGAGAGCUUUUAGAAGAAUAGCUAGAGGGUGGAGCGCCAACUUAGAGGCUUUUCUUAGGAAACAUAACAGGAAGCUCAUAGAAGAAUAUGAUAGAAUAGAUAUAUAUAUAUACAUAAUCAAAUGGGAUGAAUGACAUUGAUAGGGAUAGGAUGAAGGAGAUUUUAAAGGAGCUUAGUGAUAUAUGGUGCAAAGAAGAGACUAAAGCUAGACAGAGAUCUAGAGACAGAGACAUUCUAGAAGGAGAUAGGAAUAUGGCCUAUUUCCAAGCAGUGGCUAAUCGGAGGGGGAGGGACAAAUGAUUUUUGGUCUGGAGGGGCCUGAGGGACCCACCUCUGACCAGGAUAAGAUGAUGAAAAUAGCUAUGGAUUUCUAUAGAAAUCUGUUUAAAGCUGAACAGAGACCUAAUAUUGCUUUGAAGCAAGACUUCUUCAGUAGUGAGGAGAAGGUUUCUGUAGAUGAUAAUAUUAAACUAGAAGCUAGAUUUACUGAAGAAGAAGUUAGGAAAGCAGUGUUUGAAUCUUAUUCAGAUGGGGCCCUUGGCCCUAAUGGACUUCCAUUUAUGCUCUUCCAGACCUUUUGGGACAUAAUUAAAGAGGAUCUUAUGGCUAUGUUUGAGGCGUGGUAUGACCAUGACCUAGACAUUUUUAGAUUGAAUUUUUCCAUGAUUACCUUGAUCCCUAAAGAAGAGGAAGCUAAAGAGAUGAGGAAAUUUAGACCUAUUAGCCUCCUUAAUUGUUGUUUUAAGAUAUUCACCGGUGUUAACUAAUAGAUUAGCUUUGAUCAUUGAUAAGUUGAUUUCGGAAAAUCAAUCUGCUUUCAUUGGAGGGAGGUACAUUUUGGAAAGUGUGGUUACUGCACAUGAAGUGCUACACACUACACAUUCCUCUGGUAGAAAAGGGAUGAUUCUUACGAUAGAUUAUGAAAAGGCUUAUGAUAGAGUUAACCUAGAUUUUGUUUAUGAGGUCCUUGAACUAAGAGGUUUUGGUAGGAAAUGGAUUAACUGGAUUAAAAGUAUUACCCAACAGGGAUCCAUUGGAGUCAAGGUGAAUGGAGUUGAGAGUGAUUUCUUUAUUACUAGUAGUGGUUUAAGACAAGGGGAUCCUUUCUCACCCUUGCUUUUCAACCUGGUAGUUGAUGUGUUUGCCAAGAUGGUAGUUAAAGGGUCUCAAGCAGGGUUGAUCAAAGGAUUAUGCCCCAAUUUCUAUCCAGGAGGGGUAACCUGCCUACAAUAUGCAGAUGAUACUCUGCUUUUUGUAGAUAAUGAUCAUAGGGCGGCUGUUAACCUCAAAUGGGCCCUGACUUGCUUUGAAUUAGUUUCUGGUAUGUCUAUUAAUUACCAUAAGAGUGAAUUAGUCCCCAUCAACUUAGAGGAGGAGGAGAUCCAAACUUUCCUGGAGAUUUUCAAUUGUGUUAGAGGAAAAUUCCCAAUCAAAUAUUUGGGUAUCCCACUGCAUUUUGAUAAACUUAGAAGAGAAGAUCUGCAACCCCUUAUUGAUGCCCUUCUGGCUAGAAUGGCUGGUUGGAGGGGUAAACUUAUGUCGUUAUUAGGGAGGGUCACUCUAGUAAAAACCUGUCUAGCUAGCAUACCUAUAUAUAUGGUAUCUUUCUUCAAAUUUCCAAAAUGGGAAAUUUCCUUGAUCAACUCCCAACUAGCAAAUUGUCUCUGGAGUGAUGAUGAAGGAAAUCAAAAAAUCCAUUUGGCCAAUUGGCAGUCUGUGUGUAUGAAGAAAGAAUAUGGAGGCAUGGGGAUUCCAAAUCUGCAAGAUUUGAAUCUAUGCCUGAUAGGGUCUUGGAUCAAAAGAUAUAUUUGUAGUGAGGGAUCCCUAUGGAGGAGAGUUAUUGACUCCAAAUAUAAUACUAAGAGACCAAAUAUUCUUUGCUCCAAUGACCCACGCCCAUCACAAUUCUGGAAGGGUGUGAUGUGGGCCAUGAAAGCAGUUAAGAUUGGGUACAAAUGGUCGGUAGGAAAUGGUAGAUCCAUCCUAUUUUGGGAAGAUAUUUGGUUCGGUAAUGCUCCUCUUGCCACACAAUUCUAGGAUUUGUAUUGCAUUACUAAUAAUAAGAACAAAACCAUAGCAGAAACCUGGGAUGGGAAUACUCUUAGAAUUUCCUUUAAAGGAAUUUUGAUGAAGAGCUUAUGCAUCAGUGGUUUGACUUGGAAACGAUUGCUAAAUCAAUAGCCUUUAGGGGGAUACAACCCAUCUACACACCUGAUGUGUGGAACUUGAAGGUCCCACCUAGAAUACAGGGGUUUCUAUGGCUCUUCUCUCAUAACAAAAUUAUGACCUGUGAUAAUAUGAGGAAAAGAGGCAUUCCAAAACCCUUGGAAUGUGUACAUUGCAGUGAAAUAGAAUCGGUUCACCACUUAUUUUUUGACCGCGUGGUAGCUAAGUUGAUGUGGAAAGAAGUGGAGAUAAGUUUUGGUAGAAGCUUCCACUCCUUCUUGGCGCUAGCUACCUGCUGGCUCUGCAAUAAGAAAUUUGCUCAUUUAAAUGUGGUUUCUUCUGCAGUCCUGUGGGGGCUGGGCUAUGGAACACUAGAAAUUCCAUUGUGUUUAAUAGAGCUAAAUGGACUUCUGUCAAACAGGUCUGGCAGAAGAUAAGUCAAUAUCUAGGGGAUUGGGUGAAACCUCACAAGGAUCUGCAGGAGGGACAGAUGAAAAAAAUUCAGAGACCAUCUGCUUGGGAGAUUGUGAUCGCCGCUGGAACUGGAACCAAACUGAAAUGUCAAGAAAACCUGCAACAACUGUCCUGGUCCAAGACCAUCCAAGGAAUGGCGCAUGGAGGGCGCGCUACCCUGGAGCAGGUGAAGGAUGAUCCAAGGAAAGUGGAGGAGAUCCAUGUGGUCUUCAUCCCCAUGAGCUGAUUCAUGCUCGCCGGUCCUGUGUUGGCCUUUCCUGACCUAGUUUCUUAUGCUGGAAGCUUAUCACGUUAAAAACUUUAUAUGUUGUAAUACUUUUAGCGCUAUGUUGAACCUGGGUUUAGGCCAGUAGAUCGUUUUUUUUUAAAGCAGUAGAAACUAGGUCAGGAAAAUGGAACCGGGGGACUAGGUCGGAAAAAAAAUGCAGCCACCCAUCCAUGUACGGGUACGACCAAUGUGGAGAUCAAGCCACGACCGCGUACCUCCUCGUCGCCCGUAUGCUGCCUGCAUAUAAAGUAGACCCGGAACCACGGAGACGGAGCAUCUCCUCUGCUUGCUGGCGCCUGGCAACGUAGGCAGUAGCUACACGAUUUGCCUCUCCAGCGCCAAGCCAAGGUUUCCGCUACCCGAUAAUUCGACUCUAUAAAAUUCAGAAAUAAUUUCCCUUCCACCGACGGUUUCGCGCCAUGGGAAGCGAUGCUCUCUAUCGGUCCUAUCAUCCGUUCAAACUAUUUCAAAUCAGUGUGUCUGUUUCGUGGACCUUAAAGUGAAACGAUGGCAUUUUUUUUGGGGGGGGGGGGGAGGAAGUGCGGAUCGUCAUGUGUGAUUUGGAAAAAGCAAAACCAGGUGAAAACAAGCAGUCGAUUUUACUGUCCCGAAAAGAAAUGAGAAAAGAAAGAGGUGGCAAUUGAGCUCUGAGAUGAAGAAAUGGAAACCUGAAAAGGCUGCUGUGCUGCUCCCCCCAGACUGAAAAUGCAGCCACCCGUCUACGGGUACGACCAAAGUGGAGACCAAUCCACGACCGCGUACCACCUCCUCACCCGUAUGCUGCAUAUAAAGUAGGUGCCAACCGCACGGCAAUUUCGUUACAGAGAGCUCCAUCGCUGUUUCAUCCAGAGCCCCGCCAAUAUCUCCAAAAUUCUCCGCAGUCAGGGAAAAGAGUGGUGCUAGAGAGAUGGAUGGUAUGCUUGCAUCUAUGAUCCAUCCUUCUUGAUUAAUCGUCCUUGGUAUUUUCCUAUUGGUAGUAGUUUGUUGUGCUGACUAUUCUGGUGGAAAUUCGUGCUUAAGAUCACCGAAUGAAUCUUCCUUAUUUGUCACUUUUUCUAUCUUCCUCGUAGUAGAGCAAUCUUGUUUCUUUUUUGGUGAUAUUUCGUGUUCGUAUCAGUUCAAAACUGGUCGCAUUCCGGCUGAUUUUCCAUGGCAAAGGUUCAAUUGGGGGUUUCUUGGUCUUUUUUUGGCCCGGGUAGUGGCAACUCGCAAAGUUUCGCCUUGAUGAUCUCGCUCUGCUAUUUCCCUCUCAUGACACAAAGAUUUGGUCAUCUUCUUGUUUUUUGUUUCCUGAUGAUCUCGCUCUGCUAUUUCCCUGCCAUGUCACAAAGAUUUGAUCAUCUUCUUGUUUCUUGCUUCUUGAUGAUCUCGCUCUGCUAUUUCCCUGUCAUGCCACCAAGAUUUGAUCAUCUUCUUGUUUCUUAUAUCAACUUUGAAGCCCGCGAUCUGCAGACCAUGAUCCUCAAGACGGCGGUGCCCCUGAUGGCCAUGGUGCUGCUGGUCACGGCGUCGACUGUCUCCAUGGCGCCAUACGACUGUGCCUGCGCCUACCUUCGCGCGUGCUUCGGCAGCAACUACUUCCUGAUGAUCGGCGAGCUCUGCCAGAUCAACCUGGCCCGUCUUCUGGCGAAGGAGGCCGUUCUGGCGCCGACGCUGGCGGCCCGGCGCUACUACGCGGUGGGCGCCGUCGCGUGCUUCAUGGAGCUCGUGCUCAAGCUCUACAUGAUCCUGGUGCUGGUGAGUCUUACUCUUUGCGCUGUGUCCGUCUCUUCUCUUCUUUCUCAAGUUCCGGCUUGAUUUGGGCGCUAAUGAACUUGCUCUCGUCGUUUUCGUCAGUGCCCCUAGGCGUGUGAAUGUGCCUGUCCAAGGAUCGAAGAUGGAUACUUUUAGAGUCUCAAGAUGCGCCGUUUUGUUCAGUUAUUACUACUAUAUGUCGUAUGGUGUUUUAGUUUCAAUUCAACUUGCCUGUCUGGAGAUGUUCAUCCUUGGGUAAAAGACUACCUUUUUUAGUACUACUGUAGCAUUUUGUUGUUGUCUUGUUCCGUUGGGGUUUAGACUGUCUGUCUGUUUGUAGCAGCAGCUUCGGAGUUUAGACUGUCUGCAAGAACUUGGACGGGAUUUGAAUUUUUUUAGCUGAAGCCUUGAAGGUUGUAAUGUGUUAUGUGAGCAGCAUUUCUCAUUCUUGACGAGGUAGAGUAGUAAUUUGCAGCUUCUUGUUCAUGUGCGCAUACGCCGCUGUUUGAGCAAUCAGCAAACUUCUUCGAAAUGAAACAUGUGCAAUAUAUUUUUUCCUUGAGGCUUG
RNAcentral lists this long non-coding RNA (103816 nucleotides) under Triticum aestivum (bread wheat). RNAcentral's name for it is "long non-coding RNA (TAES_LNC020415)". The record is from RNAcentral. Lineage: Eukaryota; Viridiplantae; Streptophyta; Magnoliopsida; Poales; Poaceae.